CCAUGUCAUCAUCAGAUUCCUCAUUUACUCAGGGUGACAUAGCGAUCAAGCAGUCUCAAACUGUGAGAGGCAGACGAAUCGAUUCGAGUUUCUUAACCAUGCAUGGCGGACCUAAUCUCACGACAUCCGCGCACCACAAGGGCCGCUUCCUGUGUCGGCCGUCCCCAUCAAUUCCCAGGCGCGUGUCAGGUCCAAACUUCCCUUGGCAUGCAAUGCUCCACAGUCCCGGCCUCCACCAUACUGUGACCGCACUUGCACCCACAUGAUGCACCAUGGGAACCUCGUUCCAGGGACAGCAGGGGUAUAAGCCACGCCCUAGUUCAAUUAGGUACUAGGCUUCCCCAUCCCAUACUAGGUAUGAGAUUAGUACCUUCAAACACUUGAUCACGAACACCACCACUGUCGGGCCUUAGCAAGUUUCAUAGACAGACGGAGCGAUCAACCGACCACCAAAGAGUUACCUCAAACCCUACCCCGUCCAUCGUCCUUACAGUUGUAACAGAAGGGUAGACAUCCAACUCCUACAACUCGCGAGUGACAGGAAAUCACUCGGCUUUUACCGUUUCCUGUUUAAGCAAAGCAUCUACUCGGUCCAACAGCUAGUGUUCAGAUCAUGGGAGCUAGUUCAUGCAUCUAGGGUUCCAACCAACUCCUAUACGUAAAUGCACAAGCAUGUUUAAGGAAGGCAUGCGCAAGUUUGGAGAACAUAGGGGUUUCAUGCAACUGGGGCUUGCCUUCGAGCAAGGAGGAAGAGAACUGCUCGACUUCUGGGGCGGCUUCGGCUUCAGAGGGCAGGAGCUCAGCUACACCGUCGUCUUCUGGCGCCGAGUGCAGCUCGUAGCAGCCGUCGGCGAGGCGCAGCUCUACACGAAUGCAAUGCAUUAAUUAGCAUAGACGGUUAUUUCAACAGCAACACUUGCAAGUCUGAGCCCAGAAACUCGCAACAAAAAGCAGGAGGGUGGGAAGGUUCAAGGGAGCUGGUGGAGAUCAAGAGGUAAGGGUCGGAGGAAAGGAACUUAUGAUCUGACCCUUAAACUAGAGGGUUUGGUGUGCUAGGGAUCCUCAGACUCAACGCUGAAGGGUCCCCAAGUUUUACACAUACACCCUUGGUUUGAAGAAAAAGAUUCAGCCGAGUCCUCGGGCGAGGUGGAGAAGGGUCGGCGGAACAAACAGGGUCGGGCGAGACGGAACCGGGGUCGGGCGGAUAAGAGGGGUCGGGCGAAGCGGACAGGGGUUGGACGAGGCGGACCAGAGGUCGGCAGCUUACCUUCUUCUUACAAGGAACGCUGGGGGUCGGGAAGAAGCAGACUUGGGCGGAGGGGUUAAGGCUUUGAACAGCGGCUAGGUCCGGCUAUACUCCGGCGGCGGCGGUGCUUCUUGUGGAUCACAAGUAAGCUCUUACGCAGCGCAGAGGAGCAAGCGGCUGGGUGGCUUGGGGAAAACGGAGUGGAGCAGAGAGGAGAGUUCCUCAGGAACUUAGUGGGGUGGCGCUGGGAGCUCGAGCAGGGAGCAAGCAAAAAGGUGGAAAGGCAGCAAUGGCGAAGGGGACUCCGGCGGGGUUCGCGCAUUCCCUUUUAUAGUGGCGCGGGAGUGAGAAGGGGAGCGGCGCGGGAGUGAGAAGGGGAGCGGCGCGAAGGCCGGGGAAGAAGCAAUGGAGUGCUCUGCCUGGGCGGCGAUUGAGCGACGAGGGCGGUGGAGCAGGACUUCGGGGAUGACGCUAGCGGUCAUUGGGCUCUGGCGUCAGGGCGGCGCAGGAGCGGGUAUGCCGGUGGUUGAGAUUUGGCGGAGGCGGGCGUCGUCGUGCGGUAGAGUUGAUGGAAGUGACCGGGUUAACGGCGCUAGAAUCGAGGGCGCACAGGUGAGAAGACAGGCGGCUGCGGGCGCGCGGGCGAGCGCGGAGCAACAGAUUGUCGGGUGGCUUCUGACAGGGCGGGGAAAGGAGCUGUCGCUGUCGUGGUCAGGGUUGGCGGAGGAGGAAUCGUCGGGUAGCGAAGACCAGGCGGUGCGACUGUGUCGAAGUGACGGAAAAGACGGGCGACAUCAGGCUUUGCGGCCGGGAUCUGGCGACGUGAUGAUGCGCGCGGGUGGCAAGGUGCUGCAGAAAGGUUGCAGAGGGGCUUCCGCUGCGAUUGGGGAAGGGGGCGCGAGAAUCCAUUCGGUCGCGGGCCAGAGACGAGGCGGAGCGGUGGGCAUCGGAGAAGUUGAGCCACACGGGAGGGGAACUCUGAAGCGGGCAUACAACUCGAGUGCGCUUGUCGUGGAAGAUCUGGGGGAAAAGAUCUCGUCGUCCACCGGUCAGACUGUAGGGAGGUGUUGGGGAAAGACUCAGAAAGAUCCGGCGGGUGAGUUGGGGUCGGCGGGGUCGGAACUGGAGACCAGCGGAGAGGGGUCGGGUCUCAGGGGUCGGGACCGGUCUGGAGGUUGAUCACUUAGGCUUGGAAAGCUAAGGCAGGUGAUCAGGGGCUCGGAUUAGGAUUAACUUGGAAGAUUUGGGGUCAGUCAUCACAGCCUACCCCUCUUAAAAAGAAUCUCGUCCCGAGAUUCAGGUAUAAAAGUAGGGUGUGCCGUUUUUACCUCCUUGACGAGACAAGAAAACCUGGGAAGUGCUUGUUCAGAUACUUGUCUGUUUCCCAUGUUGCUUCAUCCUCCGUGUGGUUCCUCCAGAGGAUCUUGUACAUUCUUACCAUUUGGCGCCGGGUAUUCCUCUCUUUCUGGUCAAGAACUCGGUCUAGGUACUCGGCGUAGGUUAGGUUGGGCUCGAUCUGAAGCUGCUCUUGCUCUAAGAUCUUGGUUGGAACUUGGACACAUUUCUUCAGUUGAGACACAUGGAAGACAUCGUGUAUGGCCGAUAGCUGUUCUAGGAGUUGGAUCCGAUAGGCCACGGGUCCACAAAUCUCCACAAUCUCAUAAGGGCCAAUGUAGCGGGGAGCCAAUUUUCCUUUCACUCCAAACCGUUGCACUCCUUUGGUCGGGGAGACUCGAAGAUACACAUGAUCACCAAUGUCGAACUGUAGGGGUCUUCUUCGCCUGUCGGAAUAACUCUUCUGUCGAGAUUGGGCAGCUUUGAGAUUUACUUGAAUUACCCUUACUUGCUCUUCGGCUUCUGCCACUAACUCAGGGCCAUAGAUCUAUCUUUCUCCUGCUUGGGACCAGUUCAAUGGUGUCCGACAUCUCCGGCCAUAUAAGGCUUCAAACGGUGCCAUCUUCAAACUGGUCUGGUAGCUGUUGUUGUAGGAGAAUUCUGCCAAGGGCAAACACUUAUCCCAAUUUUUGUCAUAAUGGAUGACACAAGCUCUCAACAUGUCUUCAAGGAUCUGAUUGACUCUUUCGGUUUGACCAUCGGUUUGAGGAUGAUAGGUUGAGCUACGGAUGAGCUUGGUGACCAUGGAUGCUUGUAGUUGUUCCCAAAAGCGUGCCACAAACUGAACUCCUCGAUCAGAGAUGAUGGUCUUGGGUACACCGUGUAGGGAAACUAUGCGGUCGAGGUACAACUCUGCAUACUGUUUGACUGUGUGGGUGGUGCGGACAGGAAGGAAGUGGGCGGUCUUGGUCAGGCAGUUCACUAUAACCCAGAUGGAGUCAUGUCGCUGUGAUGUAAGGGGCAGUCCAACUAUGAAGUUCAUGCUGAUGUCUUCCCAUUUCCAAGAGGGAAUAGGUAGGGGCUGCAGGGUACCUGCUACCUUUAGAUGGCUGGCUUUGACACGUUGACAGGUAUCACAUUCUGAAACAUAACGGGCAAUUUCCGACUUCAUUCCACUCCACCAAAAGGUUUGGCGGAGAUCAUGGUACAUCUUAUUGCUGCCAGGAUGGAUUGAGAACUUGGAGAGAUGAUCUUCAUCUAAGAUCUGCUUCUUAAGGUUGGGGUCGGCUGGUACAACCAGUCGGUUUCCAUAAUACACCUUCCCAGUCUCAUCCUGUCGAAAAUGCUUAUACCCUUCAUCCUUCAAUGAGAUCUUCCUGAUGAUCCGCUUUAUUUCCUCAUCCUCCACUUGUGCUGACCAUAUUUGGUCUUCCAAAACUAAUUCAAGGGUGAUGUGGCCGAGGGUUCCAUGGGAAACAAUUUCCAAACUAAGUUUCCCCAUCUCAUGACACAGAGUCUCGGUGAAAGUUGUUGCCGACAAGCAAUUGCAACAGUUCUUGCGACUAAGAGCAUCGGCCACCACAUUGGCCUUGCCGGGAUGAUAGUGAACUUCCAAGUCAUAGUCUUUUAUCAACUCUAACCAUCUUCUUUGGCGCAUGUUGAGGUCGGCUUGACUGAAGAUGUACUUGAGGCUCUUGUGGUCGGUGUAGAUGUUGCAGUGGGUGCCCAUCAGAUAGUGUCUCCAUAUCUUUAAGGCAUGGAUCACUGCUGCCAACUCAAGAUCAUGGGUCGGGUAGUUCAGCUCAUGAGGUCGUAAUGCCCGUGAGGCAUAGGCAAUGACUCGGUUGUCUUGCAUAAGAACACACCCAAGUCCAGUGCCAGAGGCGUCACAGUACACGUCAAAUGGCCUAGAAGGGUCGGGCUGAGCCAAAACUGGGGCUGUGGUCAGCAAGUGCUUCAGGGUCUUGAAGGCUUCUUCACACUUGUCGCUCCACGCGAACCUGACCUCUUUCUUCAACAACUCUGUCAUCGGCUUAGCUAUCUUAGAGAAAUCCGGUAUGAAGCGCCGAUAGUAGCCUGCCAGUCCAAGGAAACUUCUGAUCUAGUGCACUGAGGCAGGAGGCUUCCAUUCCAUGACUUCCUGUACCUUACUGGGGUCGACGGCUAUACCAUCCUUGGAGAUAGUGUGUCCCAAAAACUUGACACUAUCUAACCAAAACUCACACUUGGAGAACUUGGCAUAGAGUUAGUGAUCUCUUAGCCGUUGGAGAACUACCUGAAGAUGAUCGGCAUGUUCUUCUUCGCUCUUCGAGUACACGAGGAUAUCAUCAAUGAACACCACAACAAACUUGUCCAACUCGGGCAUGAACACCGAGUUCAUGAGGUACAUGAAAUAGGCGGGUGCAUUGGUGAGUCCAAAGGACAUGACCAGGUACUCGUAUAGUCCAUAUCUUGUGGAGAAGGCUGUCUUGGGUAUGUCGCAGGGUCGGAUCUUGAUUUGGUGAUAACCCGAACGAAGAUCGAUCUUGGAGAACACUUUUGCUCCAGCUAACUGAUCAAACAAGACAUCAAUACGUGACAGUGGGUACUUGUUCUUGACGGUCACCGCAUUGAGGGGUCGGUAGUCCACACACAUGCGGAGACUGCCAUCCUUCUUCUUCACAAACAGGGCGGGGCAACCCGAAGGUGAUGUGCUUGGUCGAAUGAAGCCUUUUUCCAACAGAUCAUGCAACUGGGUCUUCAACUCGGCCAACUCAGCAGGUGGCAUCCGAUAGGGUCUCUUGGAUAUCGGUGCGGUGCCGGGGAUCAACUCUAUGGAAAACUCCACGUCUCUUUCAGGUGGCAUGCCAGGCAAGUAAUCUGGGAACACGUCAGGGUACUCACAGACAACAGGGAGGCUUUCUAGUCGGGCUUCCGAUAGAGGGUACGCACAAGGGAGUGCGGACUUAGGAUGUUUCAAGGAUAGGGUAGAACUGCCAUGUAAGGGUGAGUUGAUGUGGAGAGUUCGGGCAGCUGUAUCUAGAACCACUUGGUGUCUGGCCAUCCAAUCCAUCCCGAGGAUGAUAUCUAUUCCUUCCAGGUCAAGGAUGAUAAGAUUCUCCUUAAAAAGGCUUUGACCUAGUUGAAUAGGCACAUUGACACUUAUCCUAUCAGAGGUGAUCACUCCACCCGGGGUGGAUAUUCUAAAGGACCCUCUGGUUUGACAUUCUUGUAACCCACACUUGUGACGGGUCUUUCUCCCAAUAAAACUAUGUGAAGCUCCCGAGUCAAACAAAACCAAAGACGAAAAACUGUGAAUCAGAAAAGUACCCGUCAUUAUCGGCGCACCUUCGGGAAGCUCUGCUGCGUGGGUAAAGUUCAGUUGCCCUUGGCGAACUUGCAUCUUGGGCCUCUUCCCUUGGUGGGGUGCUGCAUUGCUCUGCCCUGAGCGCGGGCUCUGAUUUCUAGGGCAGUCCUUGGCGAAAUGCCCUUCAUUGCCGCAGGUGAAGCAGCGGCUACUAGUUGCAAGGCGGGGUGGUGCUGGUGGGGUCAGCCGGGGCGCCUGUGGUUGGAAGCCAGAAAAACGGGGCGCUGCUACUGGUGAGGGUCGGGCAAUCCACCUUCCCGACUGCUGGGGUCAGCCAGGAGCUUGUGGAGGAACCAUCCGGAUCCUUCGAGUCGGCUGGCUUGGAAAUGCCACGGAGGCCUUUCUCUUCUGGUCGGCUUUGAGAGCCUGCAUACAAUCCUCUUGAGAGAUGGCCAGAUUGACCAACUCGUUGUAGGUGUCCACCUUGAUGGGGUUCAACCUUUCUCUGAGCUCCAAGCUUAGUCCUCGGCGGAAUCUAUCCCGCUUCUUCUCGUCUAUGUCCGCAUGAUAGCCGGCAUAACGGCACAGAUCGUUGAAAGCUUGGGCGUAGUGCAGGACAUCUCGGGUUCCCUGGGUAAGAGCCAGGAACUCGUUGAGCUUGCGCUCCAAGAGACCUUUCGGGAUGUGAUGCGCUUUAAACGCGGUUUUAAACGCGGUCUUGAACUCGUUCCAGCUGACCACAUGGCCAGCCGGCAACAUGGCAUGGUAGUGGUCCCACCAGAGCCGGGCGGAACCACGCAGCUAUUGAGCUGCAAACCGGGCCUUGUUAUGGUCGGGGCACGGGGUGGUGAGAAGCUCGAACUUGGAUUCGAUCGUACGAACCCAGGCGUCGGCGUUGAGCGGUUCUUGUGUCUUCUGAAACAAAGGGGGCUGCGUCCCCAAAAAGUCCUCAUAGUGAGCAACAUGUGGCUGCUGCUGAGCCCUUCCACCAUGGGGCUGCUGCUGUUGUCCUUGUACAAGAUGCCUCAGCAGCUCGGUUUGAGCCGCUAGGAUUGCCUCUAGUGGAGAUGAGGGUGGGGGUGGGGGAAGAUCCUAUCUCUGCUCGCUACUGCCGGGCACAGAACCAGAUCUGCUGCGAUGCGCCAUCUGCAAGAGUUAACGUUCCAUUAAUUUCAUAACCUUAGAAGUACUCCAACAGAUGGAACGCAUAAGUUAAAUUCUCCAAUACAACUCUUGCUGAUAAUGCAACACACGUCCUCAUAGGGGAGAUACGCUCUUCUCAUCCUCAUGUUAGUUAGCAUUUAUCUUAGCCUUGUACUCAACUUCGGGCGAAUCAUACCCUACCCAGACUCUUGAAAUUCCCUUACAUCUGAACUUAAGCCAAAGGGGUCGGGCUAGGAGAUCAUCCCGAGAAAAAGGGUCGGCAACGAUCCACACUAAAAAGAGGUCGGGCGAGGCGGAGACUGCCUCGAAAGGUCGGCGCAUCCGAUUUCGCGAACCGGGGUCGGCCAAACUUGAACAGACCCACAGAAAACAGCGUGUGUGGUCGCGGCACAACUCACUUAGUCUAACAUUCCAACACCUUGCAAGAGUUAAAGGUCAGACUCAGAUUUGAUUUCAUUUGGAUCUUUAUAGAGGUAUUCCAACACAGGGAGUACUCGACUCAAGGCUAACCUAUUACAGAUCUUUCCAAAAUUUAGGCUGCCGAGGAGUACAACAAAAGAAGGAGUUCCUUGCAACUCUUCAUCUACAAAUGGACACUAUGAGUAGGAGAAGGGGCGCCGUCUUCUUCGAUGUCCAUACUGGACGCUCCCUCAUCCUCCUCGGGGUCCUCUUGAGCUUCUAGUUGCAUAUGGAGGGCGUGCAUAUCGUCGAGCUCAGCUUGAUGCUCGUCCAGGUGAGCAUUGGCAACCGCUAGCUCCAUUUCCACUUCCAUUUUCUCCUGUGACAGCUCGAUCAUGCCGUCCACUAGGUCGGCUACUUCUCCUUCGAGCUCGGAGAUCCUGUCUUGCAUGUCAUGUAUCUGAAUGCCUCGUUGGAUAAGCUGGUAGGUUUGGCCUACCAGGUCUCUCCUGGCUGACUGGAGGUGUCCUUGAGCAUCCACUGCGGUCCGAGCAAGGAUGGUCAUGGCUCUUCCUUGGAGCUCGAUCAGCCGAUAGAGGGCUGUCAUACACCUGAUGUUGGUGGAGAUGGUGACCAUGGAGUAGGUGGUGGCCAGCACCUUGAUAUUUCCGACGCGGUCGAGCCACACCGGAUCCAACCGGUUCCUGGUGGGGAACACGCCGAUGGGGUCUAGUGUGACCUCCAGGGGAUGCAGCUGACAAAACUGGGUAAGGAGCUGAAGAGCGGCGGACUCCCAGGUGUCCUCCGGAGCAAGACCGUAUGCUGAUAUCCCGAAUGAGGGCCAGUCGGGCCGCACAGGAGGAGGAGGUACUACCGCCUGUACGUUGCUAGUCUGGACGCCCUGCUCCAGGUACAGUCGUCCUGCGUACAAUGGUGGGGACUGGUACCCGAACCAUUUCAAGGUGUCCCACAAAAUCGCGGGGAAGCCCUCGAAGUGUAGACAGGUUGACUGGAAGGUACCAUCCGCUCCAAACAGAACGUGUCCGGGGAUGGCCAUCUGGAACCAAGAAACCAGAACCACGUGAGAUAGACUCCAAAGGUCAGGGGUCGGACAGAGAAGCAUUCGGUUUUUAACCGAGAACAACUGGAAGAACUAGAAAUCCUUAGAACCGAAGAAGAGCUUUUCCGAGCAAGGUUGCUUUUGAGGAGAGUGACUUUACAGAUUUUAGCUUAUGACGCAUGCACGGCCUACCUCACUCUUAACCAAAACAACUGCCCAAAACUUGGGUCUUACGCGGUCAGUGCCGGUGGCAAGGCAACAAGUACGUCUCUCCCUAUAAUAGCUAGUCGGUUCUAGCAACGUCUCCUAAGCAAACGCGGUUAGUGUACCUGCAGAAAACACCACCACACGAACCUUUCGUGCCAGCACCCACAAAAGCGUUCCCAAACAUUACCGCUCACUAUAGGAACGACACCCAUGCGUUUAAGGCUGCAUGGACAGCACUCAACCGUGGAAAUAGGUUCCCUUUGAAUGGAACCGUAUAACCCUUCGCAUACUCGCGAUGCGGAAUCAGCGCAUGUAUAAUAGACGUGGCGAACAACCGUGAUGAUAGGCUCGUUGGAAUCAAACCGUACCAACCUUCGUAUGGAUUACAUACGGAACCUGCGCACAUAUGAUAGAUGUGGGCGAAAACAACCACGAUGAUAGGGUCCUUUGAAUAGAACUCCCUAUCAACCCUCGCAUACUCGUGAUGCGGAACUCGGCACACGUAUGAUAAACGUGGCGAAGUGCUGGAAGGGUUAGCAAGAUAACCAAAUAAUAUUAGCCACCUAAAACAACCCCAAAAUCCCCUAGGGCCUCUCGCACUAAGGUCAUCCUUAACGAUCAUACGAGAUUUUUCAAAGAGUUUCUUGCAACUUUUAUCUUUUCAAAGAAGUGUUAGGGCUUGUUGUGUUCUCUGUAUUGCUAAACCGGCUCUGGUACCAGCUGUGGCGGAUCCACUUCAGAUCUACUUGAUUAAACAUGAUUUAGCCGCAUGAUACGCGACGCUCAUGCCUAACCCGAGUAAACACGAAGUGCCGUCGGAUUUCAUCCGAUUUAACCACUUGAAUAGGACCAUUUAGCAAACCCACACAAAGGUGAGCGGUUCCAGCGAAUACAGCAAGUCCACCGAGUUAGCAACUUAACCACUUAGUUUGGUUAUGAAAAAAACAUCAGAGUUUACAAGGUUCAAAAGAAAAACAACAGAAAGUAAAACACUAGCGGAAGCAAACUCGUCGGGGUCGGACAUCCCUGGUGAGGCUAGCCAGGACGUCAGUGAUCCCUCUCCUCGCCGUCCGAGGAGGGAUCCCACUCGACCGUCCAACCUGGAGGGAGAUGGGGCGGCCAAGUGCCAGCAGAAGGAGGAUCGGGAGCAGCAACUUCACUUGAAAAAAGGAGCCACAACCAGGCUGAGCUACUAAGCUCAACAAGACUUAACCGACAGGGAGUAAAGCUACUCCACCGAACUAGAUAUGCAAGGCUUUUUGGCUGAGGGUUUUGUUUGCCAAAAGCACUAAAUAAAAACCCUACUUUCAAGUUUUAGCUCCGGUUCUAAGUUCAUUAUCCGGUCUAAGUUUGCAAACUAUUCUAAGCAAUCAUAGAACCAACCAAGGUAUAAAUAUAUCAACAAAACCAUGUCAUCAUCAGAUUCCUCAUUUACUCAGGGUGACAUAGCGAUCAAGCAGUCUCAAACUGUGAGAGGCAGAUGAAUCGAUUUGAGUUUCUUAACCAUGCAUGGCGGACCUAAUCUCAUGACAUCCGCGCACCACAAGGGCCGCUUCCUGUGUCGGCUGUCCCCAUCAAUUCCCAGGCGCGUGUCAGGUCCAAACUUCCCUUAGCAUGCAAUGCUCCACAGUCCCGGCCUCUACCGUACUGUGACCGCACUUGCACCCACAUGAUGCACCAUGGGAACCUCGUUCCAGGGACAGCAGGGGUAUAAGCCACGCCCUAGUUCAAUCAGGUACUAGGCUUCCCCAUCCCAUACUAGGUAUGAGAUUAGUAACUUCAAACACUUGAUCACGAACACCACCACUGUCGGGCCUUAGCAAGUUUCAUAGACAGACGGGGCGAUCAACCGACCACCAAAGAGUUACCUCAAACCCUGCCCCGUCCAUCGUCCUUACAGUUGUAACAGAAGGGUAGACAUCCAACUCCUACAACUCGCGAGUGAUAGGAAAUCACUCGGCUUUUACCGUUUCCUGUUUAAGCAAAGCAUCUACUCAGUCCAACAACUAGUGUUCAGAUCAUGGGAGCUAGUUCAUGCAUCUAGGGUUCCAACCAACUCCUAUACGUAAAUGCACAAGCAUGUUUAAGGAUGGCAUGCGCAAGUUUGGAGAACAUAGGGGUUUCAUGCAACCGGGGCUUGCCUUCGAGCAAGGAGGAAGAGAACUGCUCGACUUCUGGGGCGGCUUCGGCUUCAGAGGGCAGGAGCUCAGCUACACCGUCGUCUUCUGGCGUCGGGUGCAGCUCGUAGCAGCCGUCGGCGAGGCGCAGCUCUACACGAAUGUAAUGCAUUAAUUAGCAUAGACGGUUAUUUCAACAGCAACACUUGCAAGUCUGAGCCCAGAAACUCGCGACAAAAAGCAGGAGGGUGGGAAGGUUCAAGGAAGCUGGUGGAGAUCAAGAGGUAAGGGUCGGAGGAAAGGAACUUAUGAUCUGACCCUUAAACUAGAGGGUUUGGUGUGCUAGGGAUCCUCAGACUCAACGCUGAAGGGUCCCCAAGUUUUACACAUACACCCUUGGUUUGAAGAAAAAGAUUCAGCCGAGUCCUCGGGCGAGGUGGAGAAGGGUCGGCGGAACAGACAGGGUCGGGCGAGACGGAACCGGGGUCGGGCGGAUAAGAGGGGUCGGGCGAAGCGGACAGGGGUCGGACGAGGCGGACCAGGGGUCGGCAGCUUACCUUCUUCUUACAAGGAAUGCUGGGGGUCGGGAAGAAGCAGACUUGAGCGGAGGGGUUAAGGCUUUGAACAGCGGCUAGGUCCGGCUGUACUCCGGCGGCGGCGGUGCUUCUUGUGGAUCACAAGUAAGCUCUUACGCAGCGCGGAGGAGCAAGCGGCUGGGUGGCUUGGGGAAAACGGAGUGGAGCUGAGAGGAGAGUUCCUCAGGAACUUAGUGGGGUGGCGCUGGGAGCUCGAGCAGGGAGCAAGCGAAAAGGCGGAAAGGCAGCAAUGGCGAAGGGAACUCCGGCGGGGUUCGCGCAUUCCCUUUUAUAAUGGCGCGGGAGUGAAAAGGGGAGCAGCGCGGGAGCGAGAAGGGGAGCGGCGCGGGAGUGAGAAUGGGAGCGGUGCGAAGGCCGGGGAAGAAGCAAUGGAGUGCUCUGCCUGGGCGGCGAUUGAGCGAUGAGGGCGGUGGAGCAGGACUUCGGGGAUGACGCCAGCGGUCAUUGGGCUCUGGCGUCAGGGCGGCACAGGAGCGGGUAUGCCGGUGGUUGAGAUUUGGCGGAGGCGGGCGUCAUCGUGCGGUAGAGUUGAUGGAAGUGACCGGGUUAACGGCACUAGAAUCGAGGGCGCACAGGUGAGAAGACAGGCGGCCGCGGGCGUGCGGGCGAGCGCGGAGCAAUAGAUUGUCGGGCGGCUUCUGACAAGGCGGGGAAAGGAGCUGUCGCUGCCGUGGUCAGGGUUGGCGGAGGAGGAAUCGUCGGGUAGCGAAGACCAGGCGGCGCGACUGUGUCGAAGUGAUAGAAAAGACGGGCGACAUCGGGAUUUACGGCCGGGAUCUGGCGACGUGAGGAUGGGCGCGGGUGGCGAGGUGCUGCAGAAAGGUUGCAGAGGGGCUUCCGCUGCGAUUGGGGAAGGGGGCGCGAGAAUCCAUUCGGUCGCGGGCCAGAGACGAGGCGGAGCGGCGGGCGUCGGAGAAGUUGAGCCACGCGGCGGGGGAACUCUGAAGCGGGCAUGCAACUCGAGUGCGCUUGUCGCGGAAGAUCUGGGGGAAAAGAUCUCGUGGUCCACCGUCAGACUGAAGGGAGGUGUUGGGGAAAGACUCAGAAAGAUCCAGCGGGUGAGUUGGGGUCGGCGGGGUCGGAACUGGAGACCAACGGAGAGGGGUCGGGUCUCAGGGGUCGGGACCCGUCUGGAGGUUGAUCACUUAGGCUUGGAAAGCUAAGGCAGGUGAUCAGGGGCUCGGAUUAGGAUUAACUUGGAAGAUUUGGGGUCGGUCGUCACAGUAACGACUUCUUCGAACGCGAUGGUGGAACAGCAAUGAGGCAGAGUGCCAUUCUUGGAGGAUAUUGGCACGGCUGUAGCUGGAAAAUUCCACUUAAUGCGUAAAAGCAGCUGAUAACCAAUGAGUCUCACCAAUCAAAGAUCGGCCACUAGGGGCAUGGUUAAUAGGUUCUUAGGAGCUUACUAUACCAUAUCCACGUAGGAAAGAGGGAAGGAGAGAGAAAAAAUCGUCGCUACGGUCAGCGACUGUCGAUAGCACGCCAUCCCACGAGAGCGAGUCCCACCCACGCAGGACGAAAGAGGAAAGAGAGAAUUCCUUAUUUGACACCAGACAAAUGACCCAUUACUUCCUUGACCCUCAAAAUUUUUUCCUUCCUUAUUUGACACUGACUUCAACUUUCAUUCCUAAACUGACACUUCGUUUGAUUUUUUGUCAAACUGUUGUUAGAUGUCAUGUGAAAAGACCAUUUUGCCCUCCCUACUGUGACGACCGGCCCCAAAUCUUCCCAGUUAAUCUUAAUCCGAGCCCCUGAUCACCUAUCUAGUUUUCCGCGCCUAAGUGUUCAGUUCAACCUCCCGACCGGUCCCGACCCCUGACACCCGACCCCUCCCCGCUUCGCUCCGGUUCCGACCCCGCCAAACCCCGCCCACCGUCGGAUCCUUCUAAGUCCUUCCAAAAAUGCCCGUUCUAUCUGACCGGUGGACCCGCGAGAUCUUUUUCCCCCAGAUCUCCCGCGACAGGCGCACUCGAGUUGCAUGCCCGCUUCAGAGUCUCCCCGCCGCGUGGCUCAACUUCUCCGACGCCGCCGCUCAGCCUCGUCCCUGGCCCGCGACCGAAUGGAUUCUCGCGCCCCCUUCCCCAAUUGCAGCGGAAGCCCCUCUGCAACCUUUCUGCAACGCCUCGCCUCCCACGUCCAUCAUCACAUCGCUAGAUCCCGGCCGCAGAGCCCGAUGUCCCCCGUCUUUUCCGUCACUUCGAACACAGUCGCGCCGCCUGGUCUUCGCUACUUGACGAUUCCUCCUUCGCCAACCCCGACCACGGCAGCGACAGCUCCUUUCCCCGCCCUGUCAGAAGCCGCCCGACAAUCUGUUGCUCCGCGCUUGCCCGCGCGCUCGCGGCUACCUGUCUUCUCACCUGUGCAUCCUCGAUUCUAGCGCCGUUAACCCGGUCACUUCCAUCAAAUCCACCGCACGACGACGCCCGCCUCCGCCAAAUCUCAACCACCGGCAUACCCGCUCCUGCGCCGCCCUGACGCCAGAGCCCAAUGACCGCUGGCGUCAUCCCCGAAGUCCUGCACCACCGCCCUCACCGCUCAAUCGCCGCCCAGGCAGAGUACUCCAUUGCUUCUCCCCGGCUUUCGCGCCGCUCCCCUUCUCACUCCUACGCCGCUUCCUUUCUCCCUUCCCAGCCGCUAUAAAAGGGAAUGCGCGAGCCCCGCCGGAGUUCCCUCCGCCAUUGCUGCCUUCCGCCAUUUCUCUUGCUCCCUGCUCGAGCUCCCAGCGCCACACCCUAAGUUCUUGAGGAACUCUCCUCUCAGCUCCACUUCGUUUUCCCAAACCAUCCAGCCGCUUGCUCCUCCGUGCUGCGUGAGAGCUCACUUGUGAUCCACAAGAAGCACCGCCACCGCCGGAGCACUGCCGGACUUAGCCAUUGUUCAAAACCUUAGCCCCUCCGCCCAAGUCUGCUUCUUCCCGACCCCAAGCUUUCCUUGUAGGAAGAAGGUAAGCUGCCGACCCCAGUCCGCUUCGCCCAACCCCUCCUAUCCGCCCGACCCCGAUUCCGUCUCGCCCGACCCUAUCUGUUCCGCCGACCCUUAUCCGCCUUGCCCGAGGGCUCGGCUGUGAUAUUUUUCUUCAACCCGAGGGUGUAUGUGUAAAACUUGGGAACCCUUCAGCGGUUGAGUCUGAGGAUCCCUAGUAUACCAAAUCCUCUAGUUUAAGGAUCAUAUCAUAAGUUCCUUUCCGCCCCUUACCUCUUGAUCUCCACCAGCUCCCUCGAACCUCCCCACCCUCCUGCUCUUUGUCGCGAGUUUCUGGGCUCAGACUUGCAAGUGUUGCUGUUGAAAUAACCGUCUAUGCUAACUAAUGCAUUGCAUUCGUGUAGAGCUGCGCCUCGCCGACGGCUGCUACGAGCUGCACCCGGCGCCAGAAGACGAUGGUGUAGCUGAGCUCCUGCCCCCAGAAGCCGAAGCCGCCCCCGAAGUCGAGCAGUUCUCUUCCUCCUUGCUCGAAGGCAAGCCCCGGUUGCAUCAAAACCCUGUGUUGUUUUCCAAACUUGCGCAUGCCUUCCUUAAAACAUGCUUGUGCAUUUACGUAUAGGAGUUGUUUGAAACCCUAGAUGCAUGACUUAGUUUCCCAUGAUCUGAACACUAGCUGUUGGACCGAGUAGCUGCUUGCUUAACUAGGAGACGGUAAAAGCCGAGUGAUUCCCUGUCACUCGCGAGUUGUAGGAGUUGGAUGUCUACCUUCUGUUACAACUGUAAGGACGAUGGACGGGGCAUGGUUUUGGGUAACUCUUUGGUGGUCGGUUGAUCGCCCCGUCUAUCUAUGAAACUUGACUAAGGCCCGACAGUGGUGGUGUUCGUGAUCAAGUGUUUGAAAGUACUAACCUCAUACUUAGUAUGGAUGAGGAAGCCGAGUACCGGAUUGAACCUAGACGUGAGCGGUCGCCCCAUUGUUCUUGGAACGGAGUUUCCCCUGCUGGUUGUCGCACGUGGUGGCGAGCGUGGCCACAGAACGGCAGAGGCCGGGUCUAUGGAACCUUGCACCAAAGGAAAUGGGCCCGACACGGGUUAGGGGAUUGAUGGGGAAGGCCGACACAGGAAGCGACCUCCGGGUGCGUGGAUGUCGUGAGGUUAGGUUCACCAUGCAUGGUUAAAGAACUCGAAUCAAUUCGUCUGCCUCUCACAGUUUGAGACUGCUUGAUCGCUAUGUCACCCUGAGUAAAUGAGGAAUCUGAUGAUGACAUGGUUUUGUUGAUAUCUACAUACCUUGUUUUGGUUCUAUGAUUGCGUAGAAUAGGUUGCAAAACCUAGACCGGUUAAUGAACUUAGAACCGGAGCUAAAACUUGAAAAUAUGGUUUUACUUAGUGCUUUUGGCAAACAAACCCCUCAGCCAAAAAGCCCUGCAUGUCUAGAAGUGUGGAGUAGCUUACUCCUGUCGGAUAAGUCUUGUUGAGCUUAGUAGCUCAGCCUUGUUGUGGCUCCUAUUUUUCAGGUGAAGUUGCUGCUCCCGACCCUUCUUCCGCUGGCACUUGGCCGUCCCAACUCCCUUCGGGUUGGACGGUCGAGUGGGAUCCCUCCUCGGACGGCGAGGAGAGGGAUCAGUGAUGUCCCGGCUGGCCUCACCAGGGAUGUCCGACCCCGACGUUGCUUCCGCUAGUGGUUUUACAUUCUGUUGUCUUUCUGAAAACCCUUGUAAAACUCUGAUGUUUAUUUCAUAAUCAAACUAAGUGGUUAAGUUGUUAACCCGGUGGACUUGCUGUACUCUCUGGAACCGCUCACCUUCGUGUGGGUCUGCUAAAAUGGUCCUGUUCAAGUGGUUAAAUCGGAGGAAAUCCGACGGCACUUCGUGUUUACUCGGCUUAAGCAUGAGCGUCGCGUAUCAGGCGGCUAAAUCAUGUUUAACCAAGUAGAUCCGAAGUGGAUCUGCCACAGCCUACUCUCAUGGCUUGAACAAUCCCGGCGGUCCCUACGACUCUUUGUACUCACGCUCCUCAUGCCAGAGCUUCCCUCCUCGGCGGUCGUGCCUCCCUUGACUCCUCGACAGCCUGCACCUCCCUGCGACGCUCAAGUGAGCGCCUCCCUGUGACACUCGGGCAAGCGCCGCCGGUGCCUGGAUGCGCGGGAGCCUGGCGUAUGGAGGCGACUCGCCACGGAGGACAAGGCGAGCCUGGCGGCGUGGACGCGCUUCCCUAGAAGGCGAGCUCGGCGGCAUGGACGCGCUUUCCUAGAAGCCACGGCGUCGUUCCUGUGUAGCGGCGCCAUCGACCGUCUGCAGCCGCAGCGCCGCCACGGCCAGCCACGCGCCCACAUCGCUGCUGCUGCCGGCCGCACCCGGCCCAGCCCCCGUUCGCCUUGGCGCCGCCCGCCGCUAGGCCUCGGGAUGGAGCCUCUUGCGCGGUAGGCCCCUCCCUGCUCGUCCCCGCGUCGCCGCCAACACUCCAAAUCGAAGCCCGAGCCGGUCAAGGAGAGGCCGUCGGAGGCGAGAGAGCGGCGCGGCGUGGCGGACUCAGCGCUUGCGUGCGCGAGGCACGCCGCGGUUUCCAGAAGCGCGAGGAGGAGGAGCACCGAGGACCUGUGCAGUGUGGAGCAGAGGAGGGAGAAGGGGGGAGAGGAGGGAGAAGGGUGCUGGGCCUCACAGAGGUAUCGUCUUUUUGUGGGGUAUUUAACAGUUUCCGAAUGAAAAAUCCAACAGAGUGUCAAUUCAGGAAUGAAAGUUGAAGUCAGUGUCAAAUAAGGAAGGAAAAAAUGUUAAGGGCCAAGGAAGGAACAAAUCAUUUAUCUGGUGUCAAAUAAGAGAUUGAAUUAUAUCAAGAGGAAACCGGAACUCAGAAAGUGCUAAAUGCUGAAUUAAAAACAUCUUCCGGUGGGACCCAUAAAAACUGUUAAAGCUGAACCAUUGAGCGGCAUGCUUCUACAACCGUUGAGGUGCCCUAAGGGCACGUACAAAGGAGAGACAGCACUCGUCUUUUUUUUGCCACGCAAGCAAAAGGAGCUGAUGUGUACGGUAUUCAAUGAAGAGAGACGCGAGCCGACGGCCGCGGCCGUGCUCCAAGAAGAGGCCGAUGCGUUGUAUCGGUCGAUUUCUCUCAACGGCGGCGCCGGCCGAUCUAGUGAGGGCGCGCGUGCGUGAUGAUGGUGCUGCCCGAUUUGCUAUUCUUUUUGCCGGGAAAAAUCAUCAAGGGGAGCAAACCUGACCUUGUUUAGUUCACCCCCAACUACCAACUUUGACACCAUGCAAAAAGAAGAUUCCCCAUCACAUCAAACUUGCGGUACAUGCAUGGAGUACUAAAUGUAGACGAAAUUAAAAACUAAUUGCACAGUUUUGUUGUGCUUUACGAGACGAAUCUUUUAAACCUAAUUAGUCAAUAUUUGGACAAUAAUUCACAAAUACAAACGAAACGCUACAGUAUGCUACAUUGCUGUAACAGUAAUUUGGCACCUCCAAACUUUGGCAAAUAAACAAGGCCAGGCCUUAUUUAGUUCACCCCCAACUCCCAACUUUGACACUAUGCAAAAAGAAGAUUCCCAUCACAUCAAACUUGCGGUACAUGCAUGGAGUACUAAAUGUAGACGAAAUUAAAAACUAAUUGUACAGUUUUGUUGUGCUUUACGAGACGAAUCUUUUAAGUCUAAUUAGUCAAUAUUUGGACAAAAAUUUACAAAUACAAGACUAAACACUACAUUAUGCUACAGUGCUGCAACAAUAAUUUGGCACCUCCCAACUUUGGCAACUAAACUUGGCCUUGUUUUAGUUGGCCAAUUUGGGAGACGCAAAUUACUGUGCCAGCACUGUACCACAGUGUAGCGUUGCGUGUGUAUUUGUGAAUUAUUGUCANNNNNNNNNNNNNNNNNNNNNNNNNNNNNNNNNNNNNNNNNNNNNNNNNNNNNNNNNNNNNNNNNNNNNNNNNNNNNNNNNNNNNNNNNNNNNNNNNNNNCAGAUUCGUCUCGUAAGUACAACAAAACUAUGCAAUUAGUUUUUAAUUUCGUCUACAUUUAGUACUCCAUACAUACACCGCAAGUUUGAUGUGAUGGGGAAUUUUGUUUUUGCAUAGUGUUAAAGUUGGGAGUUGGGAGGUAAACUAAACAUGACCAAAGUCCUGGCCUACGAGUGCACCGCUCGCACUGUGAUGCCCGCCGGUCGCAUGCUCCACGACGUUCGCCGGUCACUUGCUCCGCGUCGCCAGUCGGGCGCACAAGCCGAGCUGCCGAGCCAUGCUCCUCGUGCGGAGCUGCGCCGGACGCGGGACGCCGCACUGCUGCCCGUGCGGAGCCGCACCGGCCGCCAGGCACCAAGCCUGCCGCCGGAGCUGAGCUGCCGGACCCGCGCUCUACUGAUUGGAUUGAGACUUUGAGAGAGAGACAGAAAGAGAUACGAGUCAACAGGCUGGGAGAGAGAGUUCAGAUAAGAGAUAAGUACCUUGUAUUUUUUACGAUGUGUCCUUCAAUAGAGAAAGAAAUCACAUAUACAUCCUUUAGAUAGGGAAGAAGGGUUGAAAUAAAAUGGAACGUUACAUUACAGUCAUUUCUGACAUGUUUGUAUUCUCCUGCAGUGCAUAUACCGUAUCGUGUGUAAUCUUAAGCAAACAACAAAAUGGUAAACAAAGAUUAUAUGUACGUUUGAUUAUUAUGAUUUACGUGUGUGUCUAAGUAUGAAUUAAAUAGUUUAUAGACGAUAGAGAGACAAACCAUUAUAUAAACUGUCUUUUUUAUUGUCUAUGUCUGAUGUGACAAGUAGUUGCAGAGAGGAGCCGUCUACACUGUUGCAACGACUUGUAGCCAGUCAUAGAGGGUGUUUGGAUCUUUAGGAUCUCCUAAAAUUUAUGUCACAUCGAAUAUUAGGAGGCUAAUUGGAGGACUAAAUAUGAGCUAAUUAUAAAAUUAAUUACACAGAUGGAGGCUAAUUCACGAGACGAAUCUAUUAAGCCUAAUUAAUCCAUCAUUAGCACAUGUUUACUGUAGCAUCAUAUUGUCAAAUCAUGAACUAAUUAGGCUUAAUAGAUUCGUCUCGCAAAUUAGUCUCCAUAUGUGCAAUUGGUUUUGUAAUCAGUCUAUAUUUAAUACUCCUAAUUAGUAUCUAAACAUUCGAUGUGACAGAAAUUUUAGGAGGCACCAAAGAAACAAACACCCCCAUACAUUGAUGGAACUUUCAAAAGGAACGUGUAAAUAGGGGUAGACUCGUGUACUAAUUAACAAGCAAGAGGAACCUAUCAAUCACGGUCGACUCCGAUAGGCUUCUAGUCUCAGCGGACACGUAUGAUAGAACAUAUGUACUGUUUGCUGUGUUUGGCUGGCGUGCGCUACACUCCAGUUACCACGUAAUCCUGGGAUGCUACCGCAUAACACUACAAAUAUGCCGAACCUUGUCAGUUUCAGCAGCUCAUAUACGCAAAAGACGAAUGCAAUGCAAUGCAAGCAGAAGAAAUAUCAUAUACAUAUGUAAAAAAACGCUCCAUUAGUAAACGAUAUAAGGGAAAAUGUAUGUAGCUAGGGCUAUUACCUCUAAGACAGCAAAUCUAAAGACUACAUCUACCGCACGAUUCUAGAAUUAUUCCGACGACGAUGCAAGAGUGCAAGCGGUGCUGCUAUUCCCAUCCCCUUCAUGCCAACAUUAAUUCACUAAUCACCCCAGAGAAUAAAGGGUGUGAGAUUUAUACACUAAUCCCCCGCUACCGAAAUAUUUUUGGUAGCUUAUUGAAAUAUUUUAAUACUUAUGGACUACUUUUGGAGCAUUUUGUGGAUGCCCUUAGACCGGAAGUUUCAUCAAUAUCAAGUAUAGAAAUUAAAAAAGUAUUCUUUAACUCCCUCUUUUUUGGAGUUUAAAAAUGUUAUCCUCGAUUUUGUAUAUGAUGUGGUGGCCCGCUCUUUGUAACGUUUUCCAAGUCAUAUAUAAAAACCUAAGUAGCUAAUAAGUAUGCCCCUCAUUUAGUGCUUCUUCCCUAACAAAAUGAUUAUUUAUAAUCACACCUAAUACCUUUUUUACGAAUGAAGAGGAACUUUUAUUAGCUACUCAACAAGUUCAUACAAUCUCGAGCAACACGUAAUACCUUUCAAUAGUACUAGGGUACUAAGAAUGGCCAACAACGACAAAGAACACACAAAUUUAAGAUAAUUUGUGCUCAAAACUAUAUCAGUCUCCUAAACCAUUUUCUCGUAUCUGCUGUUGCUAACGGGCCUGCAAGUUUUAUUUUGACCCGUGAACCUGGUUACAUGGGCUGGCUAUCGACCUAUAUAUGUAUGAAAAUGAGCCCUGUUUCUUCACCUUGGCUAUUACUUUGCUACUGAGCCCUUUUUCUUCAGUGGGCUGCAAUGGGCUGAUUUAUGAACAGUUUGCAUCUGUAUCUAAUUCCUGGCUAUUGAAACCGCCAUGAUAACUUGUGGGGCCAAACUACAGGAUACAUAUCUUUUGGAAACUCACUUAUCCACUUUGAUCACUUAACCUGAUAAAGUUUUGGCUCACUCUACUCCCUGAACUGUUUCAUUUGAUCCAAUCUACCCCUAAUUAGAUUUCUCUUUUUUAUUUCUUCGUGUAUAAGUUGAAUUUUGAGUUCAAAUUUUGUGAGCAUAUACAAAACAUGAUGCCUUAUGUUAAAAAAUUAUACUAAGAAUUUUUCAUGGUUAUUUUCAUGGGUUAGGAAUAUUUAAUAUAAAAUUGAUCUUAAAAUAUACAAAAUUGUAUGAAAAGUAAUCAUAAAAAAAUUCUCAUAUAUUUUCUAACAUAGAGCAUCAUGUUACAAGUUAAAUGACAAAAAUCUGAAAUGAAAAUUCAAUUUGUACAUGAAGAAACAAAAAAGAAAAAUGUAAUUAGGGGUAGAUUGAACCAAAUGAAAUAGUUUGGGGAGUAAAAUAAGCCUAAAUUUUGCUUAGGGGUUAAGUGAACAAAGUAAAUAGGUGAGGGGAGUAAAAUGAACCUUUUCCUUUUUUUUUCAUUCCUCAAUCUAAUGGUACAAGUGCAAGUUGUAACAUGCGAAGGCAUGCUCAAAUACACACACCUAGACCUCACUGUAGACCUAGAAUUUAUACCAACACAACAGAUUCAGGAAGAUUCAGCUCCACUUAGGGUCUGUUUGGAUCCCUUACCGGCACUCGCCUCACUCCACCCGUAUGCCUCGCCUCGCCGAGCAGAGCUAGGCAAGCUUCACGAGGGGCGUUUGCUUCCCUUGCUGCUGCUAGCACUUUCCUUGCAUCGCAGCUUGCUGCGACAGCCGAUACAUGAAGCAUCCCCACAUCAGCGGAGACUAAAUGUGAUGCAAAUAUCACUCCCAGGAGACUGAUAACAUAUUUAUUCAACAGAUAGUUCAGUUACCGUACAACUCCCGAGGGAGUGGGCGUGAAAGCCACACCGCGAUAAGAAGCAAAUAAAUAACAGCGGCUAGCCAAGCGACUGCCAACAGACAACACUCGGGACUAAACGGCAGCAGAAGCAUCUUGGGAAGGCCAACACCACAGGCAGCGUUGGGUGCGGACACAACCUCCUACUCAAAGUCCUCGGCGACGAAUUCCGAGUCUUCCUCUGUAGCAACGAAGCAAGGGUGAGUACAAAAGUACUCAAUAAGUACAACCCCAUCCACAGAGGGGGAUACAAGCAAGAAUAUGCACAGGAUAUAUCAAGAAUAAGGCUAGGGUUUAUUUUGCAAUAAAGCUAGGUUUUCAACACAUGCACGGGUUAAUUUUCAAAAGAGUUUUCGCAAAGCUUUUCCUUUAGUAACCAAAACAUUAAGUGGGGUUGAUCCUACACAAAGGAUCCAACUUUUAUUGCUAUCGGACUCCUCGUCCGCCAUAGCUCAUGGCACAACUGCCGGACACUUCCAAAAUUCAACACACGCCAUAAAAACCAUUCAUUUCCAAGUGCUAGUUAUGUGACCAAGCCGUAACUCGUCCAAUGCCGUGGACACGGCUACCCGGAUAGGUUUUAACUCUGCAGAGGUUGUACACUUUUCCCACAAGUAGGGUACCGCAGCACGUUCACCUUAGUGCCGGUGCGGAUCCUAACAAAGCCAUUACCCACCUUAGCUAAGACUGACUAGCCAACACGGGAGCGCCCAAGGGGUUCACGACCUAUCCACGAGGUCGUAACCAGGACCUAUGUCACAAAGAUCUCACUCCGUUUCCAUGGGCUCUCGUUGCUCACCAGCUCACCCGAAGACUGACAGUUUAGUUAGUGGGAUUUAUGCUAAGCCGUUGCCCAUACAACGGUCGAGUGGUUGCACGAUGGUUGAAUUAGGCAAGAUGACACAUCAACUCGAUCCUUAACCCUGAUAAGAUUGAUAUCUCCCAACCUUGCUCAACCACUAAGGUACGAGCCCAACAUUCUGGCAUUUCACACAACAAACACCCAUCCAUCUCAUCUAAGCAUUUCUUGCCUUUACACCCGAAAACCCAUUUUCCAUUUGAAAACACUCACACAUUUAUUCUCUAAAUAAACCCUUGUAGUCAUGAUUGAAUUUGAGUAACCAGGUCCUAAGCAUUCUAGCAGUAAUUACCAUCUAAACAGAGCAAGUCAUAUUUAGAGGUAAUUAUAGGAUAACAAGGAAUAUUCAUAACAAUCAAGGGUGGCUAUCCAACCGUGUCUUGCAAUAAAACAAUAUGCACUUUUGUAAAAUAGGCCAAUAGGUUGUGUUUGAAAAACUAGGAAUAAAUAUGCAUCAAAGGGUGAGAUUGGACUUGCCGUCCUCAAAGCCUUCUAGGAGUUCCAGCUCAUGCUGCUGGUCCUCGGGCUCGGGCUCACGGUCAAAAUCCUCCUCGUGCUCCUCCUCGGGUACUCUGCGAUCUACGGCACACAAAAACGGGCAGACAAUAAAUAAAAAGAAAAUCAGAUUUUACCCGUUGAGCUCCGAACAGAGAACGCGAACGGAAAAUAGGUAGAAUGAGUAUUUUCAGAAAUUUUGGAUAUGACUUGGCGGAAGUAUACUGGAGGAUGACGCGGUCAAAUUUGGGGUUAAUUGGAGGAAGUUUGGCGCAUGAAAUGACGAGUUAACGGAGUAUUAGGGGCUUAAAAGAAGGUUUAGGACUAAUCCGCGAGAAACCAGGGACCUAUCUGUAAAUAUUUAUGGAGGUGGAGGGGCUGAUCUGUGAGAAGCUCUUGAGGGUGGUGGAAGGAUCAGGUUGUGAAUUUAGGAAAAGGGAGGGUUAGAUCGGAAUUGGGGAAAUUUUAUCCCUUCUCCUUCCUUGGUUCACGAACAGAGAAGGAGAGGGAGGAGAUGGCUGGCCGGUGGCCGGCCGGCCGGGCCUUGCCGGCGGCAAGCCGAGGGCUAGGGGAGGUGGAGGAAGUGGAGGGGGUUCCCAUUUUGCCCUUUACCUCGGGGACUUGGAGAUGGGAGGGAGUGCGGCCGGUGGUGGACACGGAGAUGGCGGCGCACAGGGUGGCGGCACCACUGGCGGCUGCGGGAUGCGCAGGGAGGUGAGGGACUAGAGCUCCGGGAGAGGGGGCGGAAUGUGGCGGUGGUGGCCGGGGUGUCGCCCUCCUUUUUAUAGGCCGGGGGGGCAUGACGGCCGGCGGCAAUGUGGGGGCCAGGCCGGCAGGCGGCGCGCGGCAGGUGGAGGGGUCGGCAGGUCCUAGCGCCGGUGGUAGGGGCGCCGGGGGGGGUGAGCGAGCGGCGGGGUUUGGUGCUAGGUGGCGGCGUGGAGUAGGGCCGGAGGCGGGGGGCCUACCACGGGGCCAGCCACCGGAGUGCGUAGCCCGAGGGGUGCCGGUGCGGCCGGCGCCGGGCCAGGCGGCGCGGGCCCCGGGGCGCGCGGGGGUCGGAGGGCAGGCGGCCGAGGGAAGCCAAGCGCCGGGGGGGUCGGGCCAGGGAGUAAUGGCGCUGGGGGGCGGCUAGGAGGUGGCCUGGUGUGCGCAGCUAGGAAGAAGAAGAAGAAGGAGGGAGAGAGAAGAAGAAGGAAGAAGGAAGAAGGAGAAAGGAAGAAAGAGAAGGAGAAAAAGAAAGAGAAAAAGGAAAAAAAAGAAAUGGAAGGAAAAAGAGAAAAAGAAGGGGGAGCCGACGGCGAUUGCAGCACGCGGUCGGAGCACGCGCGGCGGUCUGCCAGGCGGCGAAAUUUAUGGGAGUGGAUAAAAUGAUGGCUAUCGGCUUUGGGUGCCAGGACGGCGAAAUUGCCGGAAAGAUUUUGGAUUUUCGAGAGCUUAACGGUGAAAAGAUUUUGAAAGUGAUUUUUAACGGGUGAUUUAAGGUGGUGAUUUUUACGGAUGUUACGGUACAGCUCGAUGUGGUCAUGGUGGAGCUUGAUGUGGCGGCCAGCAUGGCUCAGUUUCAUGGCUAGCAGGCUCGACGCGGCAGUGGGGAACUCAAUUCGGCUUCAACGGAGCUUGAUGCGGCAUCCAGCAGGGUCGACACGGCAGCGAGGGAGCUUGAUUCGGUGGCCGGUGGGACUCGACACAGCAGCGGGGGAGCUCAAUUCAGACACUGCGGGGCUUGAUUCGGUGGUGGCGGGGUUAAAUUUCGCCACAGCGGAUCUCAAUUUCGUGGUGCUGGAGCUUGAUUCAGCUGUGCUGUAUAUCGAUUUGCCAAUGGCAGAGCUCGAGCCGCGUUGGCUCAGGCGACACACACAUACGCACGACUGAGCAAGCGAACCUUACCUGUAACAUAGAGCUAAUUUGGUUCUCCUACGCUGGGCAAGGAUUUCCUUGCCCAGCCGAGCAAGCUUGUGGGCAAAGUGAGCAUUUCGCUAGCUACCAAACGCCCGGCAAGGCGAGGCGAGUAGCCGGCAAGAAAACCAAACACACUCUUAGUGACAAACAGGUCGCAUCUGAUCCCAUUGUAGUCCAAAGAAGUUUAAAGGAUACUCGCAACAUUUUUUAGGGAAAAAUCUGGCGUCAGAGUCCAAAGAUUCAAACAGUGGUGGGCAGGUAACCAGCCACCAGCUCCUUCCACCCUUGCUGGUGGCGUGCGACCAGUUAGUUACCGGCUUUUUCUUAGCUUAUCGCACCACCAACGUUUUUCUGCUUCCUUCCCGAAGUUCAAAUGAUGCCUUAUAAGUUAAAUAUUCCUUUAUUCAAACAUUAGGUCGACCUUGGGAACAUGUGGCUAAAUGUUCAUGGAAUUAACACUUAAUGUAUAUACGUUUCAAAGUACAGCGUCUUUAUAAGGAGAUGAUAUGCGAAAAAAUCCAUAACUGCCCAUAAAUAUUUCAAGCAAUUAGUGAAAAUAUUAGAUAAAAUACAUGGCUUGACUUCGGAUAAAUGUCGAAUAACAAACAAAUGUUCAAUCAUUUAUUUAAAAAACUGAGUUGAUAUUUACUAAACUUAUCAUAGGAAAAGAUGUUGAAUAACAAAGCUAAUAUUGAAGCAACAUUAAAAAAUGACUGAACGAACAAAAUGAAUGUUUAAUUGGCUUUAUAAAUUUUUUUGAAUCAACUUGUCUUAGAAAACAAUAUUGUCGGUGUUUAGACCCGGCAACCUACCCUGAGGUAGUGUUUUAUGCAUGGGGCUCGCCGAAGAUCAGGAACUCAAAGGUGAACUCGAAAACAUGAUUUUGACAGGUUCGGGCCGCUUAUGUCGCAUAAUACCCUACGUCGUGUGUGUUGGUUGGAUUAUAUUGAUUGAACUUGAUUGGAGGGGGUUCCUGCCUCACCUUAUAUUGCUAGGGGCAAGGUUACAGGUCGGUUGCUUUACAAGAAUACUAGUUGGAUUCGACUGGAGAGUCUACUCUAAUUGCUACGAGUAGUUUCCUAAUCCUCGACUAGUUCUUAUCCUCCACGUAGAUCAUGCCAUCAUGCGUUGUAGUCUCUAUGUCUGACCCAUCACAGUGUACAGCCUCAUAUUGUAGGACUGUCCAAACCUCCCAGUGGGCCCAUUGAUGUAUGGCUGACAGGCCUGCAAGUACUUUUUAGUCAAAUGUACCAGUUCCGAGUACUUCUGUAGACGCCUCCGAUUAGUUUGUGGUGCCACUUUGAGUACUCCAUCGGAUUGAGUCUUUGAAUGUGCUCGAGUACUGCCAUGCAGCUAGAAGACGCUCAAGCCUCAUUUCACUUGGUCUUGAAUCUUCAACCUCGAAUCUUAUAUGGAAGUGCAAUGAAAAUCGCACUCCAUAUGGAGUAGCCCCCAAGCCUUAGGAUGAAUCGAAAAAUCAGGCUGAGGGUCAAUCUUGUAAUUUCACAUCUCUUUCACCUUAAAACCUAAAGAAAAAACUUUUUAGCCAAUGGGCACGUGUCACACAGCCCCCAAGCCGUUACAUGACCAGUUUGGGUAUAAGGGUCAACCAUUGGUCAAUGUGACCGUUCGCCAACAGUAACCUUAUCUCUUCCAAAAAAAUUGGAAACCGUCCGGUAAUAACUGAGGACUUUUAAAAAUGGAAUAUUUCCCAUUAAUUUCGCCUCUCAAUUAAUUGUGCCACGGUUAUAAAUAAUAGAGGAACGCAUCCCUUCAUUUCACCUGAGCUAGUGCGCCCGUUCAUCUCCCUCGCUGUAGCCCUAGCGCUACUGCUUGCCAUUCUCGAGCUCGAGUGCCAUCCUUCCCCACUGCCUAGUCCUCGUGCUUAUGCGCAAGAAGACCUUAGUGGUAAUGGCUCCGAAGAAAGCAUCGUCCAGCAAGGCGGUGGAGACCAAGAAGUGAAAGGCCACCAAGAAGGAAAAGGAGAUCCAGCUGCCGGCGCUGAAAUACGACAAGAUCGAUCAAAUGGUGCCGCCAAACCAAGCUUGCGCCUGGAAGAAGCCCAUCAUGAAGGUGGCGGACAUCCAGGUAUUGGUGGCUGCCGAUCUUCUCCAGGAGCAAGAGUUCGCCUACUAGAGGGAGGCCGAUGGCAACCCGUGGCCCAUAGAGAGUUUCAGCAACAAGACAGUCAUCUUCGUGCACUUCAUCAAGCACGGACUAGCUCUCCCCUGGUCCGAGUUCUUUCAGGGGCUGUUGAGGUAUUAUAACUUGGAAUUAGUCCACCUCAACCCCAAUUCUAUUUUGCACGUCAUGAUCUUUGUGCAUCUCUGCGUAGCAUUUCUUGGCAUCCAGCCACACUUGCAGUUAUUUAGGAAGUUUCUUAAAGUUAAGCCCCACCCCAAAUUUGACCAUACCGAAGUAGUCAGGGGGGCCGGUAGGAAUCCAGUUGUGGGAGCAGAUCAAGAGCCAAUACUUGGAAUAUGAACUCGUAGUCUCCUAUUCUAGCUGGAAGUAAUGAUUGUUCUACAUUGGAAACCAUGAGCCCCAUCUUCCCAAGGUGACCGGCCACCGUCCAAUAUGGAACAAUCAUUGAUUGGACGAGCCGAGUACAGCGGACAGCUUCCAGUUGCCGGAGCUGAUACAGAAAAUUGCCGCACUCAAGACGGAAGGUCUGACCACCAUUGGUGUGGCCUUCAGCUUCAUGAGGAGGUGAGUCCAGCCCCUGUAGCUGCACUGCACAUGGAGAUAUGACUACUCGGGUCCCAAUGACCCAUCACGGAUGAUGUCGCAAGACUUUUCUGUGGAUGAAGUGAUGGUGCGGCUGAAGCACUUCUUCAAGCAUGUCAGGGGCAUCCCUACGGUCUUGAGAGAACACUACAUCACCAACCUGCCAAACCAAGUAAGUACUCGUGGCCUGUAGCCCCCGAGUACUAAUUUAGGUGCCUAUCAAUGUAUUGACUUGUUGUCUGUUUGUAGGAAGAACUCCACUUGUAUUGCUCCAACUCUCCUCCACCUGGUGCUAAUGUCACUCCAUGUGUAUAGUACCUUGCGGCUGUACAGAAGGCGAUCGAGGGGGAGGAGGAGAAAGAGGAAUCGGAGGAUUGGUCCUCCUUCAGCAGCUUUGAAUCAGAGGCUGCUGAGAAGUUUGUCAUCAAGCCUCGCCUUUCAGACAAGGUGGGAUCAUCUUCUAGGACGUCCAAGCAUAAAGGCAUGGAUGACCUGGAAAGGUAGUCGAAGCGGAGACAGAGGCAAAGAGAACGACUACGGAAGUUGUGUAGCAGAAGUUGCCGGCUAUAAAAGAAGUCGUUGAACUGGAGGAUGAUAAGGAGUCUCCUGCCAGCAGGGCCAACCCCAUCCCGACGCAGACGACUCAAGGGGUGGAGACGACAACUUCAGCUGGCCAGGAUUCAGCUGCGAUCUGACGAGCUGUGCCAAAGAAGUCGUCACCCACUGUCAAGUCCCUAUGUCUGGGGUCUGAGCCCUCCAUCAAGAUAAAGAGGUCCACCAAGUAAGUAUCCGAGUACUGAUUUUAACUUGAUGUCGUUGUGUAGUGUGUUUUGACACUUGUCUUUGUUUCAGGAGAUCCACCAGCGUGGACAUUGGGGACCCAAGCCUAAAAACUGGAGCUUGCCUUGGAGCCCAUAGUUCCACCAGCAAAGGAGUAGCCCAUGCCCAAACUCACUCCAGGUGCGGUAUCCCUUGUCGCAGCCCUUAUGCACGAUGUAAGAAACAUUAAGUUAUUGUGAUAUAAACCAGUUGUGAAAAUGAAAUGUAAAUUAUUUGAAGUCUUAUCGCAAUUUCUAUUUGAUUGUCGACUUGUUUUGAAAUCUUCAGUUUAGUGCAUCUCACGGACUACCUUGAUGUUUGCUCGUAUGGUAGUCGUGAGUGUCUGCGCACGAGGCUACUCUUGUGAGCAUCUUCAGAUAUGCGAUGUUGAGUACUUUAGGAUGCAGCCCAUUUUGCGGAGUGCAAGUACUCAGGUAUCAGGGUAGUCAAACUCUUUUAGGUGAGUAGACUCUUCAAGAUUUCAUCAUCUAGAGCCUACCUUUGCAACCUCUCUAGGCUUUUUGGGGGUUGUGCUCCGAAAGCCUGGAACUACAGACUUGUUAUUACAAGCUGUGACUAGACGGACUCAUCUAGAUAAGAACUUGGGGAGUAUAGAUAGCUCCCAAGUCACUGAUGACUUAUUUUUGUGAAGACCAUUGAUGGACAGACUUGUCCAAGGGGCUGAUCGGCUCAUUUUUCUGAUUGCACGCUUGCCUUUGCAAGUUGAUCUUUGUCUGACAAGUUGAAUAACCCGAAAGAUAUGUGUGCCAGCUUGUGAAUACAAGCCACGAGUUAGGUGAUAGUACCAGGAGGAGCUGAAUAGCUCGGCGAACUUUACUUUUUGCAAGUCACAACUGGGCAGAGACUAGUCGUUUACGACGAAAAAUAACUGUGCUUUAUUAAAUUGUAAUAAUACAAUUGAGGCCGAUGGCCAAUUUACAUGAAUAUGUAAACUAUGGGUAGAAUCAACACAGGUGUUCUAUGUUCCACGAGUUGUCGACUUCUUCACCAGUGAGAGUUUGGAGCCUAUACGAUCCAGGCCCAGUGACCUUGGAAAUGAUGGAAGGACCCUCCUAAGGCAAAUUUAGCUUGUGCAGCCCCUUGGUGUCUUAGAUACGUUUGAGGACCAUAUCGCCUGCGUUGAAUGAACGUUUUUUGACGUUACGAUCGUGAUAGUGACGAAUUCCUUCAAGGUACCUUCAUAACUAGACGAGUGCUGCACAGCGGGCUUCUUCGAGGCUAUCUAAGUAUAGAUGCCUUGUUUCUUCUGCCGGGCCUUCCUCAUACUGCUCGACUACUGGAGAUUUCUACAUGAUGUCGGCAGGGAGAACCACUUCUGAUUCGUAGACUAGGAAGUAGGACGAGUACCCUUAGGCUUGCACGGCUAUGUGCGAAGCCCCAUAGGACAUUGGGUAGCUCCUUGAGCCACUUGCCCCCUUUGGUGUUGUCAAUGUCAUGUAGUCUUUUUUUCAAAGCUUCCAGUAACAUCCUGUUGGUGCACUCAACCUGGCUAUUGGCCCACAGAUGAGCGACAGAGACAUACUGAAUGUUGAUCCUGCUGUUCUCACAGUACUCCUAGAACUUGUGGUUGUUGCAAUUGGAGCCUAGGUCUGUGAUGAUGCGAUUGGGGAAGCCGUAGCGAUCGACAAUCUCGUCAGGGAAGUUGAGUACUCUUACUACCUUCGGGCAGGUCACCGGUUUCUCCUUGAUCCACUUGGUGAACUUAUCGAUUGCCAUGAGUAAUCAGUUGAAACCCCCAGGUACUGUAGAUAGAGGGCCAAUCAUGUCUAGCAUCCAGCAUGUGAAGGGCUAAGAGGGUGGUAUGGUGAUCAACUUGUAGGCAAGGAUGUGUUGUUGCUUGGCGAAGAAUUGACACCCUUGGCAUCGGCGAACUAGUCCUUCGGUGUCAGCGAGAGCUGUAGGCCAAUAAAGUCCUGCUCUGAAAGCCUUGCCCAUGAUCGUUCUUGAGGAAGCGUGAUUGCCACAGAUGCCUUUAUGGAUUUCCUCCAAUAUGUCCUUGCCAUCUUGUCGUGAAACGCACUUCAUGAGUACUCCUGAUGAUGCGCCACGUCUGUAGAGCUUGUCUCCGACUAGAACAUAAUUUUUGCCAUGCCAUGAGACUUGCUCUACUUUUCUCUUGUCUGGGGGUAACUUGUGUUCCAUGAUGUAGUUGAUGAAGGGGGCUCUCCAAUCUACAUCUAUCAUCAUAACCUCCCAGUCUGGAGCAUUAUUACCACAAUCGGUGAUUUUAGAUGGUGCCGGCUCCACUAUGGAUGACUUGUGUAGUUCUUGGACAAAAACCCUAGCUGGAACUUGAGCACGCGUAGAUCCGAGCUUGGACAAGACGUACGCGGCUACGUUGUUGUCACAAGCCAUGUGAUGGAACUCCAGACUAGAGAACUUGUUCUCCAAUUUGCGUACUUCAAGGUAGUACGCAUCCAUGUUGUCCUUGUAGUAAUCCCACUCAUCACUGACUUUGUUAAUGACUACCAAUGAGUCACCAUAGACCAACAACUACUUGAUUCCCAAUGAAGCUGCCAGGCAUAGCCCGUGCAGAAGCACUUCAUACUUAGCUUCAUUGUUGGAUAUCUCCUAGAAUAUUUGCAACACAUAUUUGAGUUGUUCGCCUUUGGGAGAGAUUAAGAGUACUCCUGCGCCGGUGCCCUCGAGCUUGAGUGAUCCAUCAAAGUACAUGACCCAAUGCUCUAGGCAUUCUGCCGGUGUGGGUACUUAAUUUUCCUACCAUUCUGCCAUGAAAUCGACUAGUGCUUGUGACUCGAUGGCAUUCCUUGACUUGAAUUCCAGGGACAAAGCUUCGAGUUCUACUGCCUACUUGGAGAUUCUUCUUGUUGCAUCUCUAUUGUGGAGGAUGUCUCCCAAGGGGAGGUCCAUGAUGAUGGAGAUGUUGUGUUCCUAGAAGUAGUGUCGUAGCUUCCAUGAGAUGAGUAGUAUUGCGUAUAACAAUUUCUAAACUGGUAGAUACCUGGUUUUGGAAUCUGACAACACCUUGCUGACAAAGUAGACGGGCCUCUGUACUUUGUAUACAUAGCUUGGUUCUGGUCUUUUGACUACGAUCACUGUGCUGACGACAUUAGUAGUUGCAGCGAUGCAGAGCAGCAAGUCUUCAUUGGGAGAGGCACUGUGAGGACCAGUGGCUUUGAUAAGAAGUCCUUCAGUUGUUGAAGAUCUUGAUCUGCCUCCUCGGUCCACUGGAAUUUAUCCUGCCGCUUGAGUAAUUUGAAGAAGGGUAGUCCCCAUUCCCCAAGUCUUGAGAUGAAUUUGUUGAAUAUUGCCAUGCAUCCAGUCAGCUUCUAGACAUCUUUGGUGCAUGAUGGGGCAUGCAAAUUUGUGAUGGCAGCAAUCUUCUCGGGAUUAGCCUCAAUUCCUCGAUGACUAAUGAUGAACCUCAGUAGUUUUUCGGAGGGUACACUGAACAUGCAUUUUGUUGGGUUUAGUUUUCCCCGGUAUGCUCAUAAGUUUGCGAAGGUUUCUUCUAGAUCUGUAAUCAAGUUGUAGAGAUUCUGAUCUUUACGACCACAUCAUCCACGUACGCCUCUACAUUGUGGUGUAGUUGUUUCUUGAAGCACUCCUGGAUGGCUCAUUGAUAUGUAGCGCCUGCGUUUUUCAACCCAAACGACAUUGUUGUAUAGUAGGGAUGAUGAACGUGGCCUUUAUUUGGUCUUCUUCUUUAAGAGCUAUCUGGUGAUACCCCGAGUAGCAAUCAUGGAAAAGGGUAGAGUACAUAUAGCCGUCGAGUCGAUGACUUGAUCAAUCCUAUGGAGCCUGAAGGGGUACUUUGGACAGUACUUGUUGAGGUCCGUGUAGUCAACACACAUCCUCCACUCGUUGUUGUUCUUCUUUUGCACCAGGAUAGGGUUGGCCAGCCACUCUAGAUGAUAGACUUCUUUUAUGAAACUGGCUAUGAGUAGUUUGGCCAAUUCUUUUUUGAUCGCUUCCCUUCUGUCUUGGGCGAAUUGACAUAGUCGUUGUCGCUUGGGCGUAGCUUUGGAUUCCACAUUAAUUGAGUGCUCGAUCAACUCCUUGUGCACCCCCGGCAUAUCAGAUGGCUUCCAUGCAAAGAUGUCUCGGUUGGCCCAGAGGAAGCUGACGAGCGCAUCUUCCUAUUUGGGGUCUAGCCCUAAGCCAUUCAGGGCUGUCUUUGAGCUAUCGCCGGUUUCAAGGUCAAUGGCUUUGAUAUCGAAUUCACUUGCCGGCUUGACCUUGAUUGUCCCCGACUUCUUCUCUGGAAUCUCGAGUUCUAUCAAAAACAAUUUCUUGGAGGUAGUGAAGACUUGCAUCAUGGAAUUUGGCACUUGAGUAGUUGCUGCCAACUCAAUGGCUUCUGUGUCGCAGUCGUAGGAUCUUUUCAAGUCUCCGAACAGGCAGAGUACUCCCUUGGGUCCCGGCAUUUUGAGUACUAGGUACACGUAGUGCGGGAUGGUCAUGAACUUGGCCAGUGCUGGUCUUCCGAGGAUGGCGUGAUACAAUGUUUUGAAAUCAGCCACCUCGAACCGGAUGUACUCGGUCCAGUAGUGAUCCUUUGUCCUGAAGGUAACUAGCAAAACCAUCUAACCAAGGGGUACAGCCGCGUUGCCUGGGACAAUCCCGUAGCACGGAGAGUUCGUUGGGGUGAGCAUAUCCGUUAUGUCAAGGCCCAUCUUCCUCAAAGUCUUGGCGAAGAGCACGUUGAGGCCACUGUCACCAUCGAUGAGUAAUUUUGUGAGUCGAGAGCCUACGAGUACUGGGUCUAGGAUGAGAGGAUAGAAUUCUGGGUCGGAGAACCUAGUCCACUGAUCCUUUCUUGAAAAGGUGAUUGGCACCUCGGACCAUUUGAGGAACGUAGGCGUCACUGGUUCAAUGGACAUGAUCUCUUGGAGGACUAGUUCCUGGGACCGCUUGGUAGUAGUACCCAGUGUGCCACCAAAGAUAACAUUGAUGGUGUUGGAUGGGUUCUGAACUUUCCCGUUGUCGUCCUCGUUCUUCUUUGGUUUUACCCUUGUCCUUUGCUCUAGAAGGUUCCGACAGAUCUUUCAUGACUCUACGAAGACUAUAGCAGUCCAUCGCAGAGUGUUUGGAGUGUGAGUGCCAUAGGCAUUGCUUUUUGAAGAGCUCCUUGAACGGAGUCCUCUCUUGACUUUCGUCGCUUUUCUUGGAGGACUGGAACAUCGCUACAACAGUAUUGUCUAGCCUUCUCUUAUGAUCUUGACCACCCUAGUAGUUUCCUCGUUUGUCGUUCGAGCGAUCAUUGUGAUUCUUGUCGUUGCAUUGGCCGCUGUUUUGGUUGUGUUGACGCUAGUUUUUGACACGUGUUAGGGUUGGCAUCAAGGAGAGAAGAGAAUGGCCGACCCAGUCAAACAGGAGGCUGUGGCUAGGGAAAUCGGCCGAUAAAGCUACAGUGUUUUGACCGAUUAGCCGAUGAAGUCGAUGAAGAUUGGCCGAUUGGAAGCCAGAGCAGCUCGGCCUAUAUGGGCCUAAAUGGGCCAAGGCGGUAACAAGGUGAAGAUGGAGUUGGCCCAUAGAGGAUUGAUUGGCGUUCGACUCCGAUGCAAGUUGUACCUGUAUGUAAAUUUUUGUUAUUUUGAAUAAGAGAUAAAAUCGUAGUCGGUUAGGAAAGCAGUUGUAACAGGGUAUAUAGGUGCCUUGCGAGGCUUGUUAAACAACCAACAAUCAUCAAUAAAAAUCUAAUUUCUCACGCAACUUUACUUUGAAGUCGGUGACUUCGCCAAACCUUUUUCUUUUCACGAGUUCGUAUGAGUUGGCAGGGCUGCAUCAACACAACCUCCAGCGAAUUUGUAAGUUCCGCGUAUCGAGUAAUAUCUAAGCUUUAACUUCAGGUGCAUCGCUGUUGUUUCGUUUAGAUUUAUUCACUAGUUAUCGAUAUUUACUAGAAUUAUAGGUUUUACCUGUUAUUUUAGUUUUUAUCAUCAGUUAUCCAGCUUGAGGCACGAACUGUCGGCUAUAUGAAUAUUUUGUUUAUUAUCAUACAGCCAAUUAGAUCUGUUACAAGUGUUGUUUCUGUAGCAUUGUUUAGGUUACUCCAGUAGCUUCUUUUACAAUUGCCACAUGAUUAUCAGUUGUUUCAUAGCCGGUCAUCUUUUAAAUCGGCCAAUCCACUAAUACAUCUUUUGGAAUAGAUCGGAACUUUAGUCGAUCGAAUCUCUGGAAUUUGAUAUCUUUUCUUCCUUGUCAAUCAACAGGUCAGAUUGACUGGCACACCACGCGAACCACACCAGGGCGAUAACCCAAACAGGAGCUAAGCAAAUUCUCUCGGGUCGUGUGUCCGACACAGGAGUCAGGGCCACUGUCCGUUUUUUUGCGUCAACACAUUUUUGGCAUGCCCAGUGGAACCAACGGAAGACUCAACAUGUCGAAGGCUGCUGAAAUCUCAGAAGACAACGUCAUUGAAGUCACUGAGGUAGAUCUCAAGGACGACCAGAGGGAUGAGAUGGCAAAGGCUAUGGAAGAAUUCAAGAAGGCUUGCCUGCAAUCCUACAGCCGCACCAGGAGCGGGGAACCCGUCAAGAAAACCGCUCUCCCGACUCCUUGCCGAAGACUUCGGGAAGAUGUUCGAGAUGAUCCAGCAGUCUAUCUAUUAGGCUAUGAUUGAUCAGUCCAAGGUGAUGACUCACACAGUGUAUAAUGCUGUCAUCAGCUCCAUGGCCAAUGGUGUGGCGCAGGGGUAUCAAGGGCCAGCUUAUGCCCCUCCUCUCAGCGCACCGGUCAGAGGCUUCUCGGUGGUACCUAGCAUAUUUCAGUUGGCUCCUCAGCCGAUGCAGAUGUAGAACGGGGGUAUAACACCAUGUUGCCCCUAGGUUAUUGUGGUGCACCACCUUUUCAAUCGCAAGUACCGUUUCACCCUACACCUGUGAGGCUGUGCAACCGCCGUUGAUGACAUCGGCGCAGUGGGGGACGGCAGGAAUGCCUGCCGAUUUGGAUCCAUCCACUAGUUACAGAAAAUCUCCGGUGUAGACGUCAUUUCCAUCGGCUUCCCGGCCGACAGUCCCGCAAUAUCAACGGACUGUCCCAGAAAUCGGCAGGGGGGCAGGCGUUCCGGAUCCCCUCAGAACUGCAGCGCUAAUGGUAUUGUAUGACAAGGUAGAAGAUGCGCUACGACACAUAGAUCCUACUCGUCAGUAGCCGUUCGCUCCUCAGCCGACAGUCCAGCUGCAAGAUCUACAGCAUGCUCCAAUCUUUCACCCAAUCACGGUGCCACAAGUUCAACAGCAUAUGCCGAUGGCUCAGCCGAUUGCACAUCAGCCGCAACAGCAGAAGGUGGAUUGAACCACAAGAAUAGCUGAUAUAAUACAAGACCAGUUCGGAUUGAAGCCAAAAGUGCAAACCUACACAUACAGGAUGCCGUACCCACCCGCCUAUGACCUAUUGCCGUUCCCUCAUCGGUACAAGGUGCCCGACUUCACUAAACUCUCGGGCCAGGAUGACACGUCCACGGUGGAGCACGUCAACAGAUUCAUCAUCCAGUGCAGAGAAGCUGUUGCACAAGACGCUCUGAGGGUACGGUUGUUCUCAUCAUCCCUGUCCGGGUUAGCCUAGUUUUGACUGAUGGCCAGCUGGCCGAUACCGCUUUCCAAGAACUCCUACCGCACAUCAAAGAAAAAUAUGCUUCCCAGGAAUUCGAGAGUCUCAGCCAAAUAGUACACCGGCUGUUUGGUCAGGAGGUGCACCCCUUUGACCAAUGAAGAAACUUCCAGAAAAAGGUGGCGUACGUGGCAGGGUUCGAUUCAGAAGAGGAGGCAGAAAUUGGCUUGGCAGAAUGGGUCAAAGGCAAAAAGUCAAUUUCAUGCCCAUUUGGGAAAAAGGAAUCGGAAACGUUUGGCUUUGAUACAUCUAAGGCUGAUAAGAUCUUCGAUUUGCUGCUAUAGGAAGGACAGAUCAAGCUCUCACCCUACCACACAAUCCUGUCGGUCGAACAGCUUAAGAAGAUGAAGUACUGCAAGUGGCACAAUGCAACAUCUCACAACACCAAUGAGUGCAAAGUGUUCCGUCAGCAAAUAUAGUUGGGCUUCGAGCAAGGGAGACUUAAAUUGGAAGUCCCCACAAAACCAGCAAAAUCGAUGAAAAUCGACCAGCAUCCCUUCCCAUCCAACAUGGUCGACGUCGGCGGAAAGAACGCACUCUAGACCAAGGCGCUGACAUCAGAAUCAGCUAGAGGGAGCGGGGUUGUGGACCCCAGGAAUCAGGUCUCGGGCGGUGAUGUUAAAGGUAAAGGCAGAGCAGAAAUAGAGGAAGAGAACCUGGAGAGGCCCCGUCAGCCUAUCACAUCUCGGGACCUACUCAACAAGUACCAAAGGCAACAGGAAGAUACGAGACACCGGGAACAGAUGAUGCGCCAGCACGAGGACCACUGGAUGUGUCCGUUCUUCAUCCACUGUUGGGAAAAUAAUCUCAGAUUUCCAUCGGCCGACAACUACCCUGAGUGCAACGGCCAGUACCAUGGCAGCCGUUCGUUCAAGAGGUCACGCUCUGGAGAUCGAGGAUAGGAGCCGAUCAGUAGAAAUAGGCUUGAACAAGAAGACAGACGCGUUUCAGUGCGUGAUCGGCUGGGGGGCAGAGUAAAUGUGUAUAAUCGGCUAGGGGGCAGAGCUAGCGCAUAUAAUCAGCUGGGAGACAUGGCCGACGCAAGAGUCUCUGACAAAAAUCCGUUGGGCCGAGAACCGGGUUGGGAACUUACGAAGCUGCCGGGUAAACUAGUGAACCCCAGAUGGUGCCCAGAUGGUUUGACCAAAUCCCAGAAGAGAAGGGUCGAGCGCUUACGCCAAUGGGAACAACAAGAGGAAGAAUAGAGGCAAGCGUUGGACAAAAAAGGAGUCAAAUCUCAAGUUUGGCGCCCCAGAAGAAAAGCCGACGAAGAAAAUGAUGAUCAGGGUUCGGCUGCCGAUGUUAACAUGGUGUUCAUCUUACCAAUGGAGUUCAUGGCUCCCGCUAACCGCGACAACGCAACAGAGAUAGAAGAGCAGAUGGCACAAUAGUGGAGCAUUGCCGCAGCCGAUGCGCAACAGUGGAGUUACGAGCAUGUCAGAUGCAUAUCUGCCAGGACCUGGGACACUAACUUCUUGAAGGUGUCCGAUUUCGGUCUACAUCCGAUCCAAGCAGUUGGCUCAAAAGAAUCAUCUUGAUGGAUGAGUUCAUCCGAGAGGAUGGGAAGCUUGGGCACGGGUUUAUGUCAGCCGAUUCGUUAGAGAUGGUAGACCUUGGAGAUGGUAGCAAGCCAAGGCUGACGUAUAUUAGUGCUAAAUUAGAUCCUGAGUAUAGGUGUGAGUUAGUGGAUUUGUUAAGGGAAUUUAAAGAUUGCUUUGCUUGGGAGUAUCAUGAAAUGCUUGGACUAUACCAGUCUAUUGUCGAAGACCGGUUGCCCAUAAAAUCAGGGUAUCGGCCAUAUCAGCAACCCGCACGACGUUGUAACCCAAAAAUUCUACCUAAUAUAAAGGCCAAAAUCACAAGGUUAAUUGAAGUAGGGUUCAUCCGGCCAUGUCGAUAUGCCGAUUGGAUUUCUAAUAUUGUUCCUGUAUAUAAGAAAAAUGGAAAAACUACGUGUUUGCAUUGAUUUCAGAAAUCUUAACCAAACUAUGCCGAUGGAUGGUUUCCCGAUGCCGACGGCCGAUGUUUUGAUAAAUUCUGUCGUGGGACACAAGGUCAUCAGCUUUAUGGAUGAUAACUCUGGAUAUAAUCAAGUAUUAAUGGCCGAAGAAGAUAUCUCCAAAACAGCCUUCAGGUGUCUUGGUCAUCUCAAUUUGUUCGAAUGGGUAGUCAUGACUUUCGGUUUGAAAAAUGCUGGAGCUACAUAUCAGAGGGCCAUGAAUUAUAUAUUCCACAAGCUUAUCAGUGUUCUGGUAGAAAUUUACAUCGAUGAUGUCAUUCUCAAGUCAAAGGGACAUCGAUAGCAUUUGGCAGAUUUACGCAAGGUGCUGGAGUGCACAACGAAGCAUGGAUUGAAAAUGAACUCGAACAAGUGCGCUUUUGGUAUUUCGGCUGGUCAGUUUCUAGGUUUCAUGGUCCACGAGCACGGCAUCGAGAUCAACCAGAAGAUCAUAACCGCCAUCAACAAAGUUGUGGCCCCACAAGACAAGACUAAGUUGCAGUCCUUAAUUGGCAAGAUCAACUUCAUUCGGAGAUUCAUAUCAAACCUUUCUGGACGCGUUCAAGCUUUCAGCCCAUUGUUGAAGUUGAAGCUCGAUCAAGAAUUCGUUUGGGGUGAAGAACAACAAAAAGCAUUAGAUGACAUCAAGCGAUAUCUGGUGUCCCCUCCCAUGUUGGUUCCUCCUCAGGCUGAUAAGCCUUUUAGAUUGUAUCUUUCAGUUGAUGAAUGAGCUAUUGGUUCGGCGCUUGUCCAGGAGUUUGAAGGAAAAGAAAGGGUAAUUUAUUACGUCAGCAGAAGACUCUUGGACACAAAAACCAGGUAUUCUCUGGUGGAGAGGUUGUGCCUUUGUCUAUAUUUCUCUUGCACUAAACUUAGGCACUACCUAUUGUCGGCAGAAUGUGUAGUCGUGUGUAAAGAUGAUGUCGUCAAGUACAUGUUAUCACUGCCAAUUUUAAAGGGUAGGAUUGGAAAAUGGAUUCUAGCCCUCUCGAAAUUCGAUUUGAGGUAUGAAUCAACCAAGGCCAUCAAGGGUCAAGUAAUGGCUGACUUCGUAGCCCAACACUGUGGACCGGAGGUUACUGUCAUCGAGCCGGUUCUGUGGACUUUGUACUUUGAUGGAUCUUCGUGUGGGGCUGGAUCAGGAAUCGGCAUCAUCCUCAUAUCGCCUCGGGGGGCAAGUUAUGAUUUAUCUCUACCAAUUGAUGCUUCUGCCACUAAUAAUCAAGCAGAGUAUUAGGCCGUCUUAAAAGGCAUCCAACUUUUGAGGGAAGUCAAGGAUGACGCAGUGGAGAUAUUUGGGGAUUCCAUGCUCAUCGUAGAUCAGUUGAUUGGAAAGUGUGAGUGCAAGGAUGAUAUUUUGAGGAUUUAUUAUGAGGAAUACCUCCAGUUACUCAAAGAAUUCAAGAUUGUAGUUAUUGAACAUAUCCCUAGAGACUACAACGAAUAAGCUAAUAGACUUGCCCAGCACGCUUCUGGUUACCGGCCGAUUCAUGGCGCUUUGGCUCUAGAGCUUGCAGUCGACGACUCGAGGAAAGAGAUCACCGACUAUCUAAAGGAUCCAUCCAGGAAAGUUGAUCGGCGGAUACGUUUCCAAGCUACAAAGUACGUAUUACUUGAAGAUGAAUUAUUUUAUCAGACGAUUGAUGGGGUGUUACUCAAAUGCCUCGACGUAGAGGAAGUAAAGAUUUUGAUGGGCGAGAUUCAUGAAGGUGUAUAUGGGGCCCAUCAAUCAGCUUUUAAAAUGAAAUGGAUGAUUAGGAACAAUGGUUAUUACUAGCCGACAAUACUCAAAGAUUGUUUUAAAUAUUAUAAAGGCUGUCAGGAUUAUCAGAAAUUUGGCAACGUGCAACGAGCACCGGCCUUGGCUAUGAACCCGAUAAUAAAGCCGUGGCCGUUUAGAGGCUGGAGAAUUGACCUCAUCGAUCAGAUCUAUCCGCCGUCAAGCAAAGGGCAUAGGUUCAUAUUGGUGGCUACUGACUAUUUCACCAAGUGGGUUGAGGCGGUUUCUUUGAAAGUUGUGAUGUCGGCCAACAUGAUCGAAUUCGUGAAACACCACAUUAUUUAUCGGUUUGGUAUUCCUCAGACUAUUACAACUGAUCAGGGAUCAAUGUUUACCUCAAGGGAGUUCACUGCCGGUAUGGGGAUUAAAUUGUUCAAUUCUUCUCCGUAUUACGCUAAGGCCAAUGGUCAGGCCGAAUCGUCCAACAAAGGGGUUAUUAAGCUGAUUAAGAGGAAGAUUGAAGAAAAACUAAGAUAGUGGCAUACGACGCUGAGUGAGUCCUUGUGGGCCUAUCAGAUGGCUUGCCACGGUGCCACCAAGGUGUCCCCUUAUCAGUUAGUAUAUGGGCAUGAAGUAGUAUUGCCUUGGGAGUUGAAGACUGGGUGUAAACGUAUGUCGCUUCAGGAUUAGUUGUCGGCCGAUGACUAUUCCACUCUCAUGAGGGGAGAGUUGGAGGAUUUGGCGAGUCAGCGGCUAAGGGCCUUGAUUAGUAUUGAGGAGAAUAAGAAAAGAGUCGCCAGAUGGUAUGAUAAGAAGGUCAAGGUCAAGCAAUUUUCCCAAGGGGAUUUAGUCUGGAAGUUGGUCCUGCCGAGAGGAUCUAAAGAUCCCAAAUAUGGAAAAUGGUCGCCUACUUGGGAAGGGGCGUACCGGAUUAGCCAAUGUGCUCCAGGCAACGCGUACAUACUGGAGACUUUUGAGGGAGAGGAAUUUACAAGGGCUCUGAAUGGAAGAUAUUUGAAAAUAUACUACCCCAGUAUAUGGGUAGACACUUAGCCGAUAAUGUGGCAUAUCGGACUUUCACGACCGACGCGUAUUUAGUUGUGUUCAUAUAGCCGAGGCGAGGGGCAUCGCCUUAAGAUUGAAGGAUUUAUAUGAAUAAACCGAUCAUUAUUUGGUACAUCAACUGGAUACAUGGCUGACAUGGUACAAGUCGCCCUCAGAUAAAAAGUACGAACACACUUAUAAGUUACAAUGAUUCAACGGAGUUCCAGUCAAGCUUUAUUCAUGUCAAUCUCUUUCUGAAGUCGAUCUAAUUCGAUCUGAAGUCGGGCAUUCUUCUCCACUUCUGCCAUGUCAUCUUCGAGGGCAACUUGACGAGGCAGUUGGUGACUCCUUUCGACUGGUUGCUGAGUUGGCCUUCUAGAAGCUUUGGCUUCGAUGUCGUCUACAAUCCUCUUGAUGUGCACAGGAAGGUGAUCCCUGAGUUCCUCGCGAUGAGUUUGGAUCAGAUCUUUGUUAGCCUGGGUCAGCGGUUCAUCGAAGUGCAUAAUCUCAAUGGCUCGUUCAAGACCGGGGCUGAGCCAGUUUGGCUGUGAGGAUAAUAGAUUAUCAAUUGAUAGAAAAAAUCAGUUGAAGAAGGAGAGAGUUAACAUGUACCUGAUUGAUAGAAGAGGAGGAAGCCAUUUUGGUUGCCUGAUCGAAGACUUGAAAGUGUCUACAGGGAGCGAGAUUAAUGGGUGCUGUGUGAGUGCCUUUGGAGGGGAUGCGAAGGACUUGUAUUUAUAGAACAAGAUGGCGAAGGGCAACAGUUGGUAAAAGGAGGGCAUUUAAAGCAAGUGACUAUUGAGUCAAAAGGCUGUGGGAAAAGCCAUUCAGAUUCGCAUUCAAGAUAGAAACGUCAAAAGUGUCAACAUUAUACAAGAUAUUGCGGUGAACCUGGUCAGCUGCAUCCAACACUCAUCGAUCAUUUUCGAUCGAUCCUGGGACUUCUAGCAUAUUGUGGUGAAGACGGAUGGCCUCAUGAGUGAGAAUUUGUCUUUCUUGUUUCAAAUCGGCAAUGAUAGUUGGACGAUCUUUGAGCUUCUUUUCUUCAGCAGCGAUAGCCUUCAUGACUUGUUCCAUCUCUUUGGCAAGUUCUGCUCUGCGCCGUUUGAGCCGGUCUAUUGCACUGAUGAUGUCCGGACGAGAAGUUUCGAGGAGGCUGAUUUGCCGGUGUAUCUCUUGCGCACGAUGUUUGAAGGACUCUUCUUCUUGACACACCUUAUCCAGUUUAGCACGGUCGGCCAUGUGUCGCAAGGCUCUAAACACUCAAACCCACAUGGUUUCGAUGUAUGUUGCGGGUGUUAGAGCCUCUUCUACAUCUUCUGGGACUUGGCCUUUGAUCUCGUUGAAGAUUCGCCAUAUUGUUUCGGCAUCCUCCACCAAUCGGCCGACAUUUUCCUAGAGAAGGGUUCGCAUGUUUUGGAGCUUGGCACAGACAUCUUUUGGUAUUGAGCUCAAGGUUAUCUGGCGUGAUGCGACUUCCUCAUCAUUGGAGACCGCAAUUGCAAAAGAGAAGAGGCUGUUAUUUAGUGUAUCCUGUUCCUGCAGAGAAGGGGAAAAAUGUUUUAGCCGACAGAAGCAAGAAAUUGGCUGGUAGAGAUAGAAGGUCCUUACCUCUUUAAAACUUAUCUCUUCUGCUUGGGUUGGCAGGAUUGCUGCUCCCGUCUCAGGAAUCAGCGGUGGUAGUUCAUCAGAGGGAGAAGAUUCAAUAAUAAUCGACUCUCUGGUAAUGGCUGGUAAGGUGCUUGGGCCAGCCUUCUGGAGAAGGGAAAGGGAAGCAUUUGUGAGUAUAAAAAGAAUACUAGAUCUAAAUGUGGGUCUUGGUUUUCUUACCUUGGGAAUCGCGCAGCUGAUAGUCGCUCAAGGGGAACGACCGAUGUGUCUAGAGCAUCCUGUGCUAAGAAUCAGCCGAUUUUAGUUGAAAGAAUUAUGGAGAUUAAGUGAAGAGCGUGUUCUUUACCUCAAUCGGAAGAUUUGUUGGUGGCACAGUUUCGGCUCGGGGAUCGGCCGAUUGAGGAACAGUUUGCUCUGGAGUGAGCUAUGCAGCCUGUUAAGAAGGGACGAAUUUAGUAUUGGUGAUACAUAUGAAGAAGUUAGAGCAGUAAGAUUACCUGUAUGACCUCCACCAGAAGAGAUGCAACCGCCAAUCCAGCUUCUAAUGCCGCUAGGGGAUCAAUGUCCUGAAUUGUCGGCAGGACAUCUACUUGGAUUGGUGUGGCUGAGAGCUCGACCGAUGUUGCUGCCAAUUGGUCGGCUGUCCGAGUUAUUGCCGAUUCAGUACAACCUCGUACCCUGCGGCUCCUUUUCUUUGUGGUAGACAUUUUGAGCUUGUGCUUCAAUGGGCCGGUGGCUAUAUCUUCCAUUGAUGGGGCAUGAUAGCUGAUAAGAGGGUACGACAUGUACGAAUGAUGGGUCUCUAUCAGCCUGCUGCUCCGACUAUGCGUUGGAGGCACUUGGCUAUCGACCUGCACGGAGAAGAAAGGACAAUGAUGAAAAAGUUCUAUGGCAUGAAAGAAUGAAAGCAAGGAAUCGGCAAAAAAAGUAUUGUUACCUCUGCGUUCGGAUCGGCGUGAGUGGGGUCUAGUUGAUUGCAAUACACCGCAGGGGCCACACAGAAAAGGUGAUGUUUCCACAUGGCCCACCAUAAUUUGAAUUGCUGAGUAGAGAAGGGUACCACCAGCCAAGUGCUCAGAUCGAUGGUGUUAGAGUCCAUGUCAGAUUGCAUAAUCUGUUGUAUUCAAAUCCUCUUGAAAGCAGUUCUCGAAAUUUCACUCGGCCGACGAAGUGGACUCCGAUUGGCAUUUGUCCCAAGCCAAAUUGUCUGGCUGCUACCGAUGGGUUGUAGAACUCGUAUGUUGGGGACUCCUUCCCAGAAAAGAAGUUUGCCGGCAGAAUUCCAGGCUUCAUCAGGAUGUCCAUGAUUCCCACAUCAAAGGUAUUGGUACUUGAGUCAAAGCAGUCAGGGUUCUCAAAAGUUGGAUCUUCUCUUUGAUACGGAUACCAAUUCAUUACUUCUUCUUUGAAGCCAUUAUAAAAGCAUCUGAAGUGCUCAGCUAUUCUUGAGGGAGCAAGCUUGCUGCCUGGGAAAGAAGAUACAGCUUCUCCGAAAAAGGUGCAGCGGCGUCUUGCCGAUGGGUCAGUCUCUGAUUCGACAUUAGGGAAGGUCUUGGUCUCGAUCCGCUCUUUGAGGAUUUUUCUCAUUUAUAAGUUGAGCCAAAGGUUGAUAAACCACCAUGGACCACCAGGGUUCCCAAUGGGUUCCCCAGAUGACAGCUUCACAGCGACUUGAUGUAACAUGUAGUACACUGACCCUAGCAAGUGUUUUCCCAAAGGGAUAGCGGCGCCUCUUACUAGUGCUUCGACCAAGGCUUGCGUGUUGGAGGUAGGACCAGCCGAUUUGCCAUAGAAAAGAUGUUUUUCCAGCCACAUCAUCAAGAAGUUGUCUGCUCCUUUUCCAUGAUAGGUCUGGUCUUCAUGUUCUUCUUGAUGAAGCCUUUCCAUCUACCGAUAGCUUUUGUUUCCAACCAGUGGGUGGGUUUGAUUAAAAGAUCGAAGGGUGUAUCGACAAAGGAGAUAUCGAGGCCAGUCAGCAUCAGAACAUCGACCAAGGUUGGAGUCAUUGGUCCGUGACCAAAAAGAAACGCAUUGAGAGCGUCGAACCAAAAAUAAGAUGCCGUGAUGAGCAGAGAGUCAUUCCUCUCCAUAUGGGAUACGGAUAGAUUUAUGUAGUGGUCGAUUUUCCGCUCAUCCCAGAAGACUCUCUUGGAAUUCGACAUCCUAAAAAACCAAUCUCUGCAGUCGGGAGUUUGAUUCGGCCAAGACUUGAAGGUGUUCGUCCAAUUGUCCAAAUCCAUGGUUGAUUGUUUGAAUAGAAUCUUGUUAGUUUCCAGACUAAUCAAAUCGGUUGGGUCAGGGUCUCCCAUAGGUCCUAGACCGAUGAAUCCGGGGGUGUCGGCCAUGGGGAUGGUAAUUCUGUGCCUGAGUUCCUGACCAAAUGCGAAGAAAGACUAAGAACAGAUCUAGAAAUUGCGAAAAGGUAAAAAAAGGGGGGUUCGGAAGAUUUUACCUCCGGAACGAAGGCCAUGGUGGCUGUGGGGGCUGCCAUUGAGACUUGGAAGCCAGCGCGAUCAACGAAGAAUGGGAGAAAGUCACUGGAGUGCACUGAAAUGCACCUAGAGGCAGAACAAGCGUGGGUGCCAGAGUGUCUUGGGAGACAAUUCGCCAGGAAGGGAACCCUUUUCAUCCGGAGGAAGAAGAACCAGCGGAAGAGAUGAGUGUCUGGGGAAUGGCUCAAGAGAGGAGUAAAUAUGGAAUUUUUGCCGCGCCAUCUGCGCUAGUUUCGAAAAGAGCGGUUGCCUGCGAGUGCUCUAUUAAAAAAAUGCAAUCAUCAGAAGAUUUUGGGAGCAAAAAGGGUUUUGCCACAUUUAUUGUUGCAUCUCUUCCGGAGGAAGGAAUCGGAGUUGAGAAAAUUUUGGAGCAAAAGGUGUGUUUAACUCCGAAACUAGGGGGCAUGUGUUGAUGCUGAUUUUUGACACAUGUUAGGUUCGGCGUCAAGGAGAGAAGCGAAUGGCCAACGCAGUCAAACAGGAGGUUGUGGCUAGGGAAAUCGACCGAUAAAGCUACAGUGUUUCGGCCGAUUAGCCGAUGAAGUCGAUGGAGACUGGCCGAUUGGAAGCUAGAGCAGCUCAGCCGAUAUGGGCCUAAAUGGGCCAAGGUGGUAACAUGGUGAAGACGGAGUUGGCCCAUAGAGGAUUGAUUGGUGUUCGACUCCGAUGCAAGUUGUAUCCGUAUGUAAAUAUAUGUUAUUUUGAAUAAGAGAUAAAAUCGUAGUCGGUUAGGAAUCAGUUGUAGGUGCCUUGUGAGGCUUGUAAAACAACCAACAAUCAUCAAUACAAAUCUACUUUCUCACGCAACUUUACUUUCAAGUCGAUGACUUCUCCAAACCUUUUUCUUUUCACGAGUUUGUAAGAGUUGGCAGGGCUGCAUCAACACGAUCUCCGACCAAUUUGUAAGUUCUGCGUAUCGAGUAAUAUCUAAGCUUUAACUUCGGGCGCAUCGCUGUUGUUUUGUUUAGAUUUAUUCACUAGUUAUCGAUAUUUACUAGAAUUAUAGGUUUUACCUGUUAUUUUAGUUUUUAUCAUCAGUUAUCCAGCUUGAGGCAUGAACUGUCGGCUAUAUCAAUAUUUUGUUUAUUAUCAUACAGCCGAUUAGAUCUGUUACAAGUGUUGUUUCUGUAGCAUUGUUUAGGUUACUCUAGUAGUUUCUUUUACAAUUGCCACGUGAUUAUUGGCUGUUUCAUAGCCGAUCAUCUUUUCAAUCGGCCAAUCCGCUGAUACAUCUUUUGGAAUAGAUCGGAACUUCAGCCGAUCAAAUCUCUGGAAUUUGAUAUCUUUUCUUCCCUGUCAAUCAACAGGUUAGAUUGACUAGCACACCGCGCGAACCACACCAGGGCGAUAACCCAAACAGGAGCCAAGCAGAUUCUCCCGAGUCGUGUGUCCGACGCAGGAGUUAGGGCCACUGUCCGAUUUUUUUGCGUCAAAAGGUUGUUGUUGUUCUGGCCUCUGUUACGACUAGACUUGAAAUGCUUGAUCUCUUUGUUUUCUUCAUCCUUCCAAGCUUGUAUCAUAAUCUUGAGACAUUUGAUAUCUUUCGGGCGCCUCUUGGCAAAAUCUUGGAACAUCCGACGGUCGUAGAGAUCAUUUUGGAAGCAAUCUAUAGCGUCCCGCUCUGUGAUUCCAUGAUAGUGGCCUUCUUGUCGAAGAAACAGCGUAGAUAACUACGCAAGGUCUUGCCUUAUUGCUGUUUGAUUUGCAACAAGUCGAUCCUGUUGCCAGGACGUUGCAUUGCCCCUGCGAAUGGCCCUACCUCCAUGUAAAUGGGGAAGUAGAUGACUUUAGUAUCAUCGUAUCCUCCCGCUGCCUAGACUGAUAGCGAGUAGAACCUCAGCCAUUGUACUGGGUCUUGCUUGCCAUCGUACUUGGUAAUACCCGAAAGUUUAAACUUGUCAGGUAGAACCGUCUUGCGUACUGGUUGUGAGAAGGCGGGAAACCUGUUGGAAUCUUCUCCUGAGUAAUCGACUUCUAGCUCGCGUUCGUGGCGGCACCCUUCGAUGAUGUCACGAGGGUCACGAUUCUUGUUGAGCUUUUGACGGAGGUCACGUGUUGGUUGCUCAGGCUCUAGAUGGGGCUCACGGCCUCCUGAGGGGUUUUACCCGACAACCUUCUGGCCUGUGCUGACUUGCUCUAGGGUUCUCAAUUCUUGGAACCUCGUUUCUAGCAACCUCAUUGCGACCAGGCCUGGCACUCUCAUUACAACUUGGAUGCCUACAACUGAUGCCGUGAUAGGAUGAGGUGCGCUGAACUGAGCUGAUCGGGCUCUGUCGAUCGUGCUGCUCGUACGCAUGCUCCGCCAAUAAAGCUAGUUGCCUAGUGUACUUGGUUUGCGGCAUUGCCCAAGAAAUCAGGUCAAUGGAUGCAAUGGUGGCGAGAGGAGUGUGAUGAUGAUGCAAUUGAACUGCUUCAAUCACAUGGUCCAAGUUCAUGAUGGGUAGAUCAGAUGCAAGGCGGUGGCAAUGAUCUGCUCAUGCCGCGUUUCUUGCUCGCCGUCGAUCUCUUUGACUCUCGGUCUCUUCUCCUUGUACGUUGGUAGUGAGCUCAUCCGCUGACAUGUCGUCUGGAUGGCGCUCAUGUUGCGGAUGCCCUUCUGGUGGUUCGUCACCAUCGUCCUCUUGAGGAGCGACGAUGGCGAGUAGUUCUCGCUUUGGGAGAAACUACCCAAACUUGAUGUGAUGACCUAUGUGGAACUGUCUUCUUUGUAGAUAGGCGAUAGAUGGGUUCCCUCCUGGUAUGGGAGGUUGUCAAUAUAUGCAACAAGGUGUGACUCGUCGUCCUUGGCAAGAGCAGAUGGCUUCAUGUCCAGCUAGUAGAGGAAUCUGCCUUGUGGAGUUGACAUGAUUACCAGGCCCUGCUGCAGACCUGAUAAAGGGAUUUUCUCAUCCGGAUCUGAGUAGUAGUCAAUGUCCUCAAUCGAAUCCGAGUUGGACUGAGAUCUGGACAGGGUGUCUUGAUAGACAACAUUUGAGUUUCGGAGUCUGAAUGGGAAUCGAGUUGUGUCGUAGACUGAUUCACAUGAUGGCUUAAGCGCCAGCUCCUGGGAACCAGUUCGGUUAGUGGGAAAAGUUGAGUUGUACUCAGACUCGUCCCUCGAGCCUCGACAGAGGUCGAAAAUUUUGUUGAAUUUUUUAACGAAAUCCUCCAAAGCUUGGCGACCAAGAUUGACGUUAUAGUGAUUCUCCUCUGGGGUCGGCGCGAUGUGGCGGUGGAAGUUUCUAGCGCUGUCUGUAAUGCAAACCCAAAAGCCGAAGAUGAACAUCGCGCCCGCUUUGAAUGCGACGGUGGGCUUAAUGAUGACUUGAGUCAUCGAGUUCGCUAGUGGAUCUUUAGCGAGAUCCCCUACUAGGCGCGCCAGCUGUCGGUGUUUAGACCCAGCAACCUACUUGAUGAAGACUAGGAACUCGAAGGUGAAAUCGAACACACGAUUUAGAUAGGUUCGGACCGCUUAUGUCACGUAGUACCCUACAUCCUGUGUGUUGGUUGGAUUGUAUUGAUUGAAUUUAUUUGGAGGGGGUCCCUGCCUCGCCUUAUAUUGCCGGGGGUAGGUGUGACGGCCUUGGACAAAAAUCCUUCGCGUCAAUCUUAAUCCGAGCCCCUGAUCACCUGUCUUAGUUUUUCCAAGCCUAAGUGUUCAACCUCCAGAUCUUUCGACCCCUGCGAUCCGACCCCUCACCGUGGUCUCCCCAGUUCUGACCCCGCCGACCCCCAACCCACCGUCGGAUCUUUCUAAGCCAUCCCGCAGCAUCGCCCUCCAGAUCGAGCAAUGGACCAGCGAGACUGACCGGCGGGCCUACGAGAUCUUUUCCCCCAAAUCUACCGUGAUAGGCGCACUCGAGUUGCAUGCCCGCUUCAGUUUUUCCCCGCCGCGUGGCUCAACUCCUCCGACGCCCGCCGCUCCGCCUCGUUUUCGGCCCGCGACCGGAUGGAUUCUCGCGCCCCCUUCCACAAUCGCGGCGGAAGCUCCCCUGCUACCCUUUCUGCAGCACCUCGCCGCCCGCGCCCAUCAUCACAUCGCCAGAUCCCGGCCGUAGAGCCCGAUGCCGCCCGUCUUUUCCGUCACCUCGCCACAGUCGCGCCGCCCCGGUCUUCGCUACAGGACGAUUCCUCCUCCGCCAACCUAGACCGCGGUAGCGACAGCUCCUUUUCCCGCCCUGGCAGAAGCCGCCCUGACAAUCUGUUGCUCCGAGCUCGCCCGCGCGCCCGCAGCCGCUUGUCUUCUUACCUGCGCGCCCUCGAUCCUAGCGCUGUUUUCCCGGUCACUUCCAUCACAUCCACCACACGACGAUGCCCGCCUCCGCCAAAUCUCAACCACCGGCAAACCCGCGCCUGCGCCGCCCUGGCGUUAGUGCCCAAUGACCGCCGGCGUCAUCCCCGAAGUCCUGCUUCACCGCCCUCGUCGCUCAAUCGCCGCCCGGGCCGAGCACUCCAUCGCUUCUUCCCCGGCCUUCGCGCCGCUCCCCUUCUCACUCCCGCGCCGCUAUAAAAGGGAAUGCAAAAGUCCCGCCGGAGUUCCCUUGCCCUAGUUGCCAUCUCUCUUGCUCCCUGUUCGAGCUCACAGCUCCACCACCUAAGUCGGACGAACUCUCCUCUCUGCUCAAGCACCAUCUUUUCUCAAAUCCACCAGCCACUGCUUUCAGUGCUGCCCAAGAGCUUACUUGUGAUCCACAAGAAGCACCGCUGCCGCCGGACAUUCUCGCCGCUGUCCCAAGCCCUUAGUUCUUCCGCCCAAGCCUCCUCUGUAAGAAGAAGGUAGGCUGCCAACCGUUGUUCGCUUCGCCCGACCCCUCUUAUCCGCCCGACCCCGGUUCCGUCUCGCCUGACCCUGUCUGUUCCGCCGACCCUUCUCCGCCUCGCCCGAGGGCUCAGCUGUAUCUUUUUCUUUAAACCGAGGGUGUAUGUGUAAAACUUGGGGACCUUUCAGCGUUGAGUCUGAGGACCCCUAGUACAUCAAAUCCUCUAGAUUAAGGGUCAGAUCAUAAGUUCCUUCCCUCCGACCCUUACCUCUUGAUCUCCAUCAAAUCCAUUGAACUUCCCCACCCUCCUGUAACUUGUCGCAAGUUUCUGGGCUCAUACUUGCAAGUGUCGCUGUUGAAAUAACCGUCUAUGCUAACCAAUGCAUUGCAUUCGUGUAGAGCUGCGUCUCGCUGACGGCUACUACGAGCUGCACCCGGCGCCAGAAGACGACAGUGUAGCUGAGCUCCUGCCCCCAGAAGCUGAAGCUGCCCCAGAAGUCGAGCAGUUCCCUUCCUCUUUGCUCGAAGGCAAGCCCCGGAUGCAUGAAUCCCCUAUGUUUUACCAGACUUGCGCAUGCCUUCUUUAACAUGCUUGUGCAUUUACAUAUAGGAGUUGUUUGGAAUCCUAGAUGCAUAACUUAGCUCCCCUGAUCUGAACACUAGCUGUUGGACCGAGUAGAUGCUUGCUUAAAUAGGAAACGGUAAAAGCCGAGUGAUUCCCUGUCACUCGCGAGUUGUAGGAGUUGGAUGUUUACCUUCUGUCACAACUAUAAGGACGAUGGACGGGGCAGGGUUUGAGGUAACUCUUUGGUGGUCGGAUGAUCACCCCGUCUGUCUAUGAAACUUGCUAAGGCCCGAUAGUGGUGGUGUUCGUGAUCAAGUGUUUGAAGGUACUAAUCUCAUACCUAGUAUGGGAUGGGGAAGCCUAGUACCUGAUUGAACUAGGGCGUGGCGUAUACCCCUGCUGUCCCUGGAACGAGGCAUCAUGUGGGUGCAAGUGCGGUCACAGUACGGCAGAGGCCGGGAUUGUGGAGCAUUGCAUGCCAAGGGAAGUUUGGACCUGACACGCGCCUGGGAAUUGAUGGGGACGGACGACACAGGAAGCGGCCCUUGUGGUGCCCGGAUGUCAUGAGAUUACGUUCGCCAUGCAUGGUUAAGAAACUCGAAUCGAUUCGUCUGCCUCUCAUAGUUUGAGACUACUUGAUCGCUAUGUCACCCUGAGUAAGUAAAGAAUCUGAUGAUGACAUGGGUUUGCUGAUGUUGUAUAUACCUUUUGGUUGGUUCUAUGAUUGCUUAGAAUAGGUUGCAAACUUAGACCGGAUAAUGAACUUAGAACCGGAGCUAAAACUUGCAAGUAGGGAUACAUCUAGUGCUUUUGGCAAACAAAUCACCUCAGCCAAAAAGCCCUUGCAUGUCUAGAAGAGGUAGUUUAGCGUGCUCCCUGUCGGUUAAGUCUUGUUGAGCUUAGUAGCUCAGCCCUGUUGUGGCUCUUUCUUUUCAAGUGAAGUUGCUGCUUCCGAGCCCCCUUCAGCUGGCACUUGGCUGCCCCAACUCCCUCCGGGUUGGACGGUCGAGUGGGAUCCCUCCUCGGACGGUGAGGAGAGGGAUCAUUGACGUCCCGGUUAGCCUCACCAGGGAUGUCCGACCCCGACAAAAUAGCUUCCGCUUGUUGUUUUAUCUUCUGUGGUUUUUCUUUCAAACCUUGUAAACUCUGAUGUUGUUUUUACGGUCAAACUAAAUGGUUAAUUUGUUAACUCGGUGGACUUGCUAUAUUCUAUGGAACCGCUCACCUUCGUGUGGGUUUGCUAUUCGGUCCUGUUCAAUGGUUAAAUCGGAUGAAAUCCAACGGCACUUCGGGAUUACUCGGUUAGGCAUGAGCGUCGCGUAUCAUGCGGCUAAAUCAUGGUUAACUAAGCAAAUCUGAAGUGGAUCCGCCACAGCUGGUAUCAGAGCCGGUUUAGCAAUACAGAGAACACAACAAGUCCUAACACACUUCUUUGAAAAGAUAAAAGUUGCAAGAAACCCUUUUAAAAACAUCUCGUACGAUCGUUAAGGAUGACUUUAGUGCGAGAGGCCCUAGGGGAUUUUGUGGUUGUUUUAGGUGGCUAAUAUUUAUUGGUUAUCUUGCUAACCCUUCCAGCACUUCGCCACGUUUAUCAUACGUGUGCCGAGUUCCGCAUCACAAGUAUACGAGGGUUGAUGGGGAGUUCUAUUCAAAGGACCCUAUCAUCGCGGUUGUUUCGCCCACGUCUAUCAUACGUGUGCAGGUUCCGUAUGUAAUCCAUAUGAAGGUUGGUACGGUUCGAUUCCAAUGAGCCUAUCAGCACGGUUGUUCGCCACGUCUAUUAUACGUGCGCUGAUUCCGCAUCGCGAGUAUGCGAAGGGUUAUACGGUUCCAUUCAAAGGGAACCUAUUUCCACGGUUGAGUGCUAUCCAUGCAGCCUUGAACGCAUGGGUGCCGUUCCUAUAGUGAUCGGUAAUGUUUGGGGACGCUUUCGUGGGUGCUGGCACGAAAGGUUCGUGUGGUUGUGUUUUUUUGCAGGUACCCUAACCGCGUUCGCUUAGGAAACAUUGCUAGAACCGACUAGUUAUUAUAGGGAGAGACGUACUGGUUGCCUUGCCACCGGCACUAACUGCAUAAGACCAAGCUUUGGCAGUUGUUUUGGCUAAGAAUGAGGUAGGCCGUGCAUGCGACAUAAGCUAAAAAUCUGUAAAGUCACCUUCCUCAGAAGCAACCUUGCUCGAAGAAGCUCUUCUUCGGUUCUAAGGAUUUCUAGUUUCUUCUAGCUUGUUCUCGGUUAAAACCGGAUGCUUUUUGUCCGACCCCUGACCUUUAGAGUUCAUCUCACGUGGUUUUGGUUCUUGGUUCCAGAUGGCCACCCCCGGACAUGUCCUGUAUGGAGCGGAUGGCACCUUCCAUUCGACGUGUCUACACUUCGAGGGCUUUCCCGCGAUCUUGUGGGAUACCUUGAAAUGGUUCGGGUACCAGUCCCCACCGUUGUAUGCGGGACGACCUGGAGCGAGGCGUCCAAACGUGCAACGUACAGGCAGUAGUACCACCCCCUCCCGUGCGGCCCGACUAGCCCUCGUUUGGGAUAUCAGCAUACGGUCUUGCCCCGGAAGACACCUGGGAGUCAGUUGCUCUUCAGCUCCUUACUCAAUUCUGUCAGCUGCACCCACUGGAGGUCACCCUAGACCCCAUCGGCCUAUUCCCUGCCAGGAACCGGUUGGACCCGGAGUGGCUUGACCGCGUCAACAAUAUCGAGGUGCUGGCCACCACCUACUCUAUGGUCACCAUCUCCACCAAGAUCCGGUUUAUGUCAGCCCUCUAUCGGCUGAUUGAGCUCCAAGGACGAGCCAUGACUAUCCUUGCUUGGACCGCCAUGGAUGCCCAAGGACACCUCCAGGCCACCAAAAGAGACCUGGUAGGCCAAACAUAUCAGCUCAUCCAACGAGGCGUUCAGAUCCAUGACAUGCAGGACAGAAUCUCUGAGCUCGAGGGAGAAGUAGCUGACUUGGUGGACGGCAUGAUCGAACUAUCAGAGGAGAAGAUGGAAGUGGAAAUGGAGCUGGCGGUUGCCAAUGCUCAUCUGGACGAGCAUCACGCCGAGCUCGAUGAUAUGCACGCCCUCCAGAUGCAACUGGAAGCUCAAGAGGACCCUGAGGAGGUUGAGGAAGCGUCCAGCAUGGACAUUGAAGAGGACGACGCCCCUUCUCCUACCCAUAGUGUUCCUUUGUAGAUGGAAAGUUGCAGGAAACCCAUUCUUUUGUUGUACUCCUCGGCAGCCUAAAUUUUGGAAAGUCCUGUAAUAGGUUAGCCUUGAGUCGAGUACUCCUUGUGUUUAGAACACCUCUGUAAAAUGAUCCCAAUGCAAUUCAAACCUGAGUCUGACCUUUGACUCUUUACAGAAUGUUGAAAUGUUAGACAAAGUGAGUUGUGUUGUGACCACACACGUUGUUUUCUGUGGGUCUGUUCAAGUUUGGCCGACCCCGGUUCGCGAGAUCGGAUGCGCCCGACCCUUCGAGGUAGUUCUCCGCCUCGCCCGACUCCUUUUUGGUGUGGAUCGUUGCCGACCCCUUUUGUCGGGAUGAUCGCCUAGCCCGACUCCGUGGCUUAAGUUCGGAUGUAAGGGAAUUCUAGGAGUCUGGGUAUGGAUCGCCCGAAGUCGAGUACAAAGCUAAGAUAGAUGCUAACUAACAUGACAUGAGAAGAGUGUAUCUCCCUUGUGAGGACGUGUGUUGCAUUAUCAGCAAGAGUUGCAUCGGAGAAUUUAACUUAUGCGUUCCCAUCUGUUGGAGUACUUCUAAGAUUAUGAAUUUAAUGGAACGUUAACUCUUGCAGAUGGCGCAUCGCACUAGAUCUGGUUCUGUGCCCGGCAGCAGCGAGCAAAGACAAGAUCUCCCCCCACCCCCACCCCCACCCCCGUCUCCACUAGAGGCAAUCCUAGCGGCUUAGACCGAGCUGCUGAGACAUCUGGUACAAGGGCAACAACAACAGCAGCCCCAUGGUGGAAGGGCUCAGCAGCAACCUCAUGUUGCUCGGUAUGAAGACUUUCUGGGGACGCAGCCCCCAUUGUUCCAGAAGACCCAAGACCUGCUCGAUGCAGACGCCUGGGUUCGCACCAUCGAAUCCAUGUUCGAGCUUCUCACCGCCCAGUGCCCCGAUCACAACAAGGCCAGGUUUGCAGCCCAGCAGUUACGUGGUUCCGCUCGGCUAUGGUGGGAUCACUACCACGCCAUGUUACCGGCCAACCAUGUCAUCAGCUGGAAUGAGUUCAAGAAUGCGUUCAGAGCGCACCACAUUCCGGACGGUCUCUUGGAGCGCAAGCUCAAUGAAUUCCUGGCUCUUCACCAAGGAAACCGAGAUGUGUAACUGUUGGGAUACGAGGUAGGCUACACUAGCGCAAAACAAAAAUUUCUACCGCGUAUAACCAGGAAGAACUGCCGUAUAAGGAUCACGGGAUUACCACUCGACGCACUACUGGUGCGGAAGAUGUAGAUAUGCGUCGGUGCGGUGAAGAUGAUCACGUAGUCGUACGUAGUCGAUCACGUCCAGCAGCUCCUCAGCAACUCGUCCACGUGCAGCAAGAUCGCCUCCGGUGCCGCGGCUCGUCGUCGGCUCGUCGUGGCUCGUCGGCGGCUCGUCGAUGGCUCGUCCAUGUGCUGCAGGCGCAACACCUCCAAGGUAUCCACACGUGCAGGGAGGAAGCGUCGCAAGCCGGAUUGCUAGAUCCGCGAGUUGCAACAGGCGAGGGCGUGGGAGGCGCGGCAAGUGUGUUUCGCCAAAAGGUGUAAACCCUAGGGCGCCCCCACCCCUCUAUUUAUAGAGGUUCCUGAUGGGCCUCUGGAUCCGAGGCCCAUUAGUACUCCUAAACCUAAUCCAACUCGGAUCAGAUCCGAAUUGGGCUUCCAGCCCCUUAAGUGUGUGACCCUAUGGGUUCGGAUACGUAUAGACAUGGCCCGAGUACUCCUACUCGGCCCAGUAGUCGGUAGCGGCCUCUAGCAAGACGUGCCAACUCCUAUACGCACACGAAGAUCAUAUCAGAUGAACCAUCACAACAUAAUAUACAUGCUAUUCCCUUUGCCUCACGAUAUUUGGUCUAGCUUCAAGCCGACCGCUCUUUCUCGAUCCUGUGAUUCGGAAUCCCUUUGUAGGUUAACUCUAAACCGUACGUAGCAUGGCCAUGCAUUUUCGGAUCCGAUCACUCGAGGGGCCCAGAGAUAUCACUCUCAAUCAGAGAGGGGCAAAUCCCAUCUUGACUGACCAUGUCUCAUAGCAUGCUUCUUGACAAACCCGAAAGCUACCUUUAUAACUACCCUGUUACGGCGUAGCGUUUGAUAGCCCCUAAGUAGGUCGAUCCACAUCUAGAAUACAUGCGACAGUCUCAGGUCUAAGGACAAAGCGUAUAUGUUGUUUAAAGAGAGAACUACUUCUCAUGUUGGGUCAGUCCUAGCACAUGUCUCCACAUGUGUCCACAUUAUUAGUUCAACAUCUCCAUGUCCAUGACUUGUGAAACAUAGUCAUCAACUAAUACAUGUGCUAGUCUAAUAUUCAUGUGUGUCCUCACAUGAACUCCGACUAGGGACAACUUUAGAAUAACCAUACAAGUAAAGAGUUUCACAUACAAUUCACAUAAUUGCAAAUCAAUUCAAGUAGCCUUCAAUGGAUAUUCAAUGAACACAACAUACAAAUCAUGGAUACAAAUGGAAUAUCAUCAUCUCUAUGAUUGCCUCUAGGGCAUACCUCCAACAGUCUCCCACUUGCACUAGAGUCAAUCUAGAAGGUACCUAAUACCCAUAGCUCUUACAUGCGCAUCAUGCUUAGCCUGCGGGAGUGGUUUUGUCAACGGAUCAGAAAUGUUCAGAUCCAUGUGUAUUUUGCAUAUCUUGAUCUCACCCCGGUUAACGAAGUCUCGAAUGAGAUGAAAUCGCCGCAUUACGUGUUUGUUCUUCUGGUGGUUCCUUGGCUCCUUUGCUUGCGCAAUUGCCCUAUUGUUAUCACAGUAGAGAUUCAAUGGGCUGGACGCAUUCGGGAACACACCAAGCUCAAUGAGGAAAUUCCUUAUCCAAACACCUUCCUUCGCGGCUUCCGAAGCCGCGAUGUACUCGGCUUCUGUCGUAGAAUCGGCCACCGUCUCCUGCUUGGAACUCUUCCAACUAACAACACCACCAUUCAGCGUGAACACAAAUCCUGAUUGUGACUUUGAAUCAUCUCUGUCGGUUUGGAAACUAGCAUCGGUGUAACCUGUUACAACGAGCUCCUCCUGACCUCCAUAGACGAGGAACAUAUCUUUAGUCCUUCUCAAGUACUUAAGAAUGUUUUUCACCGCUGUCCAGUGACUCUCACCUGGAUCAGAUUGGUGUCUGCUUGUCAUACUUAGCGCAUAUGAAACAUCUGGGCGAGUACUUAUCAUUGCAUACAUGAUAGAUCCAAUAGCCGAGGCAUAUGGCACUCUACUCAUGCGAUCCCGCUCAUCAGCAGUCGAAGGACACUGAGUCUUGCUGAGAUGUAUGCCAUGUGACAUAGGUAAGAACUCUUUCUUUGCCUCUUCCAUGCUGAACCGCUUCAACACUUUGUCAAUGUAAGUAUCUUGGCUUAAACCUAUAAGCCUUCUCGAUCUAUCUCUAUAGAUCUUAAUGCCCAGAAUAUAUGCCGCUUCCCCUAAGUCCUUCAUCGAAAAACUAUUUUUCAGUGAAGUCUUUACGGACUCAAGCAUAGGAAUGUUAUUUCCAAUCAGUAAUAUGUCAUCCACAUAUAAGAUUAGAAAUACUACAGAGCUCCCACUAACCUUCUUGUAAACACAAGACUCUUCUUCGUUCUUGGUGAAGUCAAACCCUUUGACCACUUCAUCAAAACGAAUGUUCCAACUCCUAGAUGUUUGCUUCAAUCCUUAAAUGGAUCUCUGAAGCUUGCAUACCUUUCCAGCAUUUUUCGGAUCGACAAAACCCUCGGGCUGUAUCAUAUACACGUCCUCAGCUAGGUUUCCAUUCAGGAAAGCUGUCUUGACAUCCAUCUGCCAUAUCUCAUAAUCGAAAUAUGCAGCUAUAGCUAGAAUAAUCCGAAUGGACUUAAGCAUCACUACGGGCGAGAAGGUCUCAUCGUAGUCAACUCCUUGAACUUGUCGAAAACCUUUUGCGACAAGUCGUGCUUUAUAGAUGUGAACAUUUCCAUCCAUGUCCUUUUUCUUCUUAUAGAUCCACUUGCACUCUAUGGCUUUAACACCAUCAGGCGGGUCAACCAAGUUCCAAACUUGAUUGUCUCCCAUGGACUCUAUUUCGGAUUGCAUGGCACUCUGCCAUUUUUCGGAGUCUGGGUCCAUCAUUGCUUCUGCAUAUGUCGCAGGCUCAUCAUUGUCCAACAAUAAUAUUUCUCGCAUUUUGCGGAGCCUUGCUGACUUUCGUGGUUGUGGCGGUGCUUCUCUUGCCAUGGGUAUCUCAACUUGUUCUGCUACGUUAGCAUCACUCAUUGAUUCUUGCCUGAUUGGCUCAUCUUGAACUUCUUCAAGAUGCACUGUCUUUCCACUCUUUUCUCCUUUGAGAAACUCUUUCUCUAGGAAAACCCCGUUCCGAGCGACAAACACUUUGCCUUAUGAUCGGUUGUAGAAAUAAUAUCCCAAAGUUUCCUUUGGAUAUCCCACAAAAAUGCACUUAUCCGACUUGGGUGUGAUCUUGUCCGACUGAAGUCGCUUGACAAACACUUCACAUCCCCAAAUCUUUAGAAAAGACAAACUAGGAACCUUUCCAGUCCAUAUCUCAUAUGGUGUCUUAACUACGGAUUUAGAUGGUACCCUAUUUAGUGUGAAAGCUGCUGUUUCUAGAGUGUAUCCCCAAAAUGACAAUGGUAGGUCCGACUAGCUCAUCAUUGAUCGAACCAUGUCUAACAAAGUUCGAUUACGUCGCUCGGACACACCGUUUCUCUGAGGUGUUCCAGGCGGCGUAAGUUGUGGAACAAUUCCGCAACUCUUUAGAUGAUUGCUAAACUCGUGGCUCAAAUACUCGCCUCCACGAUCAGAUCGUAAGGCCUUAAUUUUCUUGCCACGCUGAUUUUCAACUUCAUUCUGAAAUUCCUUGAACUUUUCAAAGGUUUCAGACUUGUGCCUCAUCAAGUAGACAUAGCCAUAUCUACUAAAAUCAUCAGUGAAAGUUAUGAAGUAUUGGAAUCCUCCUCUAGCCGUCGUGCUCAUUGGUCCGCAUACAUCACUAUGUACGAGUUCCAACAAGUCUACUGCUCUCUCAGGAAAUCCUGUGAAAGGUGUCUUGGUCAUCUUGCCUAGCAAGCAAGCCUCGCAUGUCUCGUAUGAUUCAAAAUCAAACGAAGUUAGAAGUCCAUCAGAAUGGAGCCGAACGAUUCUUCAUGCGCUUUUCACUUAUAUGACCCAAACAACAAUGCCACAAGUAGGUAGGACUCAAAUCAUUAGGCCGAGGCCUUUUAGCACUUACAUUACAGACAGGUGAACCAUCAAGAUUUAAAACAAAUAAUCCAUUCACAAUGGGUGCAAAAGCCAUAAACAUAUUAUUCUUAGAGAUCACACAACCAUUGUUUUCACUCGCAAAUGAAUAACCAUCCUUCAUCAAACAUGAAGGAGACAAAAUGUUUCGACUUAAACUAGGAACAAAAUAACAAUUAUUCAACUCCAUAAUAAAUCCUGACGGGAGGUGGAGUUGCAUCGUCCCGACGGUCAACGCAGCAACUCUUGCAUUAUUGCCCACGCGGAAAUCAACUUCUCCUCUUUCCACGCUUCUACUUCUUAUCAUUCCCUGCAUCGAAUUGCAAAUAUGAGCAACCGAUCCGGUAUCAAAUACCCAAGAAUUAAUAAUUGUAUCAGCGAGAAAUAUGUUGUCUAUAACAUUAACAACAAGCGUACCUGAGGUAGAAGUACUCUUACUUCUGCCAUUCUUCAACGAAGCUAGGUACUGCUUGCAGUUUCUCUUCCAGUGACCAAGUUCAUGAUAGUAAAAGCACUCUUUAUCUGGAGCAGGUCCAGCUUUAGCCUUGGGCGCUGGGUUUGGCUUGGACACUCCAGCCUUACCCUUCUUCUUCCAAGAAUUGCCCUUCUUCUUGAAGGUAGGCUUGUUCUGUAAAACCAUCACAUGGCUGGUACUAGCGCUUUUCUUAAUGUCUACCUCUGCUGUCUUGAGCAUACCACACAGUUCAUUCAGACCCUUCUCCGUCCCAUGCAUAUGGUAGUUCGAGAUGAAGUUCCCAUAGCUAGGCGGAAGAGAUGAAAGAAUGAAGUCAGUGGCCAACUCUUUGCCCAUUGGGAAGCCCAGCUUCUCCAAUCGCUGAGUGUAACCAACCAUCUUGAUUACAUGUGGUCCUACUGCUGCGCCUUCUGCUAACUUGCACUCCAGAAAGGCUUUGGACACAUUGAACCUUUCGGUCCUAGCCUGUGUCUGGAACAUGUCCUUGAGCGCCACGAUCAUAUCGUGUGCCUCAUGAUUUGUUUCGAACUGCAUCUGCAGCUCGGGUUCCAUGCAAGCAAGCAUAAGGCAGCUUACCUCAAGAUUAGCAUCAAAUGCCUUCUUGUAAGCAGCCUUAACGGCAGCAAAUGCAUCAUCAGCAGGUACUGGUGGUAGUGGGGUGUCUAGAACAUCUUCCUUUUUCUCAGCCCUGAGAACAAUUCUCAGGUUACGGAUCCAAUCCGAGUAGUUUGUUCCAUUCAAUUUGUCCUUCUCAAGGACCGAACGCAAAGCAAACGAUGCGGUGGUGUUGCUAGGUGCCAUUUAAUCUACAACAAAAGUAAUGCAAAAUACACUAAGACAAACGUAUCCAUGAUAGAGCAAAUUACAUUAAACUAUUUUAACAGAAUCUACUCCCACUAAAAUCAAUAUCCCUCUAUUGAAACUUAGUGAUUCAGGAUCCACAACUAACAAGUCUACUAGUGAGCUUUAGCAUCACCGCUAGCAAACGAGGUAGAUCGGUAAGCAACUUUUGCUAAUCAUAUCACAUAUGACUCCUGUUGUUGGGUGACAUCUCUAUGUCUCGGCGCCCAACCUUUAUACCCCAAGGUCCUUAACCGUUAAGAUAACCUUGUUAAGCAAACCAACCCUUAUGCGUGUAAGUGUCCGACACAAACCCGUCUAGUCAAGGAAAACCAAUGGCACCCUAAUUUCAUAGACCCACCACUAAUUGUACAAGACAUGGGACGGUGCAAGUUUUAGUUGGGAGGGCAUACUAACUUAAAAUUUGCGAGGGAUCGUUCUACUUCUAACAUCACAGCAUGCAGAAAGUAAAACAUAAACAAAAUAGCAUUCACACAGUUGUGACACAGUAUGGCCCGUUUUCAUAUGGUGAUCUCCAUCUCCAUAGAACCUGUUCACCAUGGUGAUCUCCAUCUCCAUGUUCCAUGUGCGCCAGCCUCCUGGUGAUGAGUCCUCCAAGAACUAGAGCAUGCUAUUACGCCUAAUAGCUAGUAAAGAAUCUAGUAAUGAAGAUUACAUAGUUGCUUGGAUCAUCACAGAUUGGUACGCAGACCAUUAAAUACAAUAAAGUGACAACACAUAUGGCUCCUGCCGUGUUGCCGUACACGUGACACGCAGGUCACGAAUGAGUUACACACAUGCAUCACAUACACAAGGGGGCCAUACUGAUCACAAGAUACAUACAUACAUCCUGCAAAAUAGAGUUAGGCGUCCUAACGUUCCAAACUUCGGAGGCGCGAAACUCCAUCUUCCAAGCCGAAUUUGGGAAAUCUAAUUUCGCCGAAAAUGGCAAAGCGGUUGAAUUUCAUGUGUAACUUUUUCUGUAGAUCAAUUUUCAUAUAAAAAUCGCCCCGAUCCGAGAUCGUACCGAAAAGUUACGGCUGAUUUACCGAAGCAUACGCAUACGGCAAAAUCCCGACCCCGGCAGUAGAUCCCAUCUACUAUUGCACAUCUAAUGCGCCUGGCGUAUGACCCUAGAUCUCGAUUCGACCAAUCAUAUUGAUCUUCCCUCACUGCAACUGGAUUUACGUGUAUCACUUAACUCCGAUGGCGGAAACCGACCGGUAGGAGUAUGUCGUUACACUACCAUUGCAGCAAGGGCACGAAAUCAGGACAUAGAUCAAACAGAGAACUCGCAUAUCUCCAUAUGCACACAUCCCGAAUCCAAAACUAAGCAGCUACGGCUCUGAUACCACUGUUGGGAUACGAGGUAGGCUACACUAGCGCAAAACAAAAAUUUCUACCGUGUAUAACCAGGAAGAACUGCCAUAUAAGGAUCACGGGAUUACACUCGAUGCACUACUGGUGCGGAAGAUGUAGAUAUGCGUCGGUGCAGUGAAGACGAUCACGUAGUCGUACGUAGUCGAUCACAUCCAGCAGCUCCUCAGCAGCUCGUCCACGUGCAGCAAGAUCGCCUCCGGUGCCGCGGCUCGUCGUCGGCUCGUCGUGGCUCGUCGGCGGCUCGUCGAUGGCUCGUCCAAGUGCUGCAGGCGCAAGACCUCCAAGGUAUCCACACGUGCAGAGAGGAAACGUCGCAAGCCGGAUUGCUAGAUCCGUGAGUUGCAACAGGCGAGGGCGUGGGAGGCGCGGCAAGUGUGUUUCGCCAAAAGGUGUAAACCCUAGGGCGCCCCCACCCCUCUAUUUAUAGAGGUUCCUGAUGGGCCUCUGGAUCCGAGGCCCAUUAGUACUCCUAAACCUAAUCCAACUCGGAUCAGAUCCAAAUUGGGCUUCCAGCCCCUUAAGUGUGUGACCCUAUGGGUUCGGAUACGUAUAGACAUGGCCCGAGUACUCCUACUCGGCCCAGUAGUCGGUAGCGGCCUCUAGCAAGACGUGCCAACUCCUAUACGCACACGAAGAUCAUAUCAGAUGAACCAUCACAACAUAAUAUACAUGCUAUUCCCUUUGCCUCACGAUAUUUGGUCUAGCUUCAAGCCGACCGCUCUUUCUCGAUCCUGUGAUUCGGAAUCCCUUUGUAGGUUAACUCUUAACCGUACGUAGCAUGGCCAUGCAUAUUCGGAUCCGAUCACUCGAGGGGCCCAGAGAUAUCACUCUCAAUCAGAGAGGGGCAAAUCCCAUCUUGACUGACCAUGUCUCAUAGCAUGCUUCUUGACAAACCCGAAAGCUACUUUUAUAACUACCCUGUUACGGCGUAGCGUUUGAUAGCCCCUAAGUAGGUCGAUCCACAUCUAGAAUACAUGCGACAGUCUCAGGUCUAAGGACAAAGCGUAUAUGUUGUUUAAAGAGAGAACUACUUCUCGUGUUGGGUCAGUCCUAGCACAUGUCUCCACAUGUGUCAACAUUAUUAGUUCAACAUCUCCAUGUCCAUGACUUGUGAAACAUAGUCAUCAACUAAUACAUGUGCUAGUCUAAUAUUCAUGUGUGUCCUCACAUGAACUCCGACUAGGGACAACUUUAGAAUAACCAUACAAGUAAAGAGUUUCACAUACAAUUCACAUAAUUGCAAAUCAAUUCAAGUAGCCUUCAAUGGAUAUUCAAUGAACACAACAUACAAAUCAUGGAUACAAAUGGAAUAUCAUCAUCUCUAUGAUUGCCUCUAGGGCAUACCUCCAACAGUAACACUACACUCAGGCCUUCAACAACCUGUGUCAUUAUGCCGGAUAUCACGCGGACACCGACAAGAAGAAGAAGGACAGGUUCCAUAGAGGGCUGAGCUUGGAGCUUAGAGAAAGGUUAAACCCGACAAGGGUGGAUACGUACAAUGAGUUGGUCAACCUGGCCAUCUCCCAAGAGGACUGCAUGAAGGCUCUGGCAGCCGAAAGGAAGAGGAAAGCCCCACUACCAACGCCCAACCCACCUGCACAGCGUCCAGAAUGGUCCACCCCNNNNNNNNNNNNNNNNNNNNNNNNNNNNNNNNNNNNNNNNNNNNNNNNNNNNNNNNNNNNNNNNNNNNNNNNNNNNNNNNNNNNNNNNNNNNNNNNNNNNNNNNNNNNNNNNNNNNNNNNNNNNNNNNNNNNNNNNNNNNNNNNNNNNNNNNNNNNNNNNNNNNNNNNNNNNNNNNNNNNNNNNNNNNNNNNNNNNNNNNNNNNNNNNNNNNNNNNNNNNNNNNNNNNNNNNNNNNNNNNNNNNNNNNNNNNNNNNNNNNNNNNNNNNNNNNNNNNNNNNNNNNNNNNNNNNNNNNNNNNNNNNNNNNNNNNNNNNNNNNNNNNNNNNNNNNNNNNNNNNNNNNNNNNNNNNNNNNNNNNNNNNNNNNNNNNNNNNNNNNNNNNNNNNNNNNNNNNNNNNNNNNNNNNNNNNNNNNNNNNNNNNNNNNNNNNNNNNNNNNNNNNNNNNNNNNNNNNNNNNNNNNNNNNNNNNNNNNNNNNNNNNNNNNNNNNNNNNNNNNNNNNNNNNNNNNNNNNNNNNNNNNNNNNNNNNNNNNNNNNNNNNNNNNNNNNNNNNNNNNNNNNNNNNNNNNNNNNNNNNNNNNNNNNNNNNNNNNNNNNNNNNNNNNNNNNNNNNNNNNNNNNNNNNNNNNNNNNNNNNNNNNNNNNNNNNNNNNNNNNNNNNNNNNNNNNNNNNNNNNNNNNNNNNNNNNNNNNNNNNNNNNNNNNNNNNNNNNNNNNNNNNNNNNNNNNNNNNNNNNNNNNNNNNNNNNNNNNNNNNNNNNNNNNNNNNNNNNNNNNNNNNNNNNNNNNNNNNNNNNNNNNNNNNNNNNNNNNNNNNNNNNNNNNNNNNNNNNNNNNNNNNNNNNNNNNNNNNNNNNNNNNNNNNNNNNNNNNNNNNNNNNNNNNNNNNNNNNNNNNNNNNNNNNNNNNNNNNNNNNNNNNNNNNNNNNNNNNNNNNNNNNNNNNNNNNNNNNNNNNNNNNNNNNNNNNNNNNNNNNNNNNNNNNNNNNNNNNNNNNNNNNNNNNNNNNNNNNNNNNNNNNNNNNNNNNNNNNNNNNNNNNNNNNNNNNNNNNNNNNNNNNNNNNNNNNNNNNNNNNNNNNNNNNNNNNNNNNNNNNNNNNNNNNNNNNNNNNNNNNNNNNNNNNNNNNNNNNNNNNNNNNNNNNNNNNNNNNNNNNNNNNNNNNNNNNNNNNNNNNNNNNNNNNNNNNNNNNNNNNNNNNNNNNNNNNNNNNNNNNNNNNNNNNNNNNNNNNNNNNNNNNNNNNNNNNNNNNNNNNNNNNNNNNNNNNNNNNNNNNNNNNNNNNNNNNNNNNNNNNNNNNNNNNNNNNNNNNNNNNNNNNNNNNNNNNNNNNNNNNNNNNNNNNNNNNNNNNNNNNNNNNNNNNNNNNNNNNNNNNNNNNNNNNNNNNNNNNNNNNNNNNNNNNNNNNNNNNNNNNNNNNNNNNNNNNNNNNNNNNNNNNNNNNNNNNNNNNNNNNNNNNNNNNNNNNNNNNNNNNNNNNNNNNNNNUUCUCUUUAACAACAUAUACGCUUUGUCCUUAGACCUGAGAUUGUCGCAUGUAUUCUAGAUGUGGAUCGACUUACUUUGGGGGCUAUCAAACGCUACGCCGUACAGGGUAGUUAUAAAGGUAGCUUUCGGGUUUGUCAAGAAGCAUGCUAUGAGACAUGGUCAAUCAAGAUGGGAUUUGCCCCUCUCUGAUUGAGAGUGAUAUCUCUGGGCCCCCCGAGUGAUCGGAUCCAAAAAUGCAUGGCCAUGCUACGUACGGUUAAGAGUUAACCUACAAAGGGAUUCCGAAUCACAGGAUCGAGAAAGAGCGGUCGGCUUGAAGCUAGACCAAAUAUCGUGAGGCAAAGGGAAUAGCAUGUAUAUUAUAUUGUGGUGGUUCGUCUGAUAUGAUCUUCGUGUGCGUAUAGGAGUUGGCACGUCUUGCUAGAGACCGCUACCGACUAUUGGGUCGAGUAGGAGUACUCGGGCCAUGUCUAUACGUAUCCGAACCCAUAGGGUCACACACUUAAGGGGCUGGAAGCCCAAUUCGGAUCUGAUCCGAGUUGGAUUAGGUUUAGAAGUACUAAUGGGCCUCGGAUCCAGAGGCCCGUCAGAAACCUCUAUAAAUAGAGGGGUGGGGGCGCCCUAGGGUUUACACCUUUUGGAAAAACACAUCUGCCGCGCCUCCCACGCCCUCGCCUGUUGCAACUCGCGGAUCUAGCAGUCCGGCUUGCGACGCUUCCUCCCUGCACGUGUGGAUACCUUGGAGGUGUUGCGCCUGCAGCACUUGGACGAGCCAUCGAUGAGCCACGACGAGCCGCGGCACCGGAGGCGAUCUUGCUGCACGUGGGAGCUGCUGGACGUGACGUGAUCGACUACGUACGACUACGUUGAUCGACUACGUACGACUACGUGAUCAUCUUCACUGCAUCGACGCAUAUCUACAUCUUCCGCACCAGUAGUGCGUCGAGUGGUAAUCCCAUGAUCCUUAUACGGCAGUUCUUCCUGGUUAUACGCGGUAGAAAUUUUGAUUUACGCUAGUGUAGCCUACCUCGUAUCCUUACAUAACCGCUGUUUUGCCUGCGGUGAUGUGGGACAUUUCGCCAAGGACUGCCCUAGAAAUUAGAGCCCGCGCCCAGGGCAGAACAGUGCAGCGCUCAACAAGGGGAGGAGGCCCAAGGUGCAAGUUCGCCAAGGUCGACUGAACUUCACCCACGCAGCAGAGCUUCUUAAAGGUGCGCCGAUAUGACGGGUACCUUUCUGAUUCACAGUUUUUCAGCUUUGGUUUUGUUUGACUCGGGAGCUUCACAUAGUUUUAUCGGGAGAAAGACCCGUGACAAGUGUGGGUUACAAGAAUGCCAAACCAGAGGGUCUUUUAGAAUAUCCACCCCGGGUGGAAUGAUCACAUCUGAUAGGAUGAGUGUCAAUGUGCCUAUUCAGCUAGGCCGAAACCUUUUUAAGGAGAAUCUUAUCAUCCUUGACCUGGACGGAAUAGAUAUCAUUCUUGGAAUGGAUUGGAUGACCCGGCACCAAGUGGUUCUAGACCCAGCCGCCCGAACCCUCCACAUCAACUCGCCCUUUUAUGGCAGUUCUACCCUGUUCUUGAACCCUCCUAAGUCCGCACUUCCCUGUGCGUACCCUCUAUCGCAAGCCCGACUAGAAAGCCUCCUUGUUGUCUCUGAGUACCCUGAUGUGUUCCUAGAGGACUUGCCUGGCAUGCCACCUGAUAGAGACAUGGAGUUUGCCAUAGAGUUGAUCCCCGGCACCGCCCCCAUCUCCAAAAGACCCUAUCGGAUGCCACCAGCUGAGUUGGCCGAGUUGAAGACCCAGUUGCUUGAUCUAUUGGAAAAAGGUUUCAUCCGACCCAGUGCAUCACCCUGGGGUUGCCCGGCCCUGUUUGUGAAGAAGGAUGGCAGUCUACGCAUGUGUCUAGACUACCGACCUCUCAAUGCGGUGACUAUCAAGAACAAGUAUCCACUCCCCCGCAUUGAUGUCUUGUUUGAUCAGUUAGCUGGAGCUAGAGUGUUCUCCAAAAUCGAUCUUCGUUCAGGUUAUCACCAAAUCAAGAUCCGACCAUGUGACAUCCCUAAGACUGCCUUCUCCACAAGAUAUGGACUCUACGAGUACCUGGUCAUGUCUUUUGGACUCACCAAUGCACCCGCAUACUUCAUGUACCUCAUGAACUCGGUAUUCAUGCCCGAGUUGGACAAGUUUGUAGUGGUGUUCAUUGAUGAUAUCCUGGUGUACUCGAAGAGCGAAGAAGAACAUGCCAACCAUCUUCGCAUAGUUCUCCAACAGCUACUAUCGGCGUUUCAUACCGGAUUUCUCCAAGAUAGCUAAGCCGAUGACAGAAUUGUUGAAGAAAGAGGUCAGAUUUGUGUGGAACGACAAGUGUGAAGAAGCCUUCAAGACCCUGAAGCACUUGCUGACCACAGUCCCAGUUUUGGCUCAACCCGACCCCUCUAGGUCGUUUGACGUGUAUUGUGACGCCUCUGGCACUGGACUUGGGUGUGUUCUUAUGCAAGACAACCGAGUCAUUGCCUACGCCUCACGAGCAUUAUGACCUCAUGAGCUGAACUACCCGACCCAUGAUCUUGAGUUGGCCGCAGUGAUUCAUGCCUUAAAGAUAUGGAGACAUUAUCUGAUGGGCACCCGCUGCAACAUCUACACCGACCACAAGAGCCUCAAGUAUAUCUUCACCCAAGCCGACCUCAACAUGCGCCAAAGAAGAUGGUUAGAGUUGAUAAAGGACAAUGAGUUAGAAGUACACUAUCACCCCGGCAAGGCCAAUGCUAUGGCGGAACCACCUCGGAUUAGCUUGAUCAAGCAAGGUUAAGUCGCCUAACAUGCGACACUGCUGCUUAAACCGAGCUAACACGGGGUGCCGUCGGAUUUCAUCCGAUUUAACCACUUAACAGGAUCGAGUCUAGCAAACCCACACGAAGGUGAGCGGUUACAGAGAAUACAAUGAGUCCACUGAGUUAAGCAGGUCUUACUCAAUUGGUUCGGCCAUAAAAAUUUACAUCAGAGUUUUAUAACAAAGAACAACAGAUAAAACACUAGCGGAAGACUUCGUCGGGGUCGGAUGUCUGGGCGGGGCCAGCCAGAACAUCACUGAGUCCUCUCCUCGUCGUCCGAGGAAGGGUCCCACUCGACCGUCCUGCCGUCCUGUGACCACGCUUUGCCACCACGUGCGACAAUCAGCAGGGGAAACUCCGUUCCAAGAACAAUGGGGCGACCGCUCACGUCUAGGUUCAAUCAGGUACUAGGCUUCCUCAUCCCAUACUAAGUAUGAGGCUAGUACUUUCAAACACUUGAUCACGAACACCACCACUGUCGGGCCUUAGCAAGUUUUCAUAGACAGACGGGGCGACCAUCCGACCACCAAAAAGUUACCGUACCCUGCCCCGUCCAUCGUCCUUAUAGUUGUAACAGGAGAGUAAAUCACGCAACUCCUACAACUCGUGAGUGACAGGAGAUCACUCGGCUUUUACCGUCUCCUAUUUAAGCAAUGCAACUACUCGGUCCAACAGCUAGUGCUCAUAUCAAAGGUUAACUAGGUCGUGCAUCUAGGGUUUCACACAACUCCUAAACGUAAAUGCACAAACAUGCUAUACGGAAGGCAUGCGCAAGUUUGGCGAACCACGUAGGAUUCUCAUGCAACCGGGGCUUGCCUGCAAGCAAAGGGGACGGAAGCUGCUCGACUUCUGGGGCGACUUCGGCUUCCGCGGGCAGGAACUCGGCUACAGCUUCUUCGUCGGGCGCCGGGUGCAACUCGUAGAAGCCGUCGGCGAGGUGCAGCUCUACACGAAUGCAAUGCAAGGGUUAGCUUAAACGUUUAUUUCAACAGCAAUACUGGCUCGCCUGAGCCCAGAAACUUGCGACAAUGAGCAGGAGGUUAUGGUGGUUCGAGAGAGCUGAUGAUAAUCAAGAGGUAAGGGUAGGAAGGAACUAGUGGUCUGAUCCUUGAACUAGAGGAUGUGAUAACUGGGAUCCUCAGACGCAAGCGCUGAAGGGUUCCCAAGUUUUACACAUACACCCUUGAGUUGAAGAAAAAGAUCACAGCCAAGCCCUCGGGCGAGGCGGAUAAGGGUCGGCGGAACAGACAGGGUCGGACGAGGCGGAACUGGGGUCGGGCGGAUAGGAGGGGUCGGGCGAGGCGGACUUAGGGUCGGCAACUCACCUUCUUCCUGAAAGGAAAGCUCGGGGUCGGGAAGAGGCAAACUUGGGCGAGAGGUCUAAAGCUUCGAGCAAGGGCUAAGACCGGCAAAGCUCCAGCGGCGGCGCUGCUUCUUGCGGAUCACAAGAGAGCUCUACGCAGCACAAAGGAGCAAGCUGCUGGGUGACUUGGAGGAACUGAGAAGGAACUGGGAGAAGAACUUCUCAAGAACCGGGUGGGUAGCGCUAGGAGCUUGAGCAGGGAGCUAGAGAAGGCUAAGGCAACAAAGGCGGAGGGAACUCCAGCGACGGGGGCAUUCCUUUUAUAGCUGCUGGAGCAGAGGAACGGAAACAUCAUGGAGAGAGAGAAGGGGAGUGGCGCGAAGGCCGGGAAGAAGCAAUGGAGUGCUCUGCCGUGGCGGCGAUUGAGCAAACAGGGCGGUGCUGCAGAACUCCGGGGGUGACGCCAGCGAUCAUUGCUCUAUACCGUCAGGGCGGCGUAGGCGCUGGUAGACCGGUGGUUGGGAUUUGGCGGAGAGCGGGCGUCGUCGUGCGGAAGAGGUGAUAGAAGCGACCGGUUAAACGGCGCUAGAAUCGAGGGCGCACAGGUGAGAAGACAGGGAGUUCGGGGCGGGGGAGAGCGCGGAANNNNNNNNNNNNNNNNNNNNNNNNNNNNNNNNNNNNNNNNNNNNNNNNNNNNNNNNNNNNNNNNNNNNNNNNNNNNNNNNNNNNNNNNNNNNNNNNNNNNACAGAGGGGGGGGGGGGAAAGGAACUGUCGCGGCCGCGGUCGGGGUUGGCGGUGGGGGAAUCGUCGUGUAGCGACGACCGGGCGGCGCAACUGUUGCUGAAAGGGACGGAAAAGACGGGCGACAUCGGUCUCCGGGGCCGGGAUCUGGUAUCGUGAUGAUGGGCGCGGGAGACGAGGCUCUGCAGAAAGGGGUGCAGAGGGCUUCCGCUGCCAUUGGGGAAAAGGGGCGCGGGAACCCACUCUGCGGCUUGCCAGAGACAAAACUGGGCGAUGGCGUCGGAGAAGACGAGCCACGCGGCAAGGAAACUCUGGGGGCGGCCAUGCAACUCGAGUGCGGCUGGCGCGGGGGAUCUGGAAGAAGAUCUCGCGGGUCCACCGGGGGAUAGAUCGGACGGGUGAGGAAGAUCAGCAGGAUCCGAUGGUCGGGUUGAACUCGCCGGGGUCGGGAGAGAAGCGAAGCAGGAAGGGGUCGGAUCCAGGGGUCGGACUGGCGGAAGACUGAGCACUUAGGUGCGGUCAACCAAACAGCUGACUAAGGUUAAGGCUGAGAUCAAACCUAACUGGGAAAGGUUAGGGGUCGGUCGUUACAGCCUACCCCUCUUAAAAAGAAUCUCGUCCCGAGAUUCAAGGAUCAAGGGUGUGCUGUUCUUACCUCCUUGAUGGGACAGAAAACCUGGGAACCGCUUGUUCAGAUACUUUUCCAUUUCCCAUGUUGCUUCAUCUUCGGUGUGGUUUCUCCAAAGGAUCUUGUACAUCCUUACCACUUGGCGUCGGGUGUGCCUUUCCUUUUGGUCAAGAACUCGAUCUGGGUACUCGGCGUAGGUCAGGUCAGGUUCUACUUGAAGUUGUUCUUGUUCUAAGAUCUCCGCUGGAACUCGGACACAUUUCUUCAGUUGAGACACAUGGAAAACAUCAUGUAUGGCUGAUAGCUGUUCUGGGAGUUGGAUCCGGUAAGCAACAGGUCCACAUCUCUCCAAAAUCUCAUAAGGGCCAACAUAGCGUGGAGCUAACUUGCCUUUUAUUCCAAACCGUUGCACUCCUUUGGUCGGGGAGACCCGAAGGUACACAUGAUCACCAAGGUCGAACUGCAGGGGUCUCCUCCGCUGGUCGGAGUAACUCUUCUGUCGAGAUUGGGCAGCUUUGAGAUUUGCCUGAAUUACCUUCACUUGUUCUUCGGCUUCUGCCACUAAGUCAGGGCCAUAAACCUGUCUCUCUCCUGGUUGGGACCAGUUCAAGGGUGUUCUGCAUCUCCGGCCGUACAGGGCCUCAAACGGUGCCAUCUUCAAACUGGCCUGAUAGCUGUUGUUGUAGGAGAACUCUGCUAAGGGCAGGCACUUGUCCCAGCUUUUAUCGUAGUGGAUAACACAAGCUCUUAGCAUGUCUUCGAGGAUCUGAUUUAUUCUCUCGGUUUGGCCAUCGGUUUGGGGAUGAUACGUUGAGCUUCGGAUGAGCUUGGUGCCCAUGGAUGCUUGUAAUUGCUCCCAAAAACGUGCCACAAACUGAACUCCUCUAUCUGAGACGAUAGUCUUGGGUACACCAUGUAGGGAAACAAUACGGUCGAGGUACAACUCUGCAUAUUGCUUGACUGUAUAGGUGGUACGAACAGGAAAGAAAUGUGCUGUCUUGGUCAGACGGUCCACUAUAACCCAAAUGGAAUCAUACCGUUGAGUUGUAACGGGUAACCCAACUAUGAAGUCCAUGCUGAUGUCUUCCCAUUUCCAAGAGGGAAUAGGUAGCGGCUGCAGGGUUCCUGCUACCUUCAAAUGACUGGCCUUGACACAUUGACAGGUGUCACAUUCUGAAACAUAACGAGCUAUCUCUGGUUUCAUUCCACUCCACCAAAAGGUUUGACGAAGAUCAUGGUACAUCUUGUUGCUGCCCGGAUGGAUCGAGAACUUGGAGAGAUGAGCUUCAUCUAGGAUUUGUUUCCUUAACUCAGGGUCGGCGGGCACUACUAGUCGGUUUCCAUAAUACACACCUCCCGUUUCGUCCUGACGGAAUUGCUUAUAUCCUUCCUCCUUUGCUGAGAUCUUGCUGAUGAUCCGUUUUACAUCCUUAUCCUCCACUUGUGCUGACCGAAUUUGGCUCUCCAAAACUGAGUUAAGGAUGAUGUGACUAAGGGUUCCCUGAGGAACAACCUCCAAACUUAGUUUUCCCAUCUCGUGACACAGAGUGUUGGUGAAGGCUGUUGACAACAAGCAGUGGCAAUGGGGUUUGCGACUGAGGGCAUCGGCUACAACAUUGGCCUUGCCAGGAUGAUAGUGCACUUCCAACUCAUAAUCCUUUAUCAACUCCAGCCAUCUUCUCUGACGCAUGUUGAGGUCGGCUUGCGUGAAGAUGUACUUGAGGCUCUUGUGGUCGGUGUAGAUGUUGCAGUGAGCUCCCAUUAAGUAGUGCCUCCAUAUCUUCAAGGCAUGUAUCACUGCUGCCAACUCAAGGUCAUGGGUCGGGUAGUUCAGCUCAUGAGGUCGUAACGCACGUGAGGCAUAGGCAAUGACUCGGCUGUCUUGCAUAAGAACACAUCCGAGUCCAGUACCAGAGGCGUCAUAGUAUACGUCAUACGGCCUAGAGGGGUCGGGUUGAGCCAAAACUGGGGCGGUGGUUAGCAAGUGCUUCAGGGUCUUGAAAGCUUCUUCACACUUGGUGUCCCACACAAACUUGACCUCUUUCUUCAGCAACUCGGUCAUCGACUUAGCUAUCUUGGAGAAAUCCGGUAUAAAACGCCGAUAGUAACCUGCCAGUCCAAGGAAACUCCUGAUCUGAUGUACCGAGGUAGGAGACUUCCAUUCCAUGACUUCUUGCACCUUACUGGGAUCCACGGCAAUACCAUCCUUGUAGAUAGUGUGUCCCAGAAACUUGACACUAUCUAACCAAAACUCACACUUGGAGAACUUGGCAUAGAGCUGGUGAUCUCUCAGCCGUUGGAGAACUAUGUGAAGAUGGUCGGCAUGCUCUUUCUCGUCCUUCGAGUACACUAGGAUAUCAUCAAUGAACACCACGACAAACUUGUCCAGCUCGGGCAUAAACACCGAGUUCAUCAGAUACAUGAAGUAAGCGGGUGCAUUGGUGAGUCCAAAGGACAUGACUAGGUACUCAUACAGUCCAUAUCUGGUAGAGAAAGCUGUCUUGGGUAUGUCGCAGGGUCGAAUCUUGAUUUGGUGAUAGCCAGAUCGAAGAUCGAUCUUGGAGAACACUUUUGCUCCGGCUAACUGAUCGAACAAGACAUCAAUGCGUGGCAGUGGGUACUUGUUCUUGACUGUUACCGCAUUGAGGGGUCGGUAAUCCACACACAUCCGUAAACUGCCGUCUUUCUUCUUCACAAACAGGGCGGGGCAACCCCAAGAUGAUGUACUGGGUCGAAUGAAGCCCUUUUCCAACAGAUCAUGCAACUGGGUCUUCAACACGGCUAACUCAGCGGGUGGCAUCCGAUAGGGUCUCUUGGAUAUCGGAGCUGUGCCAGGAAUCAACUCUAUGGAAAACUCCACUUCUCUAUCAGGUGGCAUACCCAGCAAAUCUUCUGGGAACACAUCUGGGUACUCACUGAUAACAGGGAGGUCUUCUAAACAGGCUCCCAAGAGAGGGUAGGCACAAGGAGUCGAAGACUCGGGAUGGGUCAAGGAUAGGGUAGAACUGCCUUGAGAGGGUGAGCUGAUGUAAAGAGAUCGGGCUGAUGUAUCUAAAACAACAUGAUGUCGGGCCAUCCCAUCCAUGCCAAGGAUCUAGGCCUUCAAGGUCAAGGAUGAUAAGGUUUUCCUUGAAGAGGGUGGGGCCUAGCUGGAGAGGUACAAGAAUAACGACCUAAUCCGACGUUAUCCUUCCUCCAGGUGUGGCGAUCACAUAGGGUUCCUUAGUGUGACCGAUACUUAACCCACAUCUUUCCCUUGCCUUACUCCCGAUAAAGCUAUGAGAGGCUCCCGAAUCAAACAACACAACAACAACUUGAUUUAAAACAAGGAAAGUACCCGUCAUUACUGACGCACCUUCGGGAAGUUCGGUCAAGCUGGUGUAGUUGAGCCGGCCUUGUCGGACUUGCACCUUGGGCCUUCUUCCUCUGGCUGCCAUGGGGUUCUGGCCUUGCUGCUGAUUCUUGUUCCUAGGGCAGUCCUUUGCAAAAUGCCCCUCAUUGCCGCAGGUAAAACAUCGGUUACUGGCUGCCGGGCGAGGUGGCGUUGGCAGGGUCGGCCGGGGCACUUGCGGUUGGAAGCCUGGAAAACGAGGCAUUGCGGCCGGCGGGGGUCGGGCGAUCCAUUUCCGUGACUGUUGGGGUCGGCCAAGGGCUUGUGGAGGAACCAUCCGGAACCUUCGGGUUGGCGGGCUCGGAAAAGCCACAGAGGCUUUCCUCUUCUGGUCGGCCUUGAGAGCUUGCAUGCAGUCCUCCUGGGAGAUGGCCAGGUUGACCAACUCGUUAUAGGUGUCCACCCUGAUGGGGUUCAGCCUUUCCCUGAGCUCCAAGCUCAGUCCUCGGCGGAAUCUGUCCCGCUUCUUCUCAUCGGUGUCCGCAUGAUAGCCAGCAUAACGGCAUAGGUCAUUGAACGCCUGGGCGUAGUGCAGCACAUCCCGAGUUCCUUGGGUGAGGGCCAGAAACUCGUUGAGCUUGCGCUCCAGGAGACCUUCGGGAAUGUGAUGCGCCUUAAACGCCGUCUUGAACUCGUUCCAACUGACCACGUGGCCAGCAGGUAGCAUGGCAUGGUAGUGGUCCCACCAAAGCCGUGCGGAACCACGCAGCUGCUGAGCUGCAAACCGCGCCUUGUUGUCGUCGGGGCAUGGAGCGGUAAGGAGCUCGAACUUGGAUUCGAUCGUACGAACCCAUGCAUCAGCGUCGAGCGGUUCUUGUGUCUUUUGGAACAGCGGGGGCUGCGUUCCUAGAAAGUCCUCGUACCGCGCGACAUGCGGCUGCUGCUGUGCUCUUCCACCGUGUGGCUGCUGGUGUUGUCCUUGCACCAGAUGCCUUAGCAGCUCGGUUUGAGUUGCUAAGAUUGCCUCCAAUGGCGAUGGGGGCGGGGGCGGGGGAAGAUCCUGUCGCUGAUCGCUACUACUGGGCAUAGUUCCAGACCUCGUGCGGUGCGCCAUCUGCAAGAGUUAACGCCCCAUUAAUGCUCAUAACCUUAGGUGCACUCCAACAAAUGGGAACGUAUGAAUUAAAUCCUUUAAUGCGACUCUUACCCAUGGUGCAUCACACGUCCUCAUAGAGGAAGCACAUUCCUCCCAUUCUCGGCAUAGGUAACCUCCAUUUGACCUGGUACUCCACUUCAGGUACACAUGCCACACACAGACUCCUAGGAUCUGGUUCACGCAAACCAAGGGGUCGGACAUAGUCCAUACUCGAAAAGGGUCGGACGAGGCGGAGACUGCCUCACAGGUCGGCGCACUCUGGCUCGCAAACUAGGGUCGGCCGACUGAACAGGCUCCCCGAAAGCAACAUAGGGUUACGGCGCAACUUACUUAACCCUAGCAUCCACACCAUACGAAAAGAUAAAACUAUGCACCGGUUGACUUUAUACACAACGAUGUUUCAACACAGGGAGUACUCAACUCAAGGCUAACCUAUUACAGCUUUCCAAAAACUAGGCUGCCGAGGAGUACAACCAAAGAAGGAAGGUUCCCUGAGAACCCUCAAGCUACCACUGGACACUAUGAGUCGGAGAAGGGGCGCCAUCCUCUUCUAUGUCCAUGCUGGACGCUCCCUCGUCUUCCUCAGGGUCCUCCUGAGCUUCAAGCUGCAUGUUGAGGGCAUGCAUAUCUUCAAGCUCAGCUUGGUGCUCCUCCAGGUGGGCAUUGGCGACUGCCAACUCCAUCUCCACUUCCAUCUUCUCCUCCGAGAGCUCUAUCAUGCCGUCCACGAGGUCGGCAACUUCUCCUUCCAGCUCGGAGAUCCGAUCUUGCAUGUCGUGGAUCUGGAUACCACGUUGGAUCAGCUGGUAGGUUUGGCCUACCAGGUCUCUUCUAGCUGUCUGGAGGUAUCCGUGGGUGUCUACAGCCGUCCGGGCAAAGAGAGUCAUGGCUCUUCCUUGGAGCUCUAUCAACCGGUAGAGAGCAGCCAUGCAACGGACAUUGGUGGAGAUGGUGACCAUAGCACAGGUAGUGGCCAACACCUCGAGGUUUCCGAUGCGGUCCAGCCAGGUCGGGUCCAGCCGACUCCUGACGGGAAAAGGACCGAUCGGGUCCAGCGUGAUCUCCACAGGGUGCAACUGACAGAACUGUGUGAGCAACUGAAGGGCGGCGGAUUCCCACGUGUCUUCCGGAGAAAGACCAUAGGCUAUUAUGCCUAGAGAGGGCCAGUCGGGCUGUGCAAGGGGAGGUGGUACCAACGCUUGCACCUGGCACGUCUGGAUGCCCUGCUCCAUAUACAGCCGCCCAGCAUACAGGGGCGGGGACUGCUACCCAAACCACCUCAGCGUAUCCCACAAGAUCGCGGGAAACCCCUCGAAAUGCAGGCACGUUGACUGGAAGGUACCGUCCGCUCCAAAAACCACAUGCCCGGGAACAGCCAUCUGGAACCAAGAAAACCGAAACCACGUGAGAUAGCUCCGAGGAUCAGGGGUCGGAUAGGGAAGCAGAAGGGCUUAACCGAGAGCAACUAAGAGGAACUAGAAAUCCUUAAAUCCAAAAGAACUCUUUCGGACAGGGUUGCUGUUGAGAAGGAAACAUUACGGAUUUUAGGUAUGACGCAUGCACGGCCUACCGUACUCUUAACCAAAAACAACUGCCCAGACUUUGGGUCUUACGCGGUCAGCGCCGGUGACAAGGCAACAAUACGUCUCUCCCUAUAUUAACUAGUCGGUUCUAGCAACUUCUUCACGAGCAUGGUUAGCAACCUGCAGAAAACACCACACACGAACCUUUCGUGCCAGCACCCACGAAAGCGUUCCCAAACAUUACCGUUCACUAUAGGAACGGCACCCAUGCAUUUAAGGCUGCAUGGACAGCACUCAACCGUGGAAAUAGGCUCCCUUUGAAUGGAUCCCUAUAACCCUUCGCACACUCGGGAUGCGGAAUCGGCACACGUAUGGCAAACGUGGCGAAACAACCGUGCUGAUAGGUUCGUUGGAAUCGAACCGUAUCAACCUUCGUAUGGAUCACAUACGGAACCUGCGCACGUAUAAUAGACGUGGGCGAAAACAACCGCGAAGAUAGGGUCCCUUGAAUGGAACUCCCUAUCAACCCUCACAUGCUCGCGAUGCGGAACUCAGCACACGUAUAAUAGACGUGGCGAAGUGCUGGAGGAGUUAGCAACAUAACCAAAUACUUAUUAGUCACCUGAAACAACCCCAAAAUCCCCUAGGGCCUCUCGCACUAAGUCAUCCUUAACGAUCAUACGAGAUUUUCAAAAAGGUUCUUGCAGCUUUUAUAUUAUCAAAGAAGUGUUUAGGGCUCAUUGGGUUCUCUGAUAUGCUAAACACGAGCUCUGAUACCAGCUGUGGCGGAACCACCUCGGAUUAGCUUGAUCAAGCAAGGUUAAGUCGCCUAACAUGCGACACUGCUGCUUAAACCGAGCUAACACGGGGUGCCGUCGGAUUUCAUCCGAUUUAACCACUUAACAGGAUCGAGUCUAGCAAACCCACACGAAGGUGAGCGGUUACAGAGAAUACAACGAGUCCACUGAGUUAAGCAGGUCUUACUCAAUUGGUUCGGCCAUAAAAAUUUACAUCAGAGUUUUAUAACAAAGAACAACAGAUAAAACACUAGCGGAAGACUUCGUCGGGGUCGGAUGUCUGGGCGGGGCCAGCCAGAACAUCACUGAGUCCUCUCCUCGCCGUCUGAGGAAGGGUCCCACUCGACCGUCCAGCCUGGCGGGAGCUGGGGCGGCCAAGCACCAACCAAAAAGGGGUCGGACACGGAAACUUCACCUGAAAAUAGAAGCCACCGCUCACGUCUAGGUUCAAUCAGGUACUAGGCUUCCUCAUCCCAUACUAAGUAUGAGGCUAGUACUUUCAAACACUUGAUCACGAACACCACCACUGUCGGGCCUUAGCAAGUUUUCAUAGACAGACGGGGCGACCAUCCAACCACCAAAAAGUUACCGUACCCUGCCCCGUCCAUCGUCCUUAUAGUUGUAACAGGAGAGUAAAUCACGCAACUCCUACAACUCGUGAGUGACAGGAGAUCACUCGGCUUUUACCGUCUCCUAUUUAAGCAAUGCAACUACUCGGUCCAACAGCUAGUGCUCAUAUCAAAGGUUAACUAGGUCGUGCAUCUAGGGUUUCACACAACUCCUAAACGUAAAUGCACAAACAUGCUAUACGGAAGGCAUGCGCAAGUUUGGCGAACCACGUAGGAUUCUCAUGCAACCGGGGCUUGCCUGCAAGCAAAGGGGACGGAAGCUGCUCGACUUCUGGGGCGACUUCGGCUUCCGCGGGCAGGAACUCGGCUACAGCUUCUUCGUCGGGCGCCGGGUGCAACUCGUAGAAGCCGUCGGCGAGGUGCAGCUCUACACGAAUGCAAUGCAAGGGUUAGCUUAAACGUUUAUUUCAACAGCAACACUGGCUCGCCUGAGCCCAGAAACUUGCGACAAUGAGCAGGAGGUUAUGGUGGUUCGAGAGAGCUGAUGAUAAUCAAGAGGUAAGGGUAGGAAGGAACUAGUGGUCUGAUCCUUGAACUAGAGGAUGUGAUAACUGGGAUCCUCAGACGCAAGCACUGAAGGGUUCCCAAGUUUUACACAUACACCCUCAAGUUGAAGAAAAAGAUCACAGCCAAGCCCUCGGGCGAGGCGGAUAAGGGUCGGCGGAACAGACAGGGUCGGACGAGGCGGAACCGGGGUCGGGCGGAUAGGAGGGGUCGGGCGAGGCGGACUUAGGGUCGGCAACUCACCUUCUUCCUAAAAGGAAAGCUCGGGGUCGGGAAGAGGCAAACUUGGGCGAGAGGUCUAAAGCUUCGAGCAAGGGCUAAGACCGGCAAAGCUCCGGCGGCGGCGCUGCUUCUUGCGGAUCACAAGAGAGCUCUACGCAGCACAAAGGAGCAAGCUGCUGGGUGACUUGGAGGAAUUGAGAAGGAACUGGGAGAAGAACUUCUCAAGAACCGGGUGGGUAGCGCUAGGAGCUUGAGCAGGGAGCUAGAGAAGGCUAAGGCAACAAAGGCGGAGGGAACUCCGGCGACGGGGGCAUUCCUUUUAUAGCUGCUGGAGCAAAGGAACAGAAACGUCGUGGAGAGAGAGAAGGGGAGCGGCGCGAAGGCCGGGAAGAAGCAAUGGAGUGCUCUGCCGUGGCGGCGAUUGAGCAAACAGGGCGGUGCUGCAGAACUCCGGGGAUGACGCCAGCGAUCAUUGCGCUAUACCGUCAGGGCGGCGUAGGCGCUGGUAGACCGGUGGUUGGGAUUUGGCGGAGAGCGGGCGUCGUCGUGCGGAAGAGGUGAUAGAAGCGACCGGUUAAACGGCGCUAGAAUCGAGGGCGCACAGGUGAGAAGAUAGGCGGACUCGGGCGCGGGGGAGAGCGCGGAACAACAGAUUGUCGGGCGGCUUCUGACAGAGCGGGGGGGGGGGAAGGAACUGUCGCGGCCGCGGUCGGGGUUGGCGGUGGGGGAAUCGUCGUGUAGCGACGACCGGGCGGCGCAACUGUUGCUGAAAGGGACGGAAAAGACGGGCGACAUCGGUCUCCGGGGCCGGGAUCUGGUAUCGUGAUGAUGGGCGCGGGAGACGAGGCUCUGCAGAAAGGGGUGCAGAGGGCUUCCGCUGCCAUUGGGGAAAAGGGGCGCGGGAACCCACUCUGCGGCUUGCCAGAGACAAAACUGGGCGAUGGCGUCGGAGAAGACGAGUCACGCGGCAAGGAAACUCUGGGGGCGGCCAUGCAACUCGAGUGCGGCUGGCGCGGGGGAUCUGGAAGAAGAUCUCGCGGGUCCACCGGGGGAUAGAUCGGACGGGUGAGGAAGAUCAGCAGGAUCCGAUGGUCGGGUUGAACUCGCCGGGGUCGGGAGAGAAGCGAAGCAGGAAGGGGUCGGAUCCAGGGGUCGGACUGGCGGAAGACUGAGCACUUAGGUGCGGUCAACCAAACAGCUGACUAAGGUUAAGGCUGAGAUCAAACCUAACUGGGAAAGGUUAGGGGUCGGUCGUUACACCGACGCUCUUAGCCGCAAGCCCUGUUGCAACUGCUUGUUGGCAACAACCUUCACCGAAACCUUGUGUCAUGAGAUGGGAAAACUCAGAUUGGAAAUUGUUUCCCAUGGAACCCUCAGCCACAUCACCCUUGACUCUGUUCUACAAGACCAAAUAAGGUCAGCACAAGUAAAGGACGAGGAAGUACAGCGGAUCACCAGGAAGAUCUCCUUAAAAGAUGAAGGAUAUAAGCAGUUUGAGCUAGACGAAACUGGAAGCUUAUAUUAUAGAAACCGACUGGUUGUACCAGCCGGCCCCAACUUGAGGAAGCAGAUCCUAGAUGAAGCUCACCUCUCCAAAUUCUCAAUCCACCCAGGCAGCAAUAAGAUGUACCAUGAUCUACGUCAAACUUUCUGGUGGGGCGGAAUGAAACAGGAAAUUGCCCGGUACGUUUCAGAGUGUGACACUUGCCAACGUGUCAAGGCCAGUCAUCUAAAUGUAGCAGGUACUUUACAACCCCUACCUAUUCCCUCUUGGAAAUGGGAAGAUGUCAGCAUGGAUUUCAUUGUCGGACUACCUCUUUCAUCACAGCGGCAUGAUUCCAUUUGGGUUAUAGUGGACCAUCUGACCAAGACCGCCCACUUCCUUCCUGUCCACACCACCCACACAGUCAAGUAGUAUGCAGAGCUGUACCUUGACUGCAUAGUUUCCCUACACGGUGUGCCUAAGACCAUCAUCUCUGAUCGAGGAAUUCAGUUCGUAGCACGCUUUUGGGAACAGCUACAAGCAUCCAUGGGCACCAAACUCAUCCGUAGCUCAACCUAUCAUCCUCAAACCGAUGGUCAAACCGAAAGAGUCAAUCAAAUCCUUGAAGACAUGUUAAGAGCUUGUGUCAUCCACUAUGAUAAGAAUUGGGACAAGUGCCUGCCAUUGGCGGAGUUCUCCUACAACAAUAGCUACCAAGCCAGUUUGAAGAUGGCACCCUUUGAAGCAUUGUACAGACGGAGAUGCCGGACCCCAUUAAACUGGUCCCAAGUAGGAGAGAGACAAGUUUAUGGCCCGGACUUAGUAGUAGAAGCCGAAGAACAAGUGAAGUUGAUUCAAGCAAAUCUCAAGGCUGCCCAAUCUCGACAAAAGAGUUAUUUCGACAAGCGAAGAAGGCCCCUACAGUUUGAUAUUGGUGAUCAUGUGUAUCUUCGAGUUUCCCCAACCAAAGGAGUGCAACGGUUUGGAGUAAAAGGGAAAUUGGCUCCCCGUUACAUUGGCCCGUAUGAAGUUGUGGAAAUUUGUGGACCCGUGGCUUAUCGGAUCCAACUCCCAGAACAGCUAUCAACCAUACACGAUGUUUUCCAUGUGUCUCAGCUGAAGAAAUGUGUCCAAGUCCCAACCGAGAUCUUAGAACAAGGACAGCUUCAAAUCGAGCCUGACCUGACCUAUGCAGAGUAUCCGGCCAAGGUCCUUGACCAGAAAGAAAGGCAUAACCGGCGCCAAAUGGUGAAAAUGUACAAGAUCCUCUGGAGGAACCACACGGAGGAUGAUGCCACGUGGGAAACAGAAGAGUACUUGAACAAACACUUCCCCAGUUUUCUUCCCAGCCAAGGAGGUAAAGGCUACACACCCCCAUCGGUUAUUCCUACAUCCGAAUCUCAGGACGAGAUUCUUUUUAAGGGGGGUAGGCUGUGACGGCCUCGGACAAAAAUCCUUCGCGUCAAUCUUAAUCCGAGCCCCUGAUCACCUGUCUUAGUUUUUCCAAGCCUAAGUGUUCAACCUCCAGAUCUUCCGACCCCUGCGAUCCGACCCCUCGCCGUGGUCUCCCCAGUUCCGACCCCGCCGACCCCCAACCUACCGUCGGAUCUUUCUAAGCCAUCCCGCAGCAUCGCCCUCUAGAUCGAGCAGUGGACCACCGAGACUGACCGGCGGGCCCACGAGAUCUUUUCCCCCAAAUCUCCCGCGACAGGCACACUCGAGUUGCAUGCCCGCUUCAGUUUUUCCCCGCCGCGUGGUUCAACUCCUCCGACGCCCGCCGCUCCGCCUCGUUUUCGGCCCGCGACUGGAUGGAUUCUCGCGCCCCCUUCCCCAAUCGCGGCGGAAGCUCCCCUGCUACCCUUUCUGCAGCACCUCGCCGCCCGCACCCAUCAUCACAUCGCCAGAUCCCGGCCGCAGAGCCCGAUGCCGCCCGUCUUUUCCGUCACCUCACCACAGUCGCGCCACCCCGGCUUCGCUACACGACGAUUCCUCCUCCGCCAACCCAGACCGGGGCAGUGACAGCUCCUUUUCCCACCCUGGCAGAAGCCGCCCCGACAAUCUGUUGCUCCACGCUCGCCCGCGCGCCCGCAGCCGCCUGUCUUCUCACCUAUGCGCCCUCGAUCCUAGCGUCGUUUUCCCGGUCACUUCCAUCAGAUCCACCGCAUGACGACGCCCGCCUCUGCCAAAUCUCAACCAUCGGCAAACCCGCGCCUGCGCCGCACUGACGUCAGUGCCCAAUGACCACCGGCGUCAUCCCCGAAGUCCUGCUUCACCGCCCUCGUCGCUCAAUCGCCGCCCGGGCAGAGCACUCCAUCGCUUCUUCCCCGGCCUUCGCGCCGCUUCCCUUCUCACUCCCGCGCCGCUAUAAAAGGGAAUGCAGAAGUCCCGCCGGAGUUCCCUUGCCCUAGCUGCCAUCUCUCUUGCUCCCUGUUCGAGCUCACAGCGCCACCACCUAAGUCAGAGGGACUCUCUUCUCUGCUCAAGCACCAUCUUUUCUCAAAUCCACCAGCCACUGCUUUCAGUGCUGCCCAAGAGCUUACUUGUGAUCCACAAGAAGCACCGCCGCCGGCGGACAUUCUCGCCGCUGUCCCAAGCCCUUAGUUCUUCCGCCCAAGCCUCCUUUGUAAGACGAAGGUAGGCUGCCGACCCUUGUUCGCUUCGCCCGACCCCUCUUAUCCGCCCGACCCCGGUUCUGUCUCGCCCGACCCUGUCUGUUCCGCCGACCCUUCUCCGCCUCGCCCGAGGGCUCGGCUGUAUCUUUUUUUUUGAACUGAGGGUGUAUGUGUAAAACUUGGGGACCUUUCAGCGUUGAGUCUGAGGACCCCUAGUACAUCAAAUCCUCUAGAUUAAGGGUCAGAUCAUAAGUUCCUUCCCUCCGACCCUUACCUCUUGAUCUCCAUCAACUCCAUUGAACUUCCCCACCCUCUUGUAACUUGUCGCAAGUUUCUGGGCUCAGACUUGCAAGUGUUGCUGUUGAAAUAACCGUCUAUGCUAACCAAUGCAUUGCAUUCGUGUAGAGCUGCGUCUCGCUGACGGCUACUACGAGCUGCACCCGGCGCCAGAAGAUGAUGGUGUAGCUGAGCUCCUGCCCCCAGAAGCCGAAGCUGCCCCAGAAGUCGAGCAGUUCUCUUCCUCUUUGCUCGAAGGCAAGCCCCGGAUUCAUGAAUCCCCUAUGUUUUACCAGACUUGCGCAUGCCUUUUUUAACAUGCUUGUGCAUUUACGUAUAGGAGUUGUUUGGAACCCUAGAUGCAUAACUUAGCUCCCCUGAUCUGAACACUAGCUGUUGGACCGAGUAGAUGCUUGCUUAAAUAGGAAACGGUAAAAGCCGAGUGAUUUCCUGUCACUCGCGAGUUGUAGGAGUUGGAUGUUUACCUUCUGUCACAACUAUAAGGACGAUGGACGGGGCAGGGUUUGAGGUAACUCUUUGGUGGUCGGAUGAUCGCCCCGUCUGUCUAUGAAACUUGCUAAGGCCCGACAGUGGUGGUGUUCGUGAUCAUGUGUUUGAAGGUACUAAUCUCAUACCUAGUAUGGGAUGGGGAAGCCUAGUACCUGAUUGAACUAGGGCGUGGCUUAUACCCCUGCUAUUCCUGGAACGAGGUUCCCAUGGUGCAUCAUGUGGGUGCAAGUGCGGUCACAGUACGGCAGAGGCCGGGAUUGUGGAGCAUUGCAUGCCAAGGGAAGUUUGUACCUGACACGCGCCUGGGAAUUGAUGGGGACGGCCGACACAGGAAGCGGCCCUUGUGGUGCGCGGAUGUCGUGAGAUUAGGUUCGCCAUGCAUGGUUAAGAAACUUGAAUCGAUUCGUCUGCCUCUCACAGUUUGAGACUACUUGAUCGCUAUGUCACCCUGAGUAAGUAAGGAAUCUGAUGAUGACAUGGUUUUGCUGAUGUUGUAUAUACCUUUUGGUUGGUUCUAUGAUUGCUUAGAAUAGGUUGCAAACUUAGACCGGAUAAUGAACUUAGAACCGGAGCUAAAACUUGCAAGUAGGGAUACAUCUAGCGCUUUUGGCAAACAAAACCCCUCAGCCAAAAAGCCCUUGCAUGUCUAGAAGAGGUAGUUUAGCGCGCUCCCUGUCGGUUAAGUCUUGUUGAGCUUAGUAGCUCAGCCCUGUUGUGGCUCUUUCUUUUCAGGUGAAGUUGCUGCUUCCGAGCCCCCUUCAGCUGGCACUUGGCCGCCCCAACUCCCUCCGGGUUGGACGGUCGAGUGGGAUCCCUCCUCGGACGGCGAGGAGAGGGAUCAUUGACGUCCCGGUUGGCCUCACCAGGGAUGUCGGACCCCGACGAAAUAGCUUCCGCUUGUUGUUUUAUCUUCUGUGGUUUUUCUUUCAAACCUUGUAAACUCUGAUGUUGUUUUUACGGUCAAACUAAAUGGUUAAUUUGUUAACUCGGUGGACUUGCUGUAUUCUCUGGAACUGCUCACCUUCGUGUGGGUUUGCUAUUCGGUCCUGUUCAGUGGUUAAAUCGGAUGAAAUCCGACGGCACUUCGGGAUUACUCGGUUAGGCAUGAGCGUCGCGUAUCAUGCGGCUAAAUCAUGGUUAACUAAGCAAAUCUGAAGUGGAUCCGCCACAGUAGGGUUAUAUGAUGGUUGCUUUACAAGAAUACUAGUCGGAUUCGACUAGAGAGUCCUACUCUAAUUGAAUACAAGUAUUCGACAAGAAUACGAGUAGUUUCCUAAUCCUCGACUCGUUCUUAUCCUCCAUGUAGACCAUGCUAUCCUGCACCGUAGUCUUCAUGUCUGACACGUCUCGGUGCACAACCCCGUAUUGUAGGACUGUCCAAACCUCCCGGUGGGCCCAUAGGUGUAUGGCCAACAAAUAUUACAUGAAAAAAUAAAUGUUGAAUCACAUUUACUAGCAAAUGUGUUAAAAAGAAAAUAUUAAAAAAAUCAUUUCUGAAUAAUGUUAAAACAACAAAAAAAUAUUGAAUAGGCAUUUUAUAAAAGUAUUGAAUCAACUUGUCUUAGAAAACAUGUUGAAAUAAGAAUUGAAAUGUCCAACAACCAUUUACUUAAAGUCUUGUUAACAAAAUGUUGGAAUAACUCUCGUUGGAAAAAAAAUGUCAAAUGAACAUUUAUUGAAAGAAUGUUCAAUGAACAAAAUAAAAGAAACAUCUUCUCUCAUGAAAAGUUGUUGAAUAUGGAAAGAAAUGUUAAAUCAAUAUGAACUAGCUUUUCUUAUAAAAAUACUACCAAAUAAUAAAUAAAUAUCUAAUCAGUACCUUAAUAUCGUAACGACAAAAAGAAUUUGAAAACAUGCGUGUCAACACUUAGCGAUAUAAGAAACACCAGAAAAAGUAGAACCCGUCUCUUUGGAUUGUUAAAUGUGUAAUCAUGUCAAAAAUAUUUUAGGAUAUAUACACAUGUACCACAUCGCCUAGACUUGAUGGAAGGGUUCCGUUUAGCAAAACCAGCCCCUUAAUUGGCAUUUGAAGGCUGAGGCAGAAAAACAACGCCACCACCAAAGGGCCCGCAGUAUGGCCUUUACUGAAGCCCGUAGAAUAAGGAGCUCCAAGACACCCCAGCCCGGCCCCCUUAUGGGUGUUUAGCAGCACUCUACUCCAGAAAAAAAUAAUUCCACUUCACCAACUCCAUAAAAUUGCCUGCCAAAUACGUCUAGUUCCACAAACUCUAGCUCCAAAAAAAGUGGAGCUAGGGGUCAGAUCUAUGUUUUUUCCUAAAGUACCUCAGGGGUGUUCCAAAAACAUCAGUUUCAGACUUCCUCGUGAAGUUGGAGGUUAUUUACCCACCUUUACCACUCGUUAUAUAACGUACCGGUUGGUUUUUAAUUUUUGUAUCCCCUCCCGUCGCCGUUUCCUCUCUCUGCCGCUUAGCCCACUAGAUCACGUCGCCCCCAAUCGCCGAACCGCACAGUCCUCGACCGUCAUCGCCCAUUGUGGCCGGCUCACCCCCAACCGCAAGAACGAGCCACCCCCGCCUGCCGGACCGCGCCGCCCCCGACCACCGUCGCCUAUCGCCCGCCGCCCGCCGGAGCUAUGGUGACUUUCGAUUCAAUCGCUCCUGCUGGAAGCUUCCUUGAUUUGUUUUGAAUCGAUUUUACUAGUCACCUUUACAAAUCCAUUGAAGGAGAAGUUGGAAUUUCAUUUUUCCCAUCUGCCUGCCUCCUUGGAAGCAGCGGCAAGGGAAGCUGGCAUCCUCUUGUUAGGAUCCUCACGCCCGACCCCCCAUGGCGGUGUGGACCGGGGAGGAGCUCCCGCUUGACCGGCCGGCAGCGCGCCCCAGUGGCUGCUCCAGCUCGCCCUGGCACUCAUCCCUAGUGGUUGCUCGAGCUAGCCCCCACUGGUAGCCGCCCAAGGUCGCCCCCAUGUGCUCAUCGCCAGAGAAAGCCACUCGAGCUCCGCUUGCCAGUCCUCCAGGCUCCGCUCUCCUCCGGCUCCAGCUCGACAGCGAUGGCGUCAAAGCAGGAUGACCCCGUCCGCUUGAUUAGAAGGGACGUGGUUGUCCGUUCGGCGAGCACCGGGCAGAUGCGGUGGGGGCGGGCUGGCUGGGGUGGCGGUCGGGUGGGUGCGGCUGGGGCGGAAGGGUCGCAACACUGAGGGCUCCUCAUUUCGACUGCUACGGGCAGCACCACUCGCACCCACGUCCACGUGCACCAUCGUCAGCAAGGCUAGCGCGAAGAAAGGGAUGGGGAGAAAAGAGAAGGGAGGAAGAGAGGAAGAGGUGGGGGAGAAAAAAGAGGAGACUGAUACGUGGGUCCAUUCACAAAGGGUAAAAUAGACUAUUCACAACAUAUUCUCAUGUUUCUGGAGCUGGAGCACUACAAUUUACUAAACACGUACAACAACUCCAUAUUUUCGUGGAGUUGGUGGAGUGGAGCUGCAAAAAGAUGGAGUUGGUGGAGUGGAAUUAUUUUUUUGGAGUGGAGUGCUGCAAAACACCCCCUUAGUUUCUGGCAAUUUCAUUCCCUCCUCCCCCACAAGCCAGUCCCCUCCCUGUGGUUGUUCUCCCUGCAUCCCCCCUCUCCACACGCCGCACUGUCCCUUCUCCUAGUGUGGGCCUCGAGUCACCGCACCUCCUCCCUUGUAGACCCUCUCCUCUGUGUUUCCCUCCUCCCUAGUGUGCUACCCCUCCUCACCGGCGAGCUCCUCCCUAGACAUGCUUAACAUUUAGACACUCCACCACUGCCAUGUUGGACCUCACUACCGAUCAUGGAGCUCCUCCCCCGCCAUUGAGCUCUGGCUCUGGUGGCCCAAUGAGCAUGUAGUAGUGAAAGAGGAGAGGUUGACAAGCGAGGAAACCCAUACAUGUGAGUGCGAUAUGAAAAAUGGGGGCUCCUGUUGAAGUUAAAGCUAUUAUUUUAGGUUGACAAGCAGUGCCGGUCCUGGAGAGGUGCGAGAGGUGUGACGGCCGAGGGCUCAUGGGAGGGAGGGGUCCAGGCCCAGGUAUACUGUAUACCUAUACAGAGAUAUACAGAGACCCCCAGCCAUACAUCAUACGCCUUGAAGAUGCGGCAGCCGGCAGUCUGAACGUGAAUGUGAAGAGGCACCGAGGCAGCAGUCUGAUCUAAUCACGGUGACGCGGUGGCUGCAUUAAACACCACAACCGUCCGCUUCCUCCGCCUCAUCGGCGCCCUGCCCCUCCACUACUCCACGACAUCGCCUCGCUCCACCGACCGCCGGUGAGUGCGUGCUUCUAUUGGUCGACGCCUCAUCAGUCAUCGCCCGGCGCCCGCUUGGGGUUUUUUUUCCUGCGAGUCUGUGAUGCUGGUGCUUUUUGGUGGAUGCUGAUUUUGCUCUUGUGGUUUUGUUGCUAAUUUGGCGGUGAUCAGGCCUUCCGAUCACUGCAGCCGAUCGAUCAUCACUUCAUCAAUCAUCAGUUCAUCAGCCGACCACGCACAAGCCCCUAGGUAUUUUUUUCCUUGAUCGUUUUUUAAUCUAAAUUAAUUACUUCGGACUUCUAGUACUCGGUACUCAUAUAGCUCGUGUUUUUCUUCUCAAAAUUGAAGUUGUUGAACAACUAUUUGAGAGCAACUAUGUCACAAGAAAGGUUAAAUGGAUUGGCUAUGUGCAUCAUCGAGAGGGAUAUUUUGGACACUAUUGAUCUUAAUACCGUCCUUGAUGAUUUUGUAUCAAGAAACGCCCGAAGAACUAUCUUUUUAUGAGAAGCAAUAGAUAUUAUGGAGUUCUAUUCUUCCUUAAGGUAGUCAUAUUAGUUUUAGUCUAUAUUGUUCCUCGAUAAUUAUCAAACAUGUUAAAUUAAAAAUAUAUCACUGGAUUUGUUUUCGCUUUGCAAGAAAAAUUAGCGCUAAUAUAUAUUAUAAGAUUUAUAUAUAGUCUAGAGGCGCCGUCGCGACGAGUUCGCCAGAGGGUACUGUGGACAAGCGAGACCCAGAAAGUAGGAGGAGGCCUUACUUAAAAAGUAUGAGCUUCUGAUUUAGGGACAAUACUAAAGAUGCUCUGACUAGCUAAAGGAUAAAUGUGCAGAGCAGGAGGAGAAGAAGGUUGGGGAAAGAGGAAGCUGAGGGCAUGCAAAUAAGCCGAUAUCUUAAAAUAAAAUUGAUAACGUUCUGAUGGUUAACCAGUUGUAAAUGCCCCGUACCAGGUUGCAGUGUAGUUUGGAGUUCAAAAUCGACUGUGGGCAUUUGAAUAUUUGAUUAACCCGGCCUAGCCCGGCCGGCCAAACUAAGUCAUUUUGUAAGCAAUGUGUUGAUCGUCUACCUCUACCGCGUCUUCUGUACGCAUUUAUAUUCUAGUUUCCCAGAAGGCAUGUCUUAACACUGCUCCACGAUGCCUUAUCACCGCCGGCUCUGAAGUGCCCUUCACUACUAGUUUUAGAUCCGAAAGGCGUUUGGUCAUCACUGCCCGGAUUGUAAACCGGCGGUGAUAAGCAUCUCAAAAAAAAAAAAGAAAAUCACGCGGCCCCAUGCUCCUGCACUGCCGGAUCCGGCGCUCCAUGCACGCCGCACGUACCCCACGCCACCACCUCCGGCCUUGCCCCGCAGGGAGACGGAGAGGGGGCUCGCCGCCAUGAGAGGGAGAGGGAGAGGGAGGGGCAACACGGUGGGGAGGGAGUGGCGGCGGCCCCGCUGGAUCCGUCUGCCGGCCGCUCCCUCCAGCACCGCCACCGCUACUCCCUCCAUCACGCGCCGCCGUCGCUCCCCGCGCCACCGCCACGUCGCGGCACGCAGCUGCUCCCCGCACCGGCCGCUGACCCCGUGCCGCCGCUAGCCGCUAAGAUCCGAGGGAGGGAGAGGGAAUUGCCGGGGGAGGAGAGGGGGAGGGAUCUGGCCGGGGGAGGAGAGGGAGAGCCAGGUGAGCGAGUGGGAGAGCGAGGUAGAGAGGGCAAAGGGGAUUGAGCGGAUGGGGGAGGAAAGGGAGAGGAUAAGGAUAGAGAGAGGGGGGCCGGGGGUGGCCGGUUGAGGGAGGCGCGUGUGAGGGUGUGGUCUCGGGACUUAACUUAUUUGGAUCAUUUUUUCAGAUCCGCUUCCUCUAUCAUCGCCAGUUGGUGUUAAAAUUCGGCACCCCAACCGACGGUGAUAUGAAUGUAUCACUGCCGGUUUAUUGCUAAAAUCGUUAUCGAUGUUAUUUUUUCCUACCACUCGACUAUUACAGCUGGUUUUAUUUAAUAGGCCGGCAGUGAUGAUACAUUCUGUAGCAGAUACAUUCUGUAGCAGACGUGUCACUAGCUGACCUGAUUUAGUAUUGCGAGCUGUGGCUUCCACAUAUACGUUACUCCACUCUUUUCUAGUCAAGCUGAUAAGAUGAAAGAACCAUGACACGCGAGGCGUAGGUGGCAGCUGGGCAAGUUGGUGUAAACGUUCGUCAACUUUCCGUAGAGUUCGAGCUGGAUUUCAGUUCAAUAAACAAUUUUCAACGUGACGGCGGCAGGAAUGUUAUCUUUACUUGCAGGUAUAAACCAUUGGAGCUGUGGCGUCUUGUUGCCUGCUUGGUACGGUUCUCCCAGUCUCCAAAUCUUGCUUUUGACCUGCGCAUCACUACUGGAAAAUAUUUUAUUUAAUGUGUUCAGUACCACAAGAAAAUAAUAUUUAGUGGCAGAGAUUACAUGUAUACGGAUGCGGGUCCACAUUUUUUUUUCUUAUUGUUAGAUUUUAUGUAUGAACCAAUUCAAAUGCGCUCAAAUGUUUGGGGGCUAGAUUGUGCACCACGAACCGACGACUAAUGUUAAAAACUAUAAUCAGUUAUUGUCGGGUCAAAAAAUACAAGCAAUGGUCUACUAAUGUUAAACCGACGACUCUAUAUAUAGCUUGCCCAGUAGUACAUUUCCCGGUGGCUUUGACCAUACAUCAUAACACAACAAUAAAGGAAAGUCAAAAUUUCAGCUUGUAAAAGUACUAGUCAAAAUACAUGACAUUAUUUUUUGAAAAAAGAAAAAAGCAUAUUUAAAACUACUCUUUACGAUCUAAAAUCGUUGUAUUUAAAUGUUUGACUGCACGUGCUUUACCCAUGAAGUCCUUUAUUUAGUGGGUCUACCAUAUAUUUGCUGUUUCUUAGCAGUGCCAUAAAUUUUAACUGAAAAUACUCCCUCCGUCCCAAAUUACCGUACAUUUUAAAUUUUAACAUAACUUUUAAUAUACGAUAUAUACUAUGUCUAGAUACAUAUCAAAAGUUAUAUAGCCAGAAAAGAGUAAAUGCCUGGGCGGGACAUGAACUUGGCAAGGAGUGCCAUCCAGGUCCCCAAAACUCUGAAAAUGCACAUCUAAAUCCCUAAAUUUGCUAAUCGGUUUAGUGAGGUCCAAUUCUCUGUAAUCCGUGUUAAACUGCAUGCGUGGCAUGCUGACUGUGCGAUGAUGUGGACCUAACAUGUGGUAUCAGGUCCACAUCCCUUCUUCCUCCCUUUCUCGCUCUCUUUCUCUCUCUCUCUCCCCGUCGCCUCAGUCUCCCGUCGGUGUGUCACACUUGAGCUUGGGGCAUUGGUAAGGUUGAGCGCUAGGACGGACGUGCCCGCGUUGGCUUGCAGCCCUGGCCAGCCACCCGUGCGGCCGCCGUCCUCCCCGGUGGGUGUCGUACAUACAUCUAUGGCUCACCAGAAGGUUUGGACAAUCCUAAAUAUGGGGCUGGACACCGAGACGCAUCUGACAUGGAGACCAUGGUGCAGGAUGGUGUAGUCUAUAUGGAAAGACAGGAACUAGUCGAGGAUUAGGAAAGUACUCGUUGUAAUAGGGUAGGCUUUCUCUAGUCGUAUCCGACCAGUAUUCUUGUAACCAACCGACCUGUAACCCUGCCCCGACUAUAUAAGGCGAGGCAGGGACCCCCUCUAAAGCAAUUCAAUCCAACCAACACACAGGACAUAGGGUAUUACGCAAUCUAGCGGCCUGAACCUAUCUAAAUCGUGUGUCUGCGUUUACCUUCGAGUUCCUGAUCUCGACGAGCCCAACAAACCAAAACACUAUCUCGGGCACCCCCCUCGGUAGGUUGCUGAGUCUAAACACCGAUAGCGGAGCCACCGCAGACCUUGUCCGCCUGAGCCAAGCCGCCGCUGCGAGUUUAUCCCGCACCCAGCCGCCACCACCAUCCAUCCCAACCGAGCCAGUCGGCAUUCGCUCCACCUGCGCGGGGCCAUCGCGGUCGUCCGCUCCUCCCACUCCCAAGCCCAACUAAUGCUGCCGCCCGCUCUUCCUACCCCUGACCGCUACCUCCUGUGGCGGAUCCACUUCGGAUCUACUUGGUUAAACAUGAUUUAGCCGCAUGAUACGCGACGCUCAUGCCUAAACUGAGUAAACACGAAGUGCCGUCGGAUUUCAUCCGAUUUAACCACUUGAACAGGACCAAUUAGCAAACCCACACAAAGGUGAGCAGUUCCAGAGAAUACAACAAGUCCACCGAGUUAACAAAUUACCCAUUUAGUUUGGCCAUAAAACACAUCAGAGUUUACAAGGUUCAAAAGAAAAACAACAGAAGGUAAAACAACUAGCGGAAGCUAACUCGUCGGGGUCGGAUAUCCCUGGUGAGGCCAACCGGGACAUCAAUGAUCCCUCUCCUCGCCGUCCGAGGAGGGAUCCCACUCGACCGUCCAACCCGGAGGGAGUUGGGGCGGCCAAGUGCCGGCAGGAGGAGGCUCAGAGGCAGCAACUUCACCUGAAAAAGAAAAGUCACAACAAGGCUGAGCUACUAAGCUCAACAAGACAUAACCGACACGGAGCGCGCUAAACUACCUCUUCUAGACAUGCAAGGCUUUUUGGCUGAGGGGUUUGUUUGCCAAAAGCGCUAGAUGUAACCCUACUUUCAAGUUUUAGCUCCGGUUCUAAGUUCAUUAUCCGGUCUAAGUUUGCAACCUAUUCUAAGCAAUCAUAGAACUAACCAAAGGUAUACAUAUCAUCAACAAAACCAUCUCAUCAUCAGAUUCCUUAUUUACUCAGGGUGACAUAGCGAUCAAGCAGUCUCAAACUGUGAGAGGCAGACGAAUCGAUUCGAGUUUCUUAACCAUGCAUGGCGAACCUAAUCUCACGACAUCCACGCACCACAAGGGCCGCUUCCUGUGUCGGCCGUCCCCAUCAAUUCCCAGGCGCGUGUCAGGUCCAAACUUCCCUUGGCAUGCAAUGCUCCACAGUCCUGGCCUCUACCGUACUGUGACCGCACUUGCACCCACAUGAUGCACCAUGGGAACCUC
Molecule: long non-coding RNA, 92178 nt
Filed under: Setaria italica (foxtail millet)
Lineage: Eukaryota; Viridiplantae; Streptophyta; Magnoliopsida; Poales; Poaceae
Description: long non-coding RNA (SITA_LNC000357)
Source: RNAcentral